AUACGAGCAAGAUUGGUUGCUUUCUCUUUGUUUAUGAUUUCUUCUACUUCUUCUGAACGUGAAAUCCUUAGCCGAGUAAGAUUUGGAGAAAGCAAUAGCCAAGUCAGAUCCUUAAUGCCAUGACAGCUAUAAAUUGUCACGACGGAGAGGUUGGUAAAGCAUGGACUUGUUGGAUUGUGUAAAUGAGAUGAGUCGGUCUUGCUUCCUCUGCAUUUAAUAUAUGUAUCAAUCGCCGACACAUGACUACCAUCCACAUGGAGCACACUAAGAUUCUCCAUACUCAACAGCGAUGACAUAUUGAAUGGCUUUUCUUUAAAACCUCGAAUACCCAGAGAAUUGAUGCAGUUAGCCAACCUUGGAUCGCCUAAUAUAUGCUUCAAACCCAACUCGGUAGAGAUCGUUAUCUCUAGAACUUGUAGAUGCUCCAAGGGCUGCAGCUCCUCCAACAUGCUAACAUCUCCAUCAACUUUAGAAAAUCUUAGUUUCAAAAUUCUUAAACUCGACAGCUUUGAUAUCCCACUGAUACUACGAAGACUGUAUGUAUAACUCAAAUCCAGAUGAAUUAGCUUUUUCAACUCUUGGAAACCAACUGGCAGUUGCUUUAUACUUGUGCCCCACAAGUUAAGAUACUGCAAGGAGGCCAGCUUCGAUAUCUGCUUAGGAAGUUUUUCGAAAGCGAGAUUAAGUGAUAGAUCCAAAACAACUAGCUUUUGCAUAGAGCCGAUGAAUUCACCUGAGAGAUUCUUCAACUUAUUCUUCUGGAGGAGCAGAGUUGUAAGUUCAGAACACUUGGAACUGCAUUUUAUCUCUUUAACCUCAUUCCUCAUUAAAGACAUCCUUCUCACAGCUCUCCAAUUCUUGACUUUUGGCGUUUCGUGUAAUCCGACUCCUGCUUGAACAAAAAAAGACUCAGAUGCAAUCCAUAGAGCCAUUUCGCGAACCACGUCAUGCAUCACAACAAGACCUAUCCUAUCAGGCUGUUCUGUCAGUAAAUUUGAGCGGAUAAGGGUACCAAGUACCUCAUAACCCUUAUUCACUGCCCUUUUAUAAGAUUGGUGUUCCCCGAUGAAUCCCUCGCACAUCCAAUAUUUUAUCAAAUCUCCUUUAUCUAUCUCAUAAUCUUCCGGAAACAGAGCACAAUAGAGGAAACACGACUUGAUAUGUUCACCCGCCAAGCUAUCAUAGCUAUACUUCAGAAUCGGAAGAAUUUUGUUUUCCAUGUCAAAAAACUCUGCAGCUGAUCUGGACAAAACAUCGACUGCAAGCUCCCAUUCUUGUACCGUAGUUUGAGAUGACAUUGUCUCACCAAUGACAACAAGCGCUAGUGGCAGACCACAACAUUCUUUAGCGACCUUUUUGGCAAGCUCGACAAUGGCAGGAUCUCUACUUAAUGUAUUGUCUCCUACUUUGCUUUUGAACAAUUUCCAUGCUUCUUCUUGUCCCAAACAGUCGACUUUCAUCGGCUCAUGAUCUCCCAUCCGCCCACAUACUUCCCGAGAACGAGUGGUGAAUGCUACUUUGCAUCCAUUUUCUCUGGUGGGAAACGGAACUCCAAUGGCUUCUAAAUCCAAUUUCUCCCAUAUAUCAUCUAACAUCAGGACAAAUCUCUUCCCUUUUAAAACUCUGUGUAUAUUGAUUGCCUUGUCACUUUCACUUUUGUUCUUCCACUCGCCGUCGCAAAGGUGUAGGUUUUUUGCAAUAUCAUCUUGAAGCUUUGAAAUAGUUGCACCUUGAGACACCACAACCCAGAUCACAACAUCAAAUCUACCUAUUUCAGUGAACUUAUUGUGGAUUUUCUUGAAAAGGGUAGUCUUGCCUACACCACCCAUACCGUGCAAACCCAUGAUUCCAACUCCAUCUUCCAUAAGGCGCUUCCAUGCCUUUUCCAGCAUUGUUUCCUGACCAAUCGUAGGCCCAGUAGGCCUUUCUUCUACUGCAGAUCUCAAAACCGGCUCAGUAACCUCUUUAAAAUUACCCUCCGAUUUGAGUUUCUUAACCUCUUUCAGCAACAAGAAUACCUUUUUCCCAUAUUUGUAGCUGGAACAUACACUUUUUGAAGAUAAACCACAGAGACAUAACUUCUUAAGCUCAACAGGACUAGUACUAAGCAGAUUAUUGAAUCGUGUAUCGAUGCUCUCGACACGUGUUAGCCAUACCUUGACAGCUUCAAGCCUUUGUUGAUGUUGUGCCUCCUCUCUCGCUACUUUGUUCUUCACCUCAGCUUCAAUUGCCUUGAGAUCAUCCAUUUCCCUCUUCAGAGCCCUGAGAUUCUCCUUGAGGUUUCGAAUAUAACCUUUGCCACAUAAGAAUCUAAAGAUACGAUUGAGAUCACCACCAGUAAGUUGGAUAGGAUUACAACUCCCCAUGUCGAUAGAAAGAGAGAAAACUUUGAGUAAGCAACAAACGAAAGCUAAAGAUGAAGAAGUGUUUUAUGUGAAAAGCAUUUUACAAGUGACGAAGGCAUAUAUGAUUUGUUAUCUGUCGGUCCUCUUUGGUUUCUAAUUUCCACCACUCCCACAUAUGCAUCGACUGAUACGAUUCACAUGAAAAAUGAAAAGCCACACAAUUUCUCUAUGGUGAUAGAAAGAGAAUAUUUCUGAAGCUGAAGAAGUUUUUAUUGUCAAAAAUAUCAUUGGAGAUAAGAUAACACAUCUUUCUCCAAUACGGGUGGUUAGGAGAUUUUCCAAAGGGAAAAAAAAAAAUUGCUUACGAAAGACUUUGACUAUUCUAAUAUCCGACCAUAGAUUUUACGAGUGAAGACUUUGCUCAAACUUAUUUCAAGUCAACUAAAGUCCUAUCUUCUGCUCUUAUGUUCUUCGUUUGGCGCUUGUAGCUGUCAAUUUGUUAGCCAUGUUGGCUUUGUUAUUGUUUGUAAACAAGUCUUCCUCUAAUGGAGCGUAGCUAAUCUAUAAAAUCUCAUUUGAGCAAAAAGAAAAUUAAAAGGAAACCCAAGUCUAAGGUGACAGAAACGUGGAUUGGUCAAGUAGUGGAGAUGAUUAAGUAAUCAUUGUCUGUUAUGCCCAAAGUAGCUUACGAAGUGGAGUCUUCUUUUGCGUUGAAAUCCUAUACGAUUAUUGUGUUGUGCCGAUUCUAUUUUUUCGUUAGUCUCUCUGUAGUAGAAGAACAUACCUUAGAUUUAGGCAUUGCCUGUUUAUGAUUUCAUUUAGAUUCAUGUUUCUUUUUAGCACCCUAUUGAGAAUUUAUUAUGUGCUACUUGAGAUAAAUCUGGGUUUGAAUUCUUUAAGUUGCUCAUUAAUGGAGUUUUAGUCAUGUCUAAGAGUAGAAAGUAUAUAAAAGCUUUUAAAAAAAGACUUGAUGAAUGGCAGAAAGAAUAUGAUCAGGGAGUUUUAUAAAGCUGAGGAUGAUGAAAAAUCGAACAUACAAAGUAUUUUGCCAUGUCUAAAACCAGAAUGUCCUACUGCCAAAUCUGUUGGGUAGUAGAACUUUUCUAGUCAAUGCGGUGGCAAAUCGAAUCUGGGGGAAGAAGUGUAAGAUUUUUUCUCGAAAACUUGGUGAAACUUCUUAAUGUUGUAUCACGUAUUGUUGUUCCAUGGACUUCCGCUGCCACUUUAAUAUAUAUUUUUAUCGUCCCAUUCAUUUCUUGCUGAACAAGAAACCCAAAUGUGGAAAGAAAAGAAGAAGAAAUUGUUUGUGAUUUUAUCCUUUGAAGAUCAAUACACAUAUGUUUUUACAUUUUUAAAUAAUGAAAUUAAUCCCCCAAAUACAUGCAUGACUUUUCUAAUAAUUUUUUAUUAUGUUGUUCCAAUUUGUGUUUGUUGGGUGUAUGAUAUAUUAUGAUGCAAAUGGAGAGUAUCAGUCUAAAUAAGGGUGCAUACUUCAAGCUAUUCUAGAGCAAACAAGUAAGAAACUUUAGAGAUGAAAAAAAACAACUCAAGCGGAAGAGUAUAAGAGAACUGAUUACCAGAUGGAUUAAAGGCAAGAAACGUUUUUGGUAUCUUCGUCCUCCCAUUCAAGCUCAGUUUAUCUCUUCUCCAGGACCCAUACCUAUUGUAAACCAGGCAAUUCGUGGGACACUUGUAGCAUCUAAGGGAAGCUUUCUCAGCUGUGGACACUCUUCUACUGUUAAUUUUUGCAAUAACAGUAGAUACUCUCCGGCUUAAGCAAAUUUCUUAUCGAAAACACUUCUAGUUUCUGAAACGGUGUAAUACCUCUAACUGUAAGAUUGACUUCUUUCUCUUUGCUUAUAAUAAUAUCUUCUACUUCUUCUGAAUAUCCACGUAGACGACAAGAUUUGGAGCAAACAGUGGAUUUCUAAGUUCUCUAGUUUGGGAAAUUUCGUGGCUUAUGAUGAACAAGUUGGGGUUUACUGAAAUUGAGUUCUGGUUUAAUCAAGACUGGUUAUAUCAUUAAUUCUUUAAGCCGGUUAAAGCAGUAUUAUGGUUCUAUUUUGGAAGUGGGUUCACUGACAUUGAUUUUUUUUGUUUUGUUUUAUAAUUUAAUUCAUUUUCAUAGAUGAAUUUGAAAGGUUACAGCGCAAAUAAACCUCAGACCGGUGAUCAGGUGAAACAUGAAAGAUAAAAUUAUGUAUAAGCUUUCCAGCAGUCAAAUCCCAUACCUAUUGGAUAUGAUCAAAUAUUAUAUCAAUUGUUAGAAACACAUACGUUGGGGAAAAGAGAAUGCGCAAGAUCCAUUUAUAGAUAUUGCAGUGCUUACCUUUACAACAUUGUCAAGUCCUCCAGUCACUACAAAAUUUACAACAUACGUUGGAGUAAAUUUGAUAGUGUUGAUGCCACGAGUAUGACCCUUGUACCUCUGUAUGCAUCCCUUCUUUCUGAUGUCCCAAAUCUUCAAAUUCGUGUCACUUGAUCUAUGAUGCCAAAAAUUCACCAAAUGGAUGAAAUUCAACAGCAGAACAAUUGGAUCUAUGUCCAGUAAAAGCUCGAACCACUACACUUCAAGAGUAAGAGUGAACAUGUUAGACCUCAUAAUUCUAAAGUAAACGAUAGAUAUGGUGUGGUACACUGCUCAAAUAUCAGGACCCAUAAUCAACAUCUAACUCAAUCGGUAUCUCUAUAUGUUCCCAUUUGAUGAAACUAGCUAGGCAUAUAAGGAGCAACAAGUAUUCUAAAGGAGAGCAGAAAAUCAAUCAACUAACUCUUUGCUUCUUCUAGAUCCCAAAGCUUUCUCACACCCGAAGAAGCUCCACCAAGCACCAAAACUUCUGCCGAGUCAAAAGCUACUGAAUCCACUGCACUAGUAUGUCCACAUAAACUCUGCAAACAACUCAAGAAAUGAAUAUAGCAGCACUCUUCUAUAUAAAAAACAAUACACACUUUUUGCUCAACAAGGAGGAAAAAUUUAGACAAGAGAGAAAACGUGAAACACACCAUUAAAGAAGUAGGCUUGCCGAUCGCCCAAAGGUUGACAUUGUAAUCAUCACCACCAGUAAUAAGGAGCCGUGAUGUCUUCUUUCCGAUACUUAAGCAAUUUACAUUUGCAGAAUGUGCCAAAAACUCCUCUACGUUUCCAAAAUCAAGUCAAGGUAUAAGCAAACACCAGACAAGAACAGCUAAAGAAAGGAGCAGCCUUUGAAGCAACUCGACAGCAAAACAUAAAGCAGGUCAUAAAUGGAGAGAAGUACUUUCACAUACAAAACAUAUCCAGAAAAUAUCCAUUUUCUAUCAUAUUGAGCAGCCAGUGAUAGAAACAUUUGACCCGGAAUUAAUUUCUGCUAAAAUCUUGAAAUGCUAAUCAAAACUUGAAGCUUAUCAAUAGCAAACUAAGCUUUGCUCUUGGGAGUUUUUAAAGAUAAAACCCUAACGAUUCGGUGAUUUAAAAAAAAAAAAAAAAAGACGACAAAAAUUUCUCAGGAUGGAGCUAAAAAUCCAGAGUUCGUUCAAUUUUACUCAGCUUAAGAAUCAACAACAUCGCCAGGAAUAUAAAAGGAUACGCAGCUUAUAUCCACGCUUCGCCAUUUUCUACUCGAUUUCCAGCAAAUCCGUGGGAAUCAAUGGAAUCCGAAUCUCUAGCUUCCGUAAUCGAUCGAAAAAACGGUGAAUCGGAGCUGAAAAAAAAAUCCCAAUUGUCACUACACGACAGAGCUCGAGAUUUUCGGGAAAUUCAAAAGGAGAAACACGGAGGUUGCUUCCCGUUGAGAUUUCAAAUCUAGAACGUGAGAAAAGAAUCAAAUUCCGGGAACAAGAAUUUUGAAGGAAACGAGAUAAUCAGAGAUUCAAAUAGUGACACGGAGCAGAAAGAAAAAAAGAAACAGAAGAGAAGAAGAAAAAUGGUAAAGCGAAGGAAGUUUUUUAUGUUGUCAAUAUUAUUCGAUAGGUGAGGAAGCACCUCAUCAUCUCUUGGAUUUGUUUGUUUCCUAAAGACAUUGUCAACCUUAUAUAUAUAAAUAGGGUAAUUAAGCGUAGUGUUUUGUUUGGUAAGACAUAAUAUUAUACAUAUAUAACAUUUAAAUACUCGAAUCAAAGAGAUAAUUAAGAAAUUUUGAAUCAAAGCCUAUAACAUAGUGUCUAGAAAAUCAAUAAAAAAUCUUUAAAUGAUUUAGAUAUUAAAAUCAAUUUUUAAAAAUAUUUCUCAAAAUUUUGUGGAUAAAAUAAUCUAAACGAGAAUUGUUUUCAUUGUUUUGUAUAAUAUUUCGAAAAUUGAAAGUAGACUAAAUUAUGUAGAAAAGAAGAAUCUACGACCGCUAACAAACACCUGAACACGAAAUUCAUUAUGAUUAAACAAAUAUCAAACUUUCUUUUUUUCCAACAUUAGUAUCAUGUUUUUCAUGUCAGUCAGUUUCUAUGUUGCUUCUCAUCUUUAGAUGCUUUAGUAUUUCUCAAUGUUUUUAAACCCGACCCGGACAACGACCCGAAGUAUUCUUCGGAUUGUCGGUUAACUGGAUUGACCUGGAUUAAUCCGGGUCAACCGCGGAUCAACUAAGUAUAUAUAUUUGUUAUGUUUUUUAAUAAAUUUUAUCACUUUUGUUACAUUUUUUUUAAUGUAAAAAAAUACAAAUUUUUGCUAAAAAGUUUUGUCACUAAAUCGCAUUAAUUAUUAUAUAUCUUUUUCUAUAUAAUUUUUUUUAAUAAAAUUAAAUUAAAAUAUACACUAAAUAUAGUGAUCAUAUUAACUAUAUUUUUGAACAUUUUUAAUUAUAUAUUUUUUCCUUUUAUUUAUUUUCUUUUUUAAACAGUUAAUUUUUUACUAGAAAAUUUGAUAUUACAAAACUUACAAUUGUAUAAUGGUGAGAAAAUAACAAACUAUUCAAUAAAAUAUAGAAAAACAAACUGUUAUUACUACUAAAAACAUUCAAAUAAAAGUAUAUUAAUUGUCUCUAAAAUCCAAAAAUAAUGUAGAAAAUUUUAGCAAUAUUUUUUGAUUUUGUUACCACCUCAUUUUUUCCAUCUUCUGUUAUUGUAAGUGCUCUGCAUCUUGUUCUAAUUUUGUUUUCUAAAACUGUAUUUUUUUUUUAAAAAAAUAUCAUAUAUUCAUAAAUAAAUUUAUAAAACUAUUAAUUUUUUUCCAAACCAGAAACCCAUCCAGAUCGGGUUUUUGCCGGUUCACCGAGUUUAAGCGGGUUUUUCUGGAUUUAAGCGGUUUAAUAGCAUUUUGGGUUUCAACAAAAACUAAACCGGAAAUUUUACCAGGUCACGGUUUAACCGGUUAAACCGUCCGGUCCGAUCUGGGUCUGAAAACAUUGGUAUUUCUCUUACAACUAUGCUCAUGGUAUUUAGUGGUUGGAUGAUUUACUUUAAGAUUAGAAUACUAAUAAUUUGAAUAUUCUUACAACAAUUUCAACUGUAGUUGAAAUCUGAAGCCAUAUUAAAUGAUAAAUAUACUCAGUUUUUAAUUAUUCACAAACUACAAAAAUUAGUCUAGAUUUCGAUAUAGAAUUUUAUAAUUAUCAAUAUUUUCUUCUUCUUUUCCUGAUAGCAUAAGCUUUUAUUGUUUAUUUUUAGUUAAAAAAGAAAAUAAAGUAUAGCAAAUUAAACACAUUAUUGAAACAAAUGUUAGGAAUCUUAUACUGAAUAUUUGAUAGAACCCAAAGUAAUAUAUAAGUGAAAUGGAUCAAUCCGCACCAAUUAUUUUUAAAUCAGAACCCCAUAAAACGUAAUGUGGUAGCGGAAUCCAAAUUUUGUUGACUUACGGUAGUAAUAUAUAAGUGAAAUUAAUCAAUCUGCUAAUUACCAGCUACUUUUAAAUCAGAAUAUCAUAACGUAAUGUGGUAGCAUAAUCCAACUUUGUUGAUUUAAGUAGGAUAGCCCGAAUAAGAAAUAUUGUAGUUCGUGUAUGGCAUACUGCAAAUCUUAGAAUAUGUUUUGGUUUGAGUCUUCAAGAUGUGCGAGAUAGUUAUCAUCUAGAGGAAAUGGACUUAAAGAACUAUAUAAGAGAUACACUCAUAAUUCAUAUAUACCAGAAUCCAUUUUAUUACCAAUUUUUUUUUAGUUAGAACCUAUAAAACUUAGAAACAUAUAUCAUGAUAUAGAAUCAAAGGUCAUCUCACUAAAAAUUAUUAUGCUCACAUAUGGUUUAGUUAUUCAAAAAAAUAAAUAAUCAAACAUACGAAUUAACCAAAAUAUAGUCUUAAAAGUUUUAGGUCUGCUAAAAUGUUUUUUUUAGGUGUUACUAUGCUAAGCUUCAAAUUGUAUUGUAUUCACUCUUCAGUAUAAGACUAAUGAACAUUUAAUUUACAAUUUUGAAUUUUCUAAUGGAGUAGACCGAGAUCAGGCCCAGGCUAUAACCGCUUCUUACAGGCUAUUGAUGCAAUCAAAUGUUACAAAUUGCGAACGGCUAUUUGCUUUGUGUUAGCAUUGGUCCAUUGAAUUUUAAUUUUUUUUUAUAAUAUAUUGAGUCAUAUGUAAAUACUAGAUGCCUGGUACCGGUUCUUAUCAGCUUCGCUGCUUUGUAUAUAGUCGCCGUCUGCAAGAAUCAUUCUGAGAAAUGCUAGACAAGAGUGAGAAAGACAAUUUUGUAAAAGAAAGAAGAUUGAGUUUUGCCAGAAACUACUCUACAAGAUUGUUGUAGUUUCUGGACACGCAGCUAAUUCAAACGACGAACCAAUGUUCAAGACCGGUGGGUGGUGAAUAAUUGAGCGUAUCAAUUAAGCUUGCGAAUUUGUUUUUUUUUUUUUGGCUGAAGAUUUGUUCUUGGGUUCUUGUUUUAAUGUUCUUAAUGUGGUGAAGCCAUUAGGAAAGGAAUGUGAAAACUCUUAAAAUUAAGAAGACUCUUUCCAUGUCUUCUUAAGCGAAGUUGUCUCUAGUUAUUGCCCCAAAUCAGAAAGCCACUAGACAUAGUUUAGGAUUAGAUGGAAGUCAUAGCGUCUUCAGAUUAGGUUUAGGGGAUUUAAAUUAAAGAGUCUGAAAAACAGGAUCUUCAUGAUUUAGCAAAAUCAUAUAACUUUUCAUCUUGAUUCCUCCUGUUAACAACAGAAACACACUGCAAGAUGAAAUAGAAAAAGCUACAGGUAGAGGAAUUUGAUUUUGGAUAGUGAGGAAUCAAAAUACACAGUGAAUUCAGAGGCAUCACAUACUUUUAUGAUAUAAGCAUAAAAACUGUUGAUUAUAUAAAUACAUGUAGCUUGAGAAGGAAGCAAUCCGCCUUAACUUAUUACAUAGAAAAUUGAAAAGAGAAAAUCCAAUUGAACAACACAACACACUGCAGAGAGAGAUAAGAAUGCAUAGGAAAAGCAAUAAUACAAUCCAAAUGAGCAACACAUCACACUUUCAAGAAGAAAGAGAACGCAGAAGAAGAAGCGAGGAUUCUGGUUUCUGACAGUGAGGAAUCCCAAUCCAGCUUAAGGGAUGGUUAGACAUACUGAAUCCGCUAAAGAAGAAAAAAAUAAACAAAAGUUAGUGAAUAUUCAUAAAAAAAAUACAUUUCACCUAAAACUGCUAGGAAUAUCCAGCAAAAUCUUAAGAAGCUGAACUAAUAUUAAUCAGUUUCUAUUAAAUAUUUUUAUAUAUUCUUUGCUUAACGAAUGUGAAAGGAAAAGAAGAAGAAGAAAAACACUGUUUGUAGAUAUAGUCAUUUGAACAGCUCAAUGCACAUAUGUAGAAAUUUUAAUGACCCCUCGUAUAUAUCCAUUAAACACAGGUCUGAUGAUUUUCCAGAUAAUUGUCUAAUUUUGUGCCUCAAUUUGUGUUUUGUUGGAUAUCAUGAUGCAAAUGGAUAAUAUCAGACCAAAGAAAAAACGAUCACACCUCAUUCUAACCUUGAGCAAACUUGAAAGAAACGCAGUAAGAUAAAAUAAUUUAUUCAAGCGGAAGAGAAUAAGAGAAAUGAUUACCGAAUGGAUUAAAGGCAAGAUACGUUUUUUGGUAUCUUCAUCCUCCCAUUCAAGCUCAGUUUUCUGUUCUUCAGGACGCAUAUAUAUUCCAAACCCGUCAAGUCGUGGGACACUUGUAGCAUCAAAGGGAAGCUUUCUCAGCUUUGGACAAUUUCCUACAUAUAUGUGCCGCAAUGAUGGAAAGGGGAGAGGACUCCAGUAGAUACUCUCCAGCUCAGGCAACUGUAACAGGGAUAACUUUUCUAGUUUCUGAAAUGGUGUAGUACCUGUAAGAUUGGUUGCUUUCUCUUUGUUUAUGAUUUCUUCUAGUUCUCCUAAAUGUGAAAUGUCUAGCCAAGUCAGAUUUGGAGCAAACAGUAGCCAAGUCAGAUCCUUAAUGCCAGGACAGCUAACCAUUGCCACGACGGAGAGGUUGGUAAAGCGUGGACUUGUCCGAUUGUGUAAAUGAGAUGAGUCGGUCUCGCUUUCUCUGCAUUUAGUAUAUGUAUUAAUCUCCGAGACAUGACUUUUUUUCACACAGUGCUCACGAAGAUUCUCCAUACUCACCAGCGAUGACAUAUUGAAUGGCUUUUCUUUAAAACCUUGAAUAACCAGAUGAAUGAUGCAGUUAGCCAACCUUUGAUCGCCUAAUAUAUGCUUCAAACCCAACUCGGUAGAGAUCGUUAUGUCUAGAACUUGUAGAUGCUACAAGAGCUGCAGCUCCUUCAACAAGCUAACAUCUUCAUGAACUUUAGAAUUUUCUAGUCUCAAAAUUCUUAAACUCGACAGCUUUGAUAUCCCACUGAUACUACAAAGACUCUCUGUACCAGUCAAAUCCAGAUGAAUUAGCUUUUUCAACUCUUGGAAACCAACUGGCAGUUGCUUUAUACUUGUGUACGACAAGUUAAGAUACUGCAAGGAGGCCAGCUUCGAUAUCUGCUCAGGAAGUUUUUGGAAAUCAUCAUUAUCUGAUAGAUCCAAAACAACUAGCUUUUGCAUAGAGCCGAUGAAUUCACCUGAGAGAUUCUUCAACUUAUUCUUCUGGAGGAGCAGAGUUGUAAGUUCAGAACACUUGGAACUGCAUUUUAUCUCUUUAACCUCAUUCCUCAUUAAAGACAUCCUUCUCACAGCUCUCCAAUUCUUGACUUUUGGCGUUUCGUGUAAUCCGACUCCUGCUUGAACAAAAAAAGACUCAGAUGCAAUCCAUAGAGCCAUUUCGCGAACCACGUCAUGCAUCACAACAAGACCUAUCCUAUCAGGCUGUUCUGUCAGUAAAUUUGAGCGGAUAAGGGUACCAAGUACCUCAUAACCCUUAUUCACUGCCCUUUUAUAAGAUUGGUGUUCCCCGAUGAAUCCCUCGCACAUCCAAUAUUUUAUCAAAUCUCCUUUAUCUAUCUCAUAAUCUUCCGGAAACAGAGCACAAUAGAGGAAACACGACUUGAUAUGUUCACCCGCCAAGCUAUCAUAGCUAUACUUCAGAAUCGGAAGAAUUUUGUUUUCCAUGUCAGAAAACUCUGCAGCUGAUCUGGACAAAACAUCGACUGCAAGCUCCCAUUCUUGUACCGUAGUUUGAGAUGACAUUGUCUCACCAAUGACAACAAGCGCUAGUGGCAGACCACAACAUUCUUUAGCGACCUUUUUGGCAAGCUCGACAAUGGCAGGAUCUCUACUUAAUGUAUUAUCUCCUACCUUGCUUUUGAACAAUUCCCAUGCUUCAGUCCAUUCCAAACAGUUGACUUUCAUCGGCUCAUGAUCUCCCAUCCGCCCACAUACUACCCGAGAACGAGUGCUGAAUGUUACUUUGCAUCCAUUUUCUCUGGUUGGAAACGGAACUCCAAUGACUUCUAAAUCAACUUUCUCCCAUAUAUCAUCUAACAUCAGGACAAAUCUCUUCCCUUUUAAAACUCUGUGUAUAUUGAUUGCCUUGUCACUUUCACUUUUGUUCUUCCACUCGCCGUCGCAAAGGUGUAGCUUUUGUGCAAUAUCAUCUUGAAGCUUUGAAGUAGUUGCACCUUGAGACACCACGACCCAGAUCACAACAUCAAAUCUACCAGCCACUUCAGUGAACUUAUUGUGGAUAUUCUUGAAAAGGGUAGUCUUGCCUACACCUCCCAUACCGUGCAAACCCAUGAUUCCAACUCCAUCUUCCAUAAGGCGCUUCCAUGCCUUUUCCAGCAUUGUUUCCUGACCGAUCGUAGGCCCACUAGGCCUCUCUUCUACUACAGAUCUCAAACCCGGCUCAGUAACCUCUUUAGAAUUACCCUCUGAUUUGAGAAUCUGGACCUCUUCCAGCAACAAGAAUACCUUUUUCCCAUAUUUGUAGCUCGAACAUACACUUUUUGAACAUAAACCACAGAGACACAACUUCUUAAGCUCAACAGGACUAGUACUAAGCAGAUCAUUGAACCGUGUAUCGAUGCUCUCGACACGUGUUAGCCAUACCUUGACAGCUUCAAGCCUUUGUUGAUGUUGUGCCUCCUCUCUCGCCACUUUGUUCUUCACCUCAGCUUCAAUUGCCUUGAGAUCAUCCAUUUCCCUCUUCAGAGCCCUGAGAUUCUCCUUGAGGUUUCGAAUAUAACCCUUACCACAUAAGCAUCUGACGAUAUGGUUCAACGUUUGAUCACAGGAAAGUUGGAAAGACACACAAUUCCCCAUGGUGAUAGAAAGAGAGAAAACUUUGAGUAAGCAACAAACGAAAGCUAAAGAUGAAGAAGUGUUUUAUGUGAAAAGCAUUUAACUAAUUCUGAAGAAGGAAGAGAGGAUUAGUUAGAUUUUAGUCUACUAUGCGUUUUAAUUUCCGCCAUUGUUUCGAAGGACGUUUAGUCGUUUACUUUAGAUGCAAUUAUGUUUGAAAAAUUCAAAGGUCAAUUACCAACUCUUAUCAUUAUUAAGAUGCAACUAUGUUUUAAAUUAUACAAAGGUCAAUGAUUUAAUCGCCCAGUUUGGAUUAUUAUGCAACUAUGUUUUAAAAAAACAAAGCUCAAUUAAUGUUUAAUCACUGGGUUUGGAUUAUUAUCAUCACUUGUUGUUAAUUAUUUAAAUCAUUCACUUUAAAAUAUUUGUGAAAAAUCAAUUACUUUAGAAUAUUUUCCAAAUGACAUGGGAACCAAUAACCAUGAUCAAAAACGGUGUGGUGCGAUCGCACGAAGCCAAAAACAACUUACAAGAAAUCUGGAACAGAGCAGACAAUGGAGAAGUCUAAGGAUCUCGUCAAGGCUGAGAACUCAGAAUGGCCUCCAAAUUUUAUCUGCACCUGAAUUCAGAAUGGCCUAACAAAAAGUGCAGAAUGGCUUAUAAAAACUGCCCAUACCAAGCAAAAAAAAAAAAAAAAAAAAAAACAAAAAACAAAGUCAGUCAAUAACAGAUAUCAGUCUCGAAGUUGCUUUUUUGUUUCACCAAAAAAAAGAAAAGAAGAAGUUGCUUCUUUUGUGGGAAAAGCAGAGGUCAUAUAAAGGCUCAUUGUUACAGGUUUCAGAGGAAAGUAAAUCAGUUUUAGAAUCAUCAAGACUAUAUGGAAAAACCAUUGAGAUUCACAGAAGCAAAGAAUUUUAUUUUGGACAUCGAGGAAUAAAAAUCUAAAAUCAAAAUCCAAAGGUACAUUGAAGGAUGUUUAGACCCAAAACGGCUACAAAAGAAAAGAAAGAAAAAAAAGUUAGUGACACUUGUGGAACGCAUUGAAAUUGAGAGGGACAACAUAUUCUGAAAAUAAAAUUCCAUUUUAACAUGUCUGCAGGGAUUAUCCAACUAAUUCUACCUCACCAUUGAUAUCUUAAGAAGCUGAACUAGGUUUAAACGGUUUUGUUGCGGAUAUCACCAAUAUCAAUUCGUUCAAAUUGAGUUUCCGAUCUGAAUCUUUAGAUGAAAUAGAAACGAGAAAUAAGCAAUAGAAACUACACACAAGAUUUAUCCAGUUUAGGGGCCAACCGCGACCCUACAUCUGGCAGAGACUUCCUCGGAAUUCACUAAGAGAAUGGUUUACAGAGUAGCCGUUACUCUCACUGGAAGAUACCCCGAGAAUCCCUUUCACUCACCGGAAAGAUCUCACAGUUUUCACUCACCAAUUACAAAAAAUGGUAUGUCGAAGAAGAUCUCUCUCUCUCUCUCUCUCUCUCUCUCUCUCUCUCUCUCUCUCUGUCUGCAACUAAUUAAUGACCGACCCGUAGUAACAAACCGAAACAACCCCUGCGCGUAAACACACGCUCUAACGGUCACUCUUCGAUAUCAGCUUCUAGAAGAAGCUCGUAACGAUGACGUCUUGGAGUCUUACCUUAUCCGGUUCACCUAAUCCUGAAAUCAAUAUCCUGACUUCAUAAACCGGAACCUGCUAAUUGAACUAGAUGGUUUAUCAACCAAACCCAUCGGACAGGUUUUUUAACUUUCUCUUUUAACAUUUUUCUCCUCCCAUAUAUUCUUUGCUGAACAAGAAACCCAAAUGCCAAAUGUGAAAGAAGAAGAAGAAGAAUUAUUUGUGAUUUGAUCAUUGAAGAAUUCAAUACACACAUGUUUUGUAAUUUUGGAAUUAAUGAUACCCCAUACAAAUCCACCAAACACAUGUUUUAUUUUCAACGUAAUUUUACAGUUUGUGAUCCAGAUUUGUUUGUUGAGUAUCAUGAUGUACAUAUGGAUCAUAUCAGUCUAAUAAAACGAUUCAGACCUCAUGCUAACCUUGAGUGAAAGAAACUUAGUAGUAAAAAUAAUUACCCAAACAGAAGAGUUUAAAGGCAUCUUCUAUAUAUAAUUCUAUAUUUUACUCUAUUUAGAUACUCCAUUUUUAGAGUAAUUCUAUUUUUAGAGUAAUUCCAUUUUUUAAUAGUAAUUCCAUUUUGGAGUGAAAUAUGAAAUAGGUUUAGAGAGAAUUUUCUUCGAACUCGAAAUUUGGAGUAGAGUCGGAGAUGAUCUAAGAGAACUGAUUACCCCAUCGAAUGAACGCAAGAAACGAUUCUUGGUAUCUUCGUCCUCCAUUCAAGCUCAGUUUUUUGUUCUUGAGGAAUCAAUCUUAUUACAAACUGGCCAACUCAUGAGAAACUUGUAGCAUUUAAGGGUAGCUUUCUCAGCUUUGGACAGAGAUCAGCUACUAUGUGCUUCAGAAAUGGAAAGGCAAGAGGACUCCCGUAGAUACUCUCCAGCUUAGGCAAAUUCCUAAAUGUUAUAAAUUUUAGUUUAUGAAAUGGUCUUAUACCUGUAAGAUUGUUACUUUUUUGUUUACAAUGUCUUCCAGUCUUCUUGAAUUUUCAAUCUGUAGGUAGACAAAAUAUAUUGACUAGAUUAUGUUGAAAAAUGUCAAUCUCUAAAACAUUGCUUCAGUUCGCCAACCUUCAAUCGCCCAAUAAUUGCUCCAAAUCCAACUCCGCAGAUAUGAUUAUGGUUAGAACUUGUGGAUUCUCCAAGAGCUGAAGCUCCUUCAAUAAGCUAGCAUCUCCAUGAAAAUUAGAAUAUUGGAAUUUCAAAAUUCUUUAACUUGAUACUUUUGAUAUCCCAUUGAUACUAGAAAGUCUCUAUGUAACAAUCAAAUUCAGCUGACUUCGCUUUUUAAAAUCUUGGUAGCCAACAUGGAGUUGCUCUAUACUGUAUACAACAAGUCAAGAUACUGCAAGGAUGCCAGCUCUGAUAGUUUUUUCAUAGAGCGGAUGAAUUUACCUGAGAGAUUUUUCAAAUUAUCACUCUGGAGGAACAGAGUUUUAUAAGUUCAGAGCACUUGGAAAUGCAAGUUAUCUCUUUAAUCGUAUUCUUCAUUAAAGACAUCCUUCUCACAGCUUUCCAAUGCUUGACUUUUGGUACAUAACCCUUAUUCUUCGCUCUUUUAAAAACUUGGCAUUCUCCAAUGAAUCCCUCGCAGAUCACGUACUCUAUCAAUUUUUCUUUAUCUAUUCGAACAUCUUCUGGAAACAGAGCACAAUAAAAGAAACAUGACUUGAUACGUUCAUCCACCAAGCAAUUGUAGCUGUACUGGACAUUUUGCUAAUGUUGAGCAAACAUGACUUUAUCUAUAGAGGAAACAUGACUUUAUCUAUAGUGUUUUUGGUCAAUAGGUGGAAUGCAUUUAGCUAAUGACGAUGAAAGAGAGAGAUUGUGUUAGAUUUCAUUCCUCUUUGCUUUGUAAUUUCUCCCAUAGUUUCAAAGUCGUCGACUUGAUGCAACCAUGUUUUUAUAAAGAUGAUUAAUCCCCAGUUUCGGAGUAUUUUAAUCACAUUAGAUGCCACUAUGUUUUAAAAGACAAAGCUCAAAUUCGUUGACUUGAGCUUUUCAAGAACGAUUUGAAACGUGUGGCUGAUGUUCCAGAAAGAAAUGCACCUGAUUUCAGAAUGGCCUCCAGAAACCUGCACCAUACCAAGUAAAAUCAAAACAAAUUAAAGUCAGAUAAUAAAAAAUUAAAAGAGGAAUGCUUCUGGGGGACAACUCCUAAGCAGCAUUGCUCUUGGAUUUGGAAAUCUAUUCUCUCUCUCUUAUGCCCCUUGCAAAGAAUCUGAUCGGAUGUGAUGUUAGGGAUGGCGUGUCAACAAGUUUCUGGUUUGACUCUUGGACCAAUUUAGGUCUGUUGAUUGACUUGACAGGUCUUGAUGACCCACAAAAAAUGGGAAUUCCUCUUUACUCUUCGGUUGCUGACUCUUGUUCUCCCAACGGGUGGAGACUUUCCUCAGCUAGGACCAGAGACUCAUCUCAUUUAGCUAUCCGCAACACCAUUACUGAGUUAUCCAUCCCGCACCAAGAUCAGGGUGGAGACGUGUUUCUUUGGGGUGUAGAAGGUUCAAGAAGAGAUUAUUUCUGUACCAGCAAAACUUGGCAUAUUCUGAGGCUUAAGGAGGAUAUAAAACGUUGGUUGAAAGCUGUGUGGUUCAAGAGAGCCACUCUGAAGCAUGCUUUCACCUUUUGGACGGCAAACUAAGACAGGUUACCACUGAAAACAAAGCUUGUGAGCUGGGGAAUUAAUAUCUCUCCAACAUGCUGCCUUUGUGACAUGGAGGAAGAGACUAGAGACCAUUUGUUUCUACACUGUCCAUUUUCUGAAGCAGUUUUGACCAUGGGGAUUCGGCGACUCGAAUUUUUUUGGAGUCUCAUUCUCUAAUUGGCAGUCCAUGAUCAACUGGAUGCUUCAACGAACACCAAGACUCUCCUCUACCCUGAAGAAGAUCCCAGGCGACAAUUUACUUGUUAUGGCGUGAACGAAACCAGAUAAUACAUGAUGGUCCUCUAUCUUCUGAAAACCAUCUCUUCGAUUAGUUGGAUAGACUGAUUAGAGACACAUUGUUGGCACACAAUCCCAGCGUAACUAUAGGGGUCUUCUAUCUCUUUGGUUUAAGAGCCACUAGUUCUUCAAGCUCGAUUGUAAUUCUACUAAAAUGAUCUGUUUCCAAGCCUUUUUCCUUUUUUUAGGCUUUUGAAACAGUGGCUGAGAGAUUUAUAGAAUAGCAGCGGAUUAAGCAAGAAUAUAGAGAGAUUUAGGUGAGAUUAAUGAAAAACUAAAGAAAAGAAGAGAGAAUCAAGAGAUUUAGAGAAAAAGAUAUGUAUUCUCAUUUUCUUAGAUCUAUAGAAAGCUGCUACAUGUGUUUAAGUAGGAAGACAAAGAAAACCCUAACACAUAUGGGCUUACUAAAUACCUUAUAAAGUUUUAUAAAGUUUAUAAAAUCUUAUAAAGUCUUAUAAAGUCUUUUAAAGUUUUCUAAUUGGAUUCCCACCAGAAAAGCUGAGAAUGAUCCAUCUUGUUUAACAGUGGCUAAUGUAAUAUACAAUAUAAUUCAAAUUUUAUUUUAAAAAAUAUAAGUUGCUUCUUUUGUGGGCAAAAAACAGGUCAUACAAAAGCUCGUCGUUAGUCUUUACAAGUUUCAGAGGACAGUAAUAUAUAAAAUCAUCAAAUUAUAUCGAAAACCCAUUGAGAUACACAAAAGCGUGUGUUCAAGAGGAAAGAAUUGUACAAGAAUAAUCUAUAACAUGUUGCAUCUAAUUGUGUCGAUGUUACAUGGGAUCUUCUUCGUCCAUCUACUAUAGUCAUAACAGGAUGUUAAAGCAAGACUUAAAGAUGAUGGAUCCGAGUCUGAAGUUACAGAAACGUGGAUUAAGCAAUAAAUUGGAGAUGAUGAAAAUAAGUUAUGCCCAAAGUAGCUUAUGAUGUGGAAGUGGGUUUUGUUUUUUUUUUGCGAAUCCUAAAAGAUUAUUGUGUUGUGCUGAUUCUACGUUAGUCUUAGAAGAAUGGAGUGUGUAAAAUAGAGAAAAUUUUAUAAAAGAAGUAACGUUCAUAUGUAGAAAAGCAUGCUUUUGAAUGAAUAAUGACUUGGUUUAUUUUUCUGUUGAAAGAAAAAAAAAUUAUUUAAUAUUUCAAAACGAGUGUAAAAGUGGAAUACUUUCUCGCGACAGAAAAAAUAUUCACUGCUGGUGAUCUAAAUGACGAUCCCAAAUAGACAAAUAAUAUUAGAAAUCUAUCUAUACACUAUUAUUUGCGAGGUUAAAAAUUUUAGGUGUCGUUCCCACAACAAUUGUUCUACAUGGCAUUAAUGAAAAAAUAUUAUUUAUCGUUUUAAUUUGUUUUGAUAAAUCGAUCAUUAAUCCUACGUGUAAAAACUUGUGACUUGGCUUUUUUCUUCGAUAAUGGGCUACAGAAUUUGUUCAUGGGCCAGCGAUUUUGUUUUCACUCAUAGCCACCGAUUCUGGUAAUAGGGCACCAACGUCGAAACCCUAAACUCUAAAGCAUAUAUCCUACUAUAUAUACAUGUAUUAUCUACAUAUAUUUUUACAUACAACAACCGUCUUCAAGGUCUAGCAAUUUUUACAAAACUCGUCCACCUCUAUUACACGAAUACAUCUUUUUUAUAUCCCAAUCUGGUUUAAAAUAUAUCGUUUGUUUAGUUGGUUGUUCUUCCAUGCUAACCUUUGAAUCGUUUUGUUCUGAUCGAGAUUCUUUUAUGCUAACCAGUCAAAUAUCUAUGUUUUUUCUCUAUCAUGUUCUAUAUUACUAUGCAUCACAACUAUCUUAUUUUUUAACCCCUGUUUUACUCUCUAUGCGAUUGGUCAUCGAGAUAUCAUAUUUGUGUUCUUUCUUUUGCUUUGUAAUUCUAUAUAUAAAAUUCGAUGCUUCAGUAUUAGAUAUUCAUGUUUCUCUUUAUUAAAUUUUUCUUAUGGUUAUAUUUGAUAUUAUUCGUAAAUCUAAAUUGACCUGAGCUUCUUUAUUGUUUUCCUUGAACCUAGAGUUCAUCGUGCAAACUAUAUGUGAUUGGUUCAAACUUUUGCAAUCAUAUCUUCAAAUGAAUCUAACAUGUAAUUGUAAAUAAAUCAUUAGUACUUUUUUUGUCAACAACUUAUUAGGACUUCUAAUUUUCUUAAUUGAUAUUCGUAAACUCUCUAAUUUAUUAUUUUGAUAUUCUUAGAAGGAUCAAAACCAUAGAAAUGAGUUUUUUUGUGUGUAUAAUUCAUGUUUUAGUUUAGGUUUGUAUUAAUUUUUCUGGUAACAUAUUGUGAAUGAAUGUUAUUUAUUGUUUGAUUGUUUGAUUGUUCUUUGUUUCUCCUUGGGUUCUACUUUACAUUUUCUUUAUAUUGUUGUUUAUGUUUAUUUUUAUUUCUAAAUAUAAUUUAUGGUUUUCGUGGUAGCUUUUGUGGACAAGUAAAAAAAAAAAAGAGUAACCAGUUCAGAUUAAUUUUGGUUUCAUAGUUUACUAAAGAUAUGUAACAUGAACAAAACGUCUAUUGUUUUAUAACAUUCCCAUUGUUUUCUACCCAAAGGCAAUUAUGUUGGUUCUGGAAAAAAUGUUUUAUAGUUUUGAUUUUUACCCAACACAUUCUUUUAUCAGAAAAACAUUAAAUUACUCUCAAGAUUAAACUUAUCAGGCAUUAAAGCAAUAUCUUUGUUGGUAAGUCGAUGAAUGAGAAUGUGAUGUCUCAUAACUUCAAAGAGCAAAGGAAAAAUAAGUGACAACGAGACUAGAUUCGGUGUGAGUAGAAUCUUUACGCAUGUUAAGUACUUGUUGAUAUACAACAAUCGUAUUGAGAACAGAGUGCAAACCAAUUGCAAAUUGCACCAUCCAAUUGGUGUUAAAUUAUAUUAUGGUUAAUCCCUGACCCAUUUCUUAGUUUCAUCAUUUGUUAAUGAAUCAUCAGUUUUUUUUAACCCCUGAUGAGAGAUAAAAUCAGCUGAAGGAAGGAGAGUCACCAAUACAGAGAAAGAAGAAUUUUUGCUAUAAAAUAUUCAGGUCUUAAUUUUCAUCAUCCUUGUAAUUUGUUUCAGCUUGCUAAAACUACUUUUUUAGUGUUGCAGACUUCAUCAGAAUACCUAAUAAAUUGAUGAUUCUCUGACACCAGAAUCUAAGAAAUAUACUCACACGUGAUAAACUGAAAUUUUUGUGAAUUGCAGAAUGAACAUACUCACACGUUGCAUUUCUCAUAUGUUUUGAUGUCUAACAAGUAAUUCUUGUGUCAUAUAGCUUUGUUGCUUUAAAAUUUUAGUUUUUGAAUUGAAUUUAUCUUAAAACAAUCCAUCCUUUGAUUGCUUCUCUAAAACCAAAAUCUUACAAGACAAAGCUUAUAUUGUAUCUUCGAAGAAGGUUGAAGAAUGAGAUGAAAUCUCGAGUAUGUUUCUAUGUUCAAAAAACUCAAAUCAGAUUGUUAUGUGUUUCUGAAGUUCACUGGUUUAGUACUUGAACACGAGCAAACAGAGAUUGAACACUCAUACAUUGAGUUGGACAAUACUAAAACGGGUCGGAAUCCCUUACUGAAAUGCGUGAGGAAAACACAGAAGCUAAAGAAAAUAAUGGAUGAAAUGAAAAAAGAUAGUUGGGUGGCAAAUAAAUGUGUGAUUGAUAUGAAAAAUUGGAAAAAAGAGAUGACGAAGACUUGAAGGUAAUGAAGAGAACAAAAUUGAGAAGGAGAAGUUGAGGAGAUAAGGCUAAAGCUAUAUUGUAGAAUUUAUCAUUAAUUUAAAGAGAAGAAGAAGACGAAAAAGAAGGGAAAACCUAAGGAGAUAUAAGUUAUGAAUAUAGAGAGGGAGGUAUGGAGAGAGAGAGAGAGAUGGAGAAAGAAGGAGAGAGAGGGAGAUACAGAGAGAGGGGGAGAUACAAAGAGAGGGGGAGAGACAGCGCGAUGGAGAGAGAGGGGGAGUGAGGAGAUACAAAAAGAGAGGGAGAAGGAAGGAGGGAGAUAGAGACAGACAGAGAGAGAGAUGAAAACAUUGUAUGUGCAAGUAAACAAAUCAGAAUAUGAAAACAAGAGAAAAUAUGAAUCAGAAUAAUAAUCAUUCUGAAAAUAUGAAUACAAUGAAGACUGAGAAGCAGUGAAAAGACAAAGAAAAUCAAAAUAAAAUGUCGGGAGACUAGAUGAUGAUGAAGAAAAGGAUGAGGGAUAGGAAGACUGAAAGAUAUGUAAGAGGAAGAAGAAGAAGAAGUAGAAGUAGAAGUCAAAGACGAUGAAGAAAAAGAAGGAAAAAACAAGGAAGAAAAAACUCCGAAAGAUGAAUAAGAGGAAGAAGAGAAAAAUGAAUUCAAUGGAAAGAAGAAGAAUAAAAAUUCGAAGAGAAAGAAGAAAAAUACAUUGAAAUGGGAUAAAAAAGAAGAAUACGAGUAAACCCGGAAAAAAAAUUUCAGGGGAAAGAAUUGAUCAAACACAUCAAAAAAGAGUAAGAAAAAUACGAAGAAGAAAAAAAUAAAAGAUAAGGAAUAUGAAGAAGAGUUGAACAAAGAAGGAGAAAACAAAGAAGAAGACAAAUAAGAAGAGAAAGAAGAAGUAGAAAUAAAAAGAUGAGGAAUAAGAAAAGCGAAAAAUAAAUAAGAAAAAGAAGAAGAAAAGGCAAAGGCGAUAAAAAAUAAUUUCAUUUUAUACAUGAUUCUUCUGAUUGUUUAUAUGUAUUGUAACUAUCUAAGCUUUUGGCUAUAACUGGUCAUUGGUUUUUGUUGUCUUACAGUGUAUAGGUACUUCCUCUCUUCCCUUGUAUAUUUGUACGUGAUUAUCGUGACAUUUCUACGUAGGUAUUAGAGUAUUGAUACUUACGAUCUAAUUACACAUAUAUUGGAUGGUUGGAAGACAAUGAAGAAAAAUAAUAAAAAAAAAGAUGAUAAAGAAGAACAACCAAAAGAUAAAGAAGAAGAAAAAGAAGAAAACGAAUAACCAUUAUGUGGAAAUGAAAAAUUCGUAUUUGUAUUAGUUUAGUUUGUUUGUAAGUUUUAUACAUUUAUUUAGUAUUGCAUUUUGGGUGUUUCAUUUUAUGGAUUUGUUUUAUUUUGGUCAUAUUAAGUCACAAUUGUUUUGAUUUUCUUGAUUCACAUAAUAUAAAGUUUUGUUUUACAAUUUUAAAUCUCUCAAAGGUCCGCGCAAGGAGCUGACAAGACACCUAGUUUUAAUUUAAAUAAAAACAGAUUUUAUUUGAAUUCAAAAUGAUUAUUGGUAAGCCGGUGAUCACUUUGUAUUUUAAAACUUAAAAUUUUUUUUUAAGUUAAUACUCUUCUUCCCUAAAUAUUAAAAAAAGAAUGGGCAUUAUGACAAUCUUACUUUGUCUUGUAAAGAAAAAACUUAUGUUUUUCCUAACUCGAACGUUACAUCAUUAAUCGAAAUUAAAAUGUUCGACCUGAUAAAGAUACAUUCCAAACACGAGAAGCAAACGUAGCUGCGUAUCUUCUAUCAUAGCUGUAUCAAGUAUUGAGUAUGGUAAUCGAUUUGUAUUAUUGAUGAAGUAUAGUCACAAUAUAUACAAGAGGAGAGGCCAAUAUACAACGGUAAUCUACAUUAACUAUAUGAGCGAUUAUAGGAGAUGAUUAUAGGAUAUGAUGAGAUAUGAGGAAUAUGUGUUUCCAUAUUCUAUCACACCCACUCAAGAUGGACGGCCUGGUGAGAGUCUGAUCUUGACAAAAAGAGUUUGUAAUCGAGCUCGGGAGAGUGGUGUCGUGAGAGCAUCAGCCAACUGAUCCGGAGAUGUGACAUGAGUAACUCGCAGCUGGCCAGGCUGAACAAACUGGCGUACGAAAUGGUAGUCUAAAGCGAUAUACUUCAUCCUAGAAUGAAAAACAGAGUCUAUUGCUGCCAAAUAUGUAGCUCCUAUGUUGUCAGAAUAAAUGACUGGAGUGGAGGUGACAUUGAGGCCCAAUUCUGAUAGGAGAGAUGAAAUCCAGCAAACUUCAGCAGUGCUAGACGCGACUGAGGUAUUCAGCUUCGGUAGAAGAGCGAGAGACCCCAGUUUGUUUCUUCGAGGACCGAGCAAUGGGAUGACUUCCGAAGUAGACAAUAUAAGCAUUUGUGGAUGUGUAGUCGUCUUUGUUACCCACUCAAUCAGCAUCGGUGAAGGCAUGCAGAUCUGGUUUGUUGUUCGCUCGUAGAUAGAUGCCGUGAGAUAUAGUACCAGAGAGGUAGCGCAGGAUUCUUUUUACGGCAGUCCAAUGUUCAGUGGUCGGACGAUGCAUGAACUGAGAUAGUUUGUUAACAGAGAACAAGAUAUCAGGCCUAGUAAGGGAGAGAUAUUGAAGACUCCCCACAAUAAUUUGGUAUUCUGUUGCAUCAUCUAAGGCAGUACCGGAGAGAAGAGUGAGCGAUGAGUUGGCUUCCAUUGGUGUUGAGACAUGUUUAGCAUUGGUCAUGUUGGCCUUGUGCAUUAAAUCUGCAAUAUAACGACGUUGUGUUAGGUGUAGUCCAUCUUUCGUACGAGUUACCUUAAUACCUAAAAAUAAGAUAAAUCACCUAAGUCUUUAAGGGAGAAACGUUGAGAAAGGGAAGCGAUAAACCGAGAAAUAUGAGAGGAACUGUUGCCAGUGAUUAUGAUUUCGUCGACAUAAACAAGCAUGUAGAGAAGAAUGUCGUUCUGCUUAUAUAUGAACAGAGAGGCAUCAGCGACAGAGUUUGUGAAGCUGGAUUGAGGGAGAAACGUGCACAGCUCAUUGUACCAAGCUCUUGGAGCUUGUUUAAGGCCGUAGAUGGCUUUAUGGAGUUUGCAUAUUGCUUGUGGAUUUUCUUUGUCUUGGAAACCAGGCGGUUGGAUCAUAUAAACUUCAUUUUGAAAAUGUCCUUGUAAGAAGGCAUUGUUGACGUCAAGUUAUCGCAUCGACCAAUUCCGUGAAAAAGCUGUUGCGUCUACCACUGCUGAAGUUUGCUGGAUUUCGUCUCUCCUAUCAGAAUUGGGCAUCGAUGUCACAUCCACUCUAGUCAUUUAUUGUAACAACAUAGGAGCUACAUAUUUGGCAGCAAACCCUAUUUUUCAUUCUAGGAUGAAGCAUAUCGCUUUAGACUACCAUCUCGCACGUCAGUUUGUUCAGUCUGGUCAGCUGUGGGUUACUCAUGUCACAUCUGCGGAUCAGUUGGCUGAUGCUCUCAUGAAACCACUCUCCCAAGCUCGAUUCCAUACUCUUUCUAUCAAGAUCGGACUCUCACCAGGCCAUCCAUCUUGAGGGAGUGUGAUAGAAUAUGAAAACACAUAUUCCUCAUAUCUCGUCAUAUCCUAUAAUCAUCUCCUAUAAUCGCUCAUAUAGUUAAUGUAGAUUAACGUUGUAUAUUGGCCUCUCCUCUUGUAUACAUUGUGACUAUACUUCAUCAAUAAUACAUAUCGAUUACCAUACUCAAUACUUGAUACAGCUAUGAUAGAAGAUCAGCAGUUACGUUUGCUUCUCGUGUUUGGAAUGUAAUCUUUAUCAGGUUGAACAUUUUAAUUUCGAUUAAUGAUGUAACGUUCGAGUUAGGAAAAACAUAAGUUUUUUCUUUACAAGACAAAUUAAGAUUGUCAUUAUGCCCGUUCUUCUUUAAAUAUUUAGGGAAGGAGAGUAUUAACUUACUCAAACUCGAAAGGAAAAGCAAUGGUGUAGUAUAGGAGUAUCCAUUAACGAUCUGUAACGAACAUUACUAAACGACUCAUGUUUCAAAUGAAGAAAAUUAUAAUUUACUAACAAUUAUUUUGGGUAUAUCUUACGGUCUUACAUGGUGUUUAAAACUCUCUUAUCCUAAGAUAUAACAACAAAAUACCAUAUUCGUAUUCAUUUAGUAUAAUCUUUUUUUUUUCCUUACUUUACCGUUACAUCAUUCAAGCAAACAACACCUUUUGAUCAACACAAUAAUAGAACACACAAAUGAAUUACAGAACGUGAGUAGUGUUAAAAAGAGAAAAUUUUACUUGACAACAAAUCAAAUGAGAAUUUUCACACAAAAACAAGAAAAAAAAAAGAGAGAAAACUUAUUACCCUGAAAUUGAAUAUUCUAUUUUCAGAGAAAUAUGAAACACUCUACGCAACAAGCGGGUUCUCUAACAAUUCCUCAGUGGUAUAACCGUAAUUCUGAUACUGUUGCUGAUCCGACCCGUUUUUGCUCGGAUCUAGCCUAACCCGAGCCGGAGGCUGAUUGUUUUUCAUAGUCCCUGCCCCACCCACCCGACUCUGAUUCGAAUCCAUCAUGGAUCUGUUCGUUGCCGGUGAUCUCGUCCUUCUUCCGGAUCUCUCACCAUUACACGUACCCGAACCGAAUCUCGCUCCAUUACACGUACCGGUGUUUCUCUUACGAGGAGAUUGAUCGGUUCUUCUUCGGGUCGGGUAAUUAUUCCCUGUGACCCGGGUCCAAGAUUUAGCCGGAGAUCUCUGAGACAUGACUAUAAACCACCUCGACCUCACGAAGAUUCGCCAUACUCACCAGCAAUGGCUUUUCUUCAAAACCGAGAAUACACAGAUAAUUGAUGCAGUUAGCCAACCUUGGAUCGCCUAUGUGGAGUAGUUGUCGUUUUGGUGUCUAAGUCGUUUCUUAAUGGGCUUGCGACAUCAGGUGGGCUUCUACGUUUUACAAGUCUCGACUAAAAACAAGAGCUGGGCCUUACGGGAAAAUUGGCCCGAGCUCAAGGUUGUUAAAAACAAUCAUCGUUGACCAAGUCUUCGUCUUCUACAAUUGGAAUAACAGAACAGAGAGAGAGCGAAUUCUACAGAGUUCUAGAGAGAGAAAGUUUUCUUCUCGGUGAUCGGAGUUACAGCGAUCGGGUUGGUCGAUCUCGGAGGUCUCUGCGUCGAUUCUUUUCCAAGAGUUUUCCCUGCAAAUAGCUGUAGAAAGAUUCAGCAAAAGGUUCACUUGUAUAUCUGUUCUAAACGUUGAUAUAGUGAACGCAUGGUAGUUUAGUUCUACCCCCAGACGUACCGCGAGGGAACUGGGUUAACAAGUUUGCCUGUGUCAUUAGUCUAGAUUCUUCCGCAAGAACACCUUAGUUGAAUCUAGCUCAAUCGAAUUGAUCAAGCUUUUGGGACUAAGAAAUUGAUUCUAGUGUUAGUCGGAUUUCUUAACAAAGUGGUAUCAGAGCAUAGGCUUAUAGAUCGCCGGAGGGAUUACGGUUAAGUGAUCAGGGGGCGAUCUUGGAUCUGAGUUCGAUUGGUUAUCUUUGAAAUUCCUGAAGUCAGUCGAGUUUCUUCUUGGACCAAGUUAUUACUGCAUUCUUUUGGUCUUGGCUCAAGAACAGGAAAGAUGGAAGCAGUUAAGAAGUUUGAGAUGGAGAAGUUUGAUGGCAAAGGUGAUUUCGGUAUGUGGAAGUUUCGCAUGUUGAUGCAACUUGAGUUGCAAGGUUUUGGGAAACAAGUAAAGGAAAUCACAGGAGAGGUUAAGGAUGACACAAAAGGCAAGGACUUAGAAGAAGUGGACUCUGAAACAGGUGUGGCGUUAACUCCGGACCAGAUCAUAGAAAGAGAUGUGAGAAUCCGGAAUCUCAUAUGCUCAAGCUUAACAUCAAUGGUCCUCAGAAAAGUCAUGAAGGAAACGACAGCAGCUGGUGUGUGGAAAGCCUUAGAGGCUGAUUAUCAGACGAAGACUCUACCUAACAGAAUCUAUCUCAAGCAACGGUUUGCAAGUUACAGGAUGGACAAGAAUAAAUCAAUAGAUGAAAACAUGGAUGGUUUCUUGAGACUGGUUGAUGAGUUGGAAAGUUUGAAUAUCCAGAUAAGCGAUGAAGAUUAAGCCAUUCAAGUGUUGUCCGGGUUGCCCGAACAGUAUGCUUCUUUGGUGCACACAUUGAAGUAUGGAAACAAAGGCAAGGAUACCCUGACACUAGCUGAAGUGGUGCAAUCAGCUCACGCAAAGGAGGUGGAGCUUCGUGAGUCUGGUCUCUUGAAUAAGUCAAACCACACAUCAGAAGGGUUAUACGCGGGUCAAGGAAAGUCUGUAAAGAAAAGCAAAGGAAAGUUUGCUGGGGGAAAACAGAAGUCUGGGAAAUCAAAGAAGGAUUCCCAGGGAGGACAAGUCAAAGCACGAGAGUGCUGGGUGUGUGGCAAGGAAGGUCAUUUUAAGAAAGACUGUCCACAAAAGAAAACUCAGGCAUCCUCAAGCUCAGCAAAUUUGGCUCAAGAAAGUGAGAAACCAAUGAUUCUCACGGCGAGCACAAAAUAUGCUAAAGACGAGUGGGUGCUGGAUUCAGGGUGUACGUUUCACAUCACACCAGAAAAGGAUCUACUAUUUGAUCUCACGGAAUUUAAUGGAGGAAAAGUGUUAAUGGGAAAUAACACAUUUAGUGAGAUCAAAGGUAUAGGAAAACUGAAGAUUGUUAAUCCAAGCAAUUCAACAGUUGUUCUAACUGAGGUAAGAUACAUGCCAUCAAUGGGCAGAAAUCUGAUUUCCUACGGACAGUUGGAAAAGGAAGGAUGUUCUUAUGAAGGGAAAGAUUUCACGGUCACAUUCAAAAAGGAUGGGAAGAAUGUUCUUACUGGAAAGUAUAAAGACGGGCUCUACUACUUACAAGGGUCAGUAGUUGAAGGAGAGGUGGAUACAGUUUCUAGAGCUGCGGUUAAUCUGACAAACAGGUGGCAUUCCAGGUUGGGGCACAUGAGCUUAAAGAAUAUGAAUCAGUUGGUUAAAGAUGGUUAUCUUAACAAAAAGGAAGUUCAUACUCUGGAUUUUUGUGAAGAAUGUGUUCUUGGGAAAGCACACAAGUUAAGUUUUCCAACAGGCAAGCAUACAUCAACCGUGAACUUAGAAUAUGUUCACAGUGAUCUUUGGGGAUCUGCAGCGAAUUCUGAGAGCUUAUCAGGCUGUAAAUAUUUCUUGACCAUCAUUGAUGACUAUUCCCGAAAGGUCUGGAUCAGAUUUCUAAGGAGUAAAGAUGAAGUGUUUGGAAAUUUUUCAGAAUGGAAGCUCUUGGUGGAAAAUCAGACGGGUAAAAAGAUCAAGUGUCUCAGGACGGAUAAUGGGUUGGAAUUUUUCAAUGUUCAAAUGGACAAGAUAUGCAAGGACUCAGGAAUAAAGAGGCAUAGGACCUGUACCUAUACUCCACAGCAAAAUGGGGUUUCAGAAAGGAUGAACAGGACCAUUGCUGAUAAGGUUAGGUGUAUGUUAGCGGAAUCUGGAUUGGAGAAAAAGUUUUGGGCAGAAGCAGCAUCUACAGCAGUAUAUCUCAUCAACAGGACACCUAAUGCAUCACUUAAGUUCAAGAUACCAGAAGAGUUGUGGUCAGGGACAAAAAUCGGAUAUGAUCAUCUCAGAAGGUUCGGGUGUAUAGCUUAUGUUCAUACUAUUCAAGACAAGAUCAGUCCUCGGGCUUUAAAAGGUAUUUUUAUGGGGUAUCCUCAUGGAACCAAGAGUUACAGGAUCUGGUUGUUAGAAGAACAAAAGACUACAAUCAGCCGAAAUGUUAUCUUUGAUGAAUCCAGGGUGUAUAAGGAUUUGGGGAAAAAUGAAGAAGAAAGCCUUGAACUUAGUGAAAAGGUUGUCAUUAACCCAAAGACUAAGAAGGUCCCAGGCUCAAGGGUCACAAGAGUAAACAGAGCAGGCUCAUCUGGAAGGAGACGAUCUACGGUUCAAGGUGGAGCUGUUUCAGUUGAGUCAGAAGAUUCAGAUACCGAAGAAAAUGGGUCUGAGGGUGAUCAAGAAGAUGGUUCUGAACAGGAAAAUGCAGGGGUGGAAGAAAAUCUAGAUAACUAUAUCUUAGCUAGGGACAGAGAAAGAAGAACGAUUCGUCCCCCAGCAAUGUUUGAAAGUGGGGACUAUGUUGCUUAUGCCCUAGCAAGUGCAGAAUUGAUUGAACCUCAAGAACCGAGAACUGUUUCAGAAGCGAGAAGAAGUAAAGAGUGGAAACAGUGGAAUGAGGCCAUGGUAGAGGAGAAGCAAUCUCUUGAUAAAAAUCACACAUGGGACAUUGUGGAUAGACCUCAGAAAAAGAAGAUCGUUGGUUCGAAAUGGAUUUUCAAAUUGAAAGAGGGAAUUCCAGGAGUUGAACCACCUAGAUACAAAGCAAGACUUGUAGCUAAGGGAUUCACUCAGGUGGAAGGAAUAGACUACAACGAGAUCUUCUCUCCAGUAGUGAAACAUGUCUCGAUAAGGAUAAUGCUAUCAGUGGUUGUGAAUUUCGAUAUGGAACUCGAGCAACUAGACGUGAAGACUGCAUUCCUUAAUGGUAAACUAGAUGAAACUAUUUACAUGGAACAACCAGAGGGUUUUAUCGAGAAAGGAAAUGAAGGAAAGGUAUGUCUGUUGAAGCGGUCUCUUUAUGGUUUAAAACAGUCGCCGAGACAGUGGAAUCACAGGUUCAAUGAGUUCAUUCAGUCACAAGGUUUUAAGAGAAGUGUGAAGGAUCCAUGCGUGUAUUACAAAGGUUCAGUUGUGGAGGAUAGUGUCUACUUGUUAUUAUAUGUUGAUGACAUGUUAAUAGCAGCUAGAGACAUGGUGAAGAUCAGGGCACUAAAGAAGAGUUUGAGUGCAGAAUUUGAAAUGAAGGAUCUUGGAGCAGCUAACAGAAUUUUGGGAAUGGAGAUCAUAAGAGACAGGAAAAAGGGAAUUCUGAAGCUUUCACAGGCAAGAUACAUAAGUCAAGUUUUAAGGACGUUUAACAUGAAAGAAAGUAAGCCUGUUGUCACGCCAAUAAACUCAUUGUUCAAACUUAGAAGUUUAUCAGAGGAGGAGUUAAGGGUUGAAGCUUCUCUAAUGGAAUCAGUUCCCUAUGCAAGUGCAGUGGGAAGUCUGAUGUAUGCCAUGAUUGGGUCAAGACCGGAUUUGGGUUAUGCAGUUUGUUUGGUGAGUCGGUUUAUGGCAAAGCCAGGAAGGAAUCAUUGGGCUGCUGUUAAAUGGGUUUUGAGGUAUCUUCGGGGAGCUACAGAUUUAAGUUUGACUUUCUCAAGGGCUGAUUCAAUGGAAAUUGAAGGUUUCAGUGAUUCAGAUUAUGCUACUGAUCUUGACAGAAGAAGAUCAGUAACAGGUUAUGUUUUUCAGGUUGGAGGAAAUACUGUUAGUUGGAGGUCCACAUUGCAGCAUGUAGUGGCUUUGUCCACCACAGAGGCUGAAUAUAUGGCCAUGUCAGAAGCAACUAAGGAAGGUUUAUGGUUAAGGGAAUUUUGCAACGAGUUGGGGUUUAAUUUUGAGUAUUUUAAGCUACAUAGCGACUCUCAGAGUGCUAUCAAUUUGGCUAAAAAUGCAGUUCAUCAUGACAGGACAAAGCACGUUGCUACCAAGAUUCAUUUUAUCCGAGACAUCCUAGAUGAAGGGCUAAUCCGCAUUGUUAAAGUUCACACUACUCUAAAUCCGGCAGAUAUGUUGACUAAGAGUUUACCUGGAAAUUCUUUCGAGAAGUGCCUCGUAACUCUCAAAGUCGUCGCCUGAUCGUCUACAGGCGUACUCGUUGAUGGCUCUGUUGGUUGGGCCAUCUCGCACGAGAAAUAAGGAGGAACAGGGUUAGUUUCUCGGUGGAAAAGAUUAAACCAACAAAGUUCAGAAGGUAAAUUCUGAGGUAUCUGGUAAAAGAUAAACAGGAGAAGAGUUUUGGUGUACAUGCAUGUGUUGAGGGGACUUACUUAGCACAAGGAGGAAGCGCAUCGUACUCUUGCAUCUCGGCCUGAGCUGUUUUUUCUCGGGAUAAGGAGAAGUCACGGCGAAGAAGAGAUAGAAGUUAGUAUAACUUCGUGUUUCUAAUUCUAAGAUCUGAAGAGAAGUUCAGAGGUCACUUACUUAGAGGAGAACUGAAGUCGAUUGGAGCUGGAGGCGGCGGUAAGGUCAGCGACGGUGAGGUCGGAGGAACCAAGGUCGUGAGCAGGAUCGAUUCAGGAGGUGUUUGCGGUGGAGUAGCUGGAGGAGUCAAAGGAGGUGACUCCAUAACCUAAGUCGCUGUUGAGUCGGCUAGGGUUGGUGAAGAGACAAGACAACGACAAAGGUGGAGAUUUGUGGAGUAGUUGUCGUUUUGGUGUCUAAGUCGUUUCUUAAUGGGCUUGCGACAUCAGGUGGGCUUCUACGUUUUACAAGUCUCGACUAAAAACAAGAGGAGCUGGGCCUUACGGGAAAAUUGGCCCGAGCUCAAGGUUGUUAAAAACAAUCAUCGUUGACCAAGUCUUCGUCUUCUACAAUUGGAAUAACAGAACAGAGAGAGAGCAAAUUCUACAGAGUUCUAGAGAGAGAAAGUUUUCUUCUCGGUGAUCGGAGUUACAGCGAUCGGGUUGGUCGAUCUCGGAGGUCUCUGCGUCGGUUCUUUUCCAAGAGUUUUCCCUGCAAAUAGCUGUAGAAAGAUUCAGCAAAAGGUUCACUUGUAUAUCUGUUCUAAACGUUGAUAUAGUGAACGCAUGGUAGUUUAGUUCUACCCCCAGACGUACCGCGAGGGAACUGGGUUAACAAGUUUGCCUGUGUCAUUAGUCUAGAUUCUUCUUUCCGCAAGAACACCUUAAUUGAAUCUAGCUCAAUCGAAUUGAUCAAGCUUUUGGGACUAAGAAAUUGAUUCUAGUGUUAGUCGGAUUUCUUAACAGCCUAAUAUAUGCUUCAAACCCAACUCGGUAGAGAUCGUUUUGUCUAGAACUUGUAGAUACUCCAAGGGCUGCAGCUCCGUCAACAAGCUAACAUCUCCAUGAACUUUAGAAUCUUCUAGUUUCAAAAUUCUUAAACUCGACAGCUUUGAUAUCCCACUGAUAAUAUGAUUUAACUUCAGAUAAAUUAGCUUUUUCAUAUCUUGGAAACCAAGUGCCAGUUGCUCUAUACUUGUGUUCCACAAGUUAAGAUACUGCAACGAAGCCAGCUUCGAUAUCUGCUCAGGAAAUUCUUUGAAAUCGAAAUUAUCUGAUAGAUCCAAAACAACUAGCUUUUGCAUAGAGCCGAUGAAUUCACCUAGAAAUUUCUUCAAACUAUUAUUCUGGAGGAGCAGAGUUGUAAAGUGUUCUGAAGAGUUGUAAGUUCAGAACACUUGGAACCGCAUGUUAUCUCUUCAAUAUUAUUUUUCAGAAAUCCUUCUCAUAUCUCCCCAAUCCUUAAAUUUUGGCAUUUCGCAUCAUCUGACUCCUGCUUGUAUUAAGAGAUAUUAGAAGAUAUUAGGCUUAUUGGACGUUGUAUAGAUAAUUAUUAGAAUUAUUAGAGUAAUUUGUUGAUCUCCAACAGGUUUUGACUCAAAAACGUUUUGACACAACUGACUCUUAAGAAAAACAAACACAAUGUCAGCAACUACCUCCCCCAGACUUGAAUAACACUGUCCCCAGUGUUAUCUAGUCCGAAGGUGGCGAAACAAAAUAAAAGAAACAGAGAAACGCAGGAAAAACAGAGAACUUACCUGGCUGCAAUGAUGGUGUCGCGCGACACUGAUGAUGGUGUCGUGCGACACUUGUUUUCCUCGUACCGAAUUGCAGCAGACCAAUCCGAAUUUCUGGUUUGACUCCGGUUGCCUGAUUUCCUAAAUUUCUUUUUUUUUUUUUAAAUAGAAGCAAGUGACAAGCGACACCGAAGGUGGUGUCGCUCGACACUAACAUCUGCUUCACCUGAGACACGAAAAGAAAAACGAAAAUCAACUGAAACAAAAAGACUUAUGCACAGACUCACCAGUGGAUUGCCUUCCACCAAGCGCUUGUUUAAAGUCAUUAGCUUGACUAUGGAUAGACUAUGCAUCUGGUGGAUCAGACAGUGGCAAAGAGUGCCUCUGUGAAAUUCGUCUCAUCCAUGGUGGUGUGUAAGCGUUGUGCGCAUGAGGUCGUCCAAGGAAUGCAGGAAUAGCACCAGGGUGAGAUCUGUGUUUGGGUGGCCUUGACCUAUUCCCUGCAAUAUCAUCAAACGAAAAACCAAGUGCUCUACGAUAAUCUCGUAGCUUGCGUUGUGAGACAGAGCCUGCAUCCUUUGAAUCAGUUCCAAUGAUAUCACGAGAAUUAGGCUUAGGCUCAAGAGGUGCGUAUCUUUGCUUUGGUGGAGAUGGAUGGAGUGCAAUGUUUGGAGCUUCCUGAUCAACAGCAGUCACUGGUUCUGUGGACGUUUUCGUCAACUCAGAUUGAUCUCUCACCAUCUCAGCAUCAAACACGUUCUGAUCUCCAACUAUCACCUCAGGUAUUGCAGUGACUUGGAAUGUCUGACCAUCUAUGGUGGGAUCCUUCAGAUCUUCCCAGGAUAAGAGGAUCUUUGGGUUCCUCUCCAUAUUGCAGAACCACGAAAUCUGUAGGAAUUAUGCAAUCACCAACUUUGAUUGGAACAUCUUCCAAGACACCUUUUGGGAUUCUUUUAGACCGAUCUGCUAGGAUCAAAGAGAUCUUAGUUGGCUUGAAGUCAGUCAUCCCAAGGCUAACAGCUACAGAGUGUGGCAUGAGGUUGACACUCGAACCAAGAUCACACAGCGAUCUCUUGAACCUCUCUGAGAAGAUAGAGCAGUCCAAAACAAAACUUCCUGGGUCCGAGAGCUUUUCUGGAAUCUUAUUAUGAAUCACAGAACUGACAUGUUUAGAGAUCAUCAUCGCUCCUUCCUCAUGACCCACAUUAUUAGUCACCAUCUUCUUCACAUAGUGUCUGAGAGUAGGAGCAAUCUUCACAGCAUCAACCAAAGGAAUCUCAAUCACAAGCUUCUCCAUCAAAAACUUGCAUCUGGCAUCAUCUAGCUCCUGCUUGGACUUCCUAGGACUCCUUGGGUAAGGAACCUUAGGUUUGUAAACCUUUUCCUCAGCAGAUUUCGGACUUUGAGCAAUAUUAGCUUUGCUCUGCAAUUGGUGACGCGCGACACUGGUUGUGGUGUCGCUCGACACUGGCUCUGCAGUUUCGAAAUUUUUUUCAGAUUCGUCAAACUCCACGAUUUCAUCCUCAAAAACACCCUUUUUCAGCACAGGAGUCAACUUUUUACCACUCCUUGACGAGAUGGCACUGCAGUAAUGCCUAGGAUUGGUAUCAGUCUUCCCAGGAAGGAAUCUUUCUUGCCUUUUUACAGACUCUGCAGUCUGAGCAACCUGAGUAUCAAGCUUCUUGACAUGAGUGUUCAGAACUUCAAUUUUUCCAUUCAGAUCCAGAUAUAGAGCAUCAAUCUUCCCAUUGAAAUCCACAGUCAUCUUCUGCUGACCUUCCAAAAUCUGUUCCAGCAUAGACUUCACCUCAUUAUCUGGAGUUUGAGUAGGAAGAGAACCAUAGUUCCUUGAAAACCUGUUGUUGGAGUAGGAUGUCUGGUACUGAGGUUUGGAGCUGUAACCAGAAGAGUUCUGAUUACCUGUGAAGGUACUCCUCUGAUUAUUUCCAUUGUAAUUCGUGUUCCCUUGCCCAGAACCAAAUCUCUGACCCUGAAAUCCAGCUCCAUUGAUGAAGUUAACAUCCUCUUCCUCAAAAGCUUCAUCUGGUCCGAAAUUCUGAACUCCUGCAGGGUAUCUGACAGAUUUCUUACCCACAAGAAGACUAUGCACAGAGUCAAGCUUAGCCUUCACCUCAGCAAUUUGCGAUCCAUCCAGGUUCCCAGCCUGCUUCCUUCGCCGAUAGUCUGCAUUCUUGGUACUAUUGCUAGAUGCCAAGUUUUCGAUGAGCUCAACAGCUUCGUCUGGGUAUCUGGUGUUGAAGUUUCCAUUGCUCGCUGCAUCAAGAGCCAUCUGAUACCUCCAGUCGAUACCUCUAAAGAAAAUACCCAGCAACUGCACAUCGCUGAAGCCAUGAUGGGGACAGUCUCGCUGGUACGAUUUGAAUCGCACCCAGGAAGCUUUGAACGCUUCAGUUGGUUCCUGAGAGAAUGUCGAAAUUUUCGUCCUCAACUCCUCAGACCUAGCAUCAUCGAAGAAGUUGUGCAGGAAAGCAUUCCUGGUCUCUUCCCAAGUAGUGAGUGAUCCUGGCUCCAACUGCUUCAACCAGUUAGCUGCCUCUCCAGCAAGAGAGUAAGGAAACAGCUUGCAGAGGAGGAAAUCAUUGGACACUCCAUUGUAUUUGAUGCUGGUGACCAAGUCCUCAAACCUCUCGAUGUGAUCCAUAGGGUGCUCAUGAGAAAGACCAUGGAAAGGAUGCUGACCCACGAGAGUGUAAUACACAGGCUUGAGCUCAAAAUCAUUCCUCUGAAACGCAGGAGCGCGAAUCGCAGACCGAUUUGCAUAGAAUUGCUCAGGCCUGUUGUAGUCACCCAGCGUCCUGAUGAUGUUACCCUGUCCAUCAAGUCGCUGGCCUCUCUCAUUGCACACAUGACCCUCUCGGUCUCUCCAGAUUCUAUCAUCAUCACGAACAAGUCCAAUGGCGUUUUCCAUCAUUGCCGGAUCUCUUGCUUUCCUGUUCGUUCGCUCUAACUCAGCUAGCUCCUCGUUGCUCAAAUUAACUAGCGGGAUGUCCUUGUUGCUCCUGGUUCCACGAGUAUGCAUAAACCUGAAACACCAAAAACAAAGAGAGAAAACGAGAUAAGUAAACUAGGUUAUAAAAAGAAGGGUGUCGCGCGACACUAGGUCGAAAAACUUAGUCGAAACUCAAAAACUAGGUUCAAUGGCGAAAUCAAGUCCCCGGCAACGGCGCCAAAACUUGAUCUGCUCAAAGUUUAAUCCCUAGAGCUACUCUGCAAGAGCACAGAUGUGCAAUUGUAGUAUAAUAGGGGUCGAACCACAGAGACGAGAGAUCACUCAAUAAACCUUAUAGAGAUUGAAUUACGCUAAGCAGAAAUAUUGUAAAUAAAUAGCAAUGCAACAGAAUUAGACUAAGCAGCAAUAAAAACGGUUUGUAAGAUUCAGAUGGAUGGAGAUUAGGCUUAGGGCGUUUCUCAGGAAAUCAAUGCAUGCAGAACAAUCGAUAAAUUAGGGUUCAGGUUUAAGCACGGUUCUUGAACUCGAAUCACAGAAUUAUAAUUAACCAACUUCCGUUGUGAGAAUUAUCUAAGUUAAAAUCCUAGAAUUCCAAAUUCCUUUGCAAACCCUAAAGAUUUAAACCAGCUUUAAUGCUCAAGUUCGAUAUGUUCACAAAGUAUCUAAACCAAAUUCCUUUGCGAAUAGCUACUUUGCUCACCCUAGGUUCUUUCCAGUUAUUCAAUUACACUUCCGUGUCAAUUAAGCAACCUAAGAUCUAAGUGCUAGGUGGCCAAUCCAGAAUUAGCUUUAAGAACAACCUAUGGUGAAGAACUAAAUAGAUUAUGAACCCUAACUAACCAAUCAAUCUAACAUCCAAUGAAAUCCUUUAUGAGAACCCUAAACCUAACAAGCAAACUACUCAGACAUGGAGAUUGAAGCAAUAAGCAUCAAUGAAUAGAUUGCAGAAAACAGUAAAUAGAUUAAUAAACAGGGGUUCGAAAUCUUCUCUCUCCGGAACAGAGUUUCAGACUUGUCUCCCCAAAAACUCUCAAAAACAAAAACUCUCUCUAAGAAAAUCUAAGGUAAUCGUAAAAAGGGAAUAAAAGCCCUAUAUAUAUCUCUAAGACACGUUUUGGGCUUCCUUGAAAACGUUUGGGCCCAACUCCUUCUUCAAAUAGGAAACAAAAUCACGUUUUCCUUAUUUCUGCAACAAGUGUCGCGCGUCACUCUCCAUGGUGUCGAGCGUCACUAAAGCACAAAAUCCAUACUUGACGAAUUUGAUCCUGAUUAAGCUCCAAAGUGCUCCAAAGUCUCCAGUUAAGCUCCAAACGUACCUAUGACCUGAAAAGACUCCAAAAGACUCGAAAGACACUAAAAAGACUCUAUAAAUAAGACUUAUACCAUGGUUAAAAACCAUAAAAACCAUGAUAUAUCAUUUGUCUCACAUUGCUAGUUUUUAACUCAAGGUUGACUAAUGUACGUAUUUUUAGGCAGAUGAAUAAAUCACUUCCGCAAAUUACUUUGACAUGGUAUCAGAGCCUAAGACUACAUAAAAUUUUGGUCUAGCUCUUGAAUCAGAGCCUAAGGCUACAUAAAGUUUUGGUCUAGCUCUUGAUUCAAAUUCUUGUUUAUAAGUUGUGGUUUAUUGGAAAAGCAAACCGACGAGGUCUUGCUCUUUUAUUUUUGGUGAACUCGGACCAACGAGGUUCGGGAUUUCUGUAAAGCCAUAAGGGCUUGGAAUUUUUUUAUUCGGUGGAGAAACCUUGGGAAUUUCUCUGUUUUUUAGAAAAUAUGAGAUUUCAGAGUUGAGGAAUUAAGUGUUCUUAUUGUUCGAAGUAUGGUCAUGAUAUGAGAUCAUGUUAUCAGGUAUAUGGAUAUCCAGAUUGGUAGCUGGAGAAGUAUGAAAAACCUACGAAACAUGUGUCACACUCUGAAAAACGUGUGUCACACACGGAGGCGUUACAGGUUGAUCCACAAGCUAUGACAGGGCUCAAGAAAGAUCAAUGGCAUAAGCUUGUUCGAUUCGAGAUUAGAGAUAGCAAAUUGUGUGAGUGAUAACACCUAUACAGAUAAGUGGAUUAUUGAUAGUGGUGCGUCGCACCAUAUGAUGGGUACGUUAAUUGGUAUGUUUGAUGUGCAUAAAGUCUCACCAUGUUUAGUGGGUCUGCCUAAUGGAAAUGUUAUGGUUGCUGUUAGAAAAGGAAGUGUGGCAUUGACGGAGAACUUAACUUUGACACAUGUGCUUUUUGUCAAGUAACUCAAGUACAAUCUCAUCUCUGUGUCACAGAUUAUUGAUCCAAUGAAUUGCAUUGUGUUGUUCUCCAAGCAAAUGUUUCGGAUACAGGAUCUUGCUUUGCAAAUUCUGAUUGCAGUGGGUGAAAGAAAAGAUGGAUUGUAUUUUCUUCAAGGUAUUCAGAAGACCGUGAAUGUGGCGAAGGUCAGUAAGUUGGGAUCUUUGGAACUUUGGCAUAAAAAGAUGGAACAUGCUUCUGAAAAGGUUAUUAGGAGAUUGCCAGAAGUGGAUCAAAAGAGUGUUAGUGUUUCCGAUUGCGAUGUCUGUUUCCGAGCAAAGCAGUGUCAGGAUGUAUUUCCUGUGAGUACAGAGAAAAGCAAAGAAUGCCUUGAGAUGAUUCAUUGUGAUUUGUGGGGGCCAUAUCGAACACAGAGCGUGUGUGGAUCCUUAUAUUUUUUAACUAUCGUGGAUGAUUAUUCUAGAACUGUGUGUGUUUUUCUUCUUGCUGAUAAAACACAAGUUCAUAAAACAAUGGUAAAUUUCUUUGCUCUCAUUCAGCGUCAGUUUGAGAAACAUGUGAAAAUCGUGCGAAGUGAUAAUGGUAGUGAAUUCAUGGGUAUGAAGGAGUAUUUUUGUACAUCAGGGAUAAUUCAUCAAACUUCGUGUGUAGGAACUCCUCAACAAAAUAGUAGAGUGAAGCGAAAACAUCAACAUAUACUGAAUGACGCACGAACGUUGAGGUUUUAGGCAAAUUUACCAAUAGAACUUUGGAGUUAUUGUGCUUUGAGUGCUGCGUAUCUAAUUAAUCAUACGCCUUCUAUGUUACACAAUGGUAAGAGUCCUUAUGAAAUCAUCUUUGGAAAAGCUCCUGCUUAUAGUGAGAUACGAGUUUUUGGAUGUUUAGCGUAUGCUCAUAAUCAGAAACGUCAUGGAGAUAAAAUUGCGAGUAGAAGCAUAAAAUGUGUAUUUUUGGGAUACCCUUAUGCAAAGAAGGGAUGGAACUUAUUUGACUUGGAGACACGUGAGAUCUUUGUUUCUCGGGAUGUCACUUUUAUUAAGGAACGAUUCCCAUAUUUGGAGCUAACAAAUGCACAGCUGGAUGUGCCUUCUAAUUCUAAUCAAAUGAGGUUAUAUGUGGAUGAUAAUGCUGGAUUUGACGAUAUAGAACCUGCCUUGACAAGGGAAAUUAUAUAACCUCUCACAAGAGAUACAAUGACACAGACUCAGGUUGUGUCAGACAAGGUUGCAGAAGAAAAAAAAUAGACUAUAGGAAACGAAAUACGUGAUAUCUUAGGAAUUACAGCGCCAAAAAUUGAACCUGCAUCGGUUACACAGUCUGAGAUUGUGCAGCCUGCUUUAGUGACAGAACCUGCAUUGGUUACACAGUUUGAGAAUGUGCAGUCUGCUUUAGUAACAGAACCUGCAUCGGUGACACAGGCUGAAACUAUGCAACAGCCUGCAUCAACAGAAACUUUGGGGCGAGGAAUGAGAAAGAAAGAAUCUUCUGUCAAGUUACGCGACUAUGUGUGCAAUACGACAUUUACAAUGAAUAUUUCCACUGUGAGUCAGGAGUUGAGUAAUGAUUAUGGUAUUGAGAAUUAUGUAAAUUGUGAAAGGUUCUCUGUGUCACACAAGGCAUUUCUGUGUAGUAUAACUGAAGGAGUUGUGCCGAAAAGUUUUGCUGAGGCCAUGAAGGAUCUGCGAGAUCUGCGAUGGAGAGAAGCUAUGAGACUCGAAAUUGAGGCCCAAGAACGAAAUCAAACAUGGUUGAUUGAACAAGUACCACCAGGUAAGCAUGUGAUUGAGUGUAAAUGGGUUUAUACAAUUAAGUAUAAUGCGGAUGGCUUGAUUGAAAGGUAUAAGGCGAGACUCGUGGCAUGUGGCAAUCGUUAAAAAGAAGGGAUUGAUUAUUCUGAUACAUUUGCUCCUGUAGCAAAGAUGAGCACAGUUCGAUUGGUUCUUCAAGUUGCCGCUGGGAAAAGUUGGGAGCUACAUCAGAUGGAUGUGUAAAAUGCGUUUCUUCAUGGAGAUUUGGAUGAAGAGGUUUUUAUGAGGGUACCUCAGAGUUUUGGUGCUUCUAAGAAGGGUAUGGUAUGUCGUUUGCGCAAGUCGUUGUAUGGUUUGAAACAAGCUCCGCGAUGUUGGUUCGUGAAACUUUCGAAGACAGUUUUAGGGUACGGUUUUACACAGAGUAAGGCUGAUUACUCUCUUUUCUCAUUAGUUUGUGAUAAAGUUCACUUGCACGUUCUAGUGUAUGUGGAUGAUCUUGUGGUGACAGGAAACUCUCUUGAGGUGAUACAAAAGUUUAAAACGUAUUUAAGCAAUUGCUUUCAUAUGAAGGAUUUGGGAAAAUUGAAAUAUUUUCUUGGAUUGGAAGUUGCAAGAAAUGCAGAGGGUAUAUACUUAUCACAGAGAAAGUAUGCUCUGGAUAUUAUUGCUGAUGUCGGUUUGCUUGGUGGUAGGCCUGUAGAGUUUCCGAUGGAGCAAAAUCAUCAGUUGGGAAGGUCGACGACAAAUAUUUUGAUUGAUCCAAAGAAAUAUUGGAUACUGGUUGGAAGGUUGAUUUACUUGGCUGCGACUAGACCAGAUCUUGCCUAUUCAGUUCACAUUUUAUCUCAAUUUAUGAAUGAGCCAAGAGAAGAUCAUUGGAUGGCUGCAUUGAGAGUUGUUUGUUACUUGAAAGGGUGCCCGGGAAUGGGGAUUUUGUUGAAAUCUGAUUGUAAUUUUCAUCUUACAGCUUGGUGUGAUUCAGAUUGGGCUGGAUGUCCAAUCACGAGGAGAUCUUUGAGUGGAUAGUUGAUAAAAUUGGGAAAUUCUCCUGUGUCAUAGAAGUCAAAAAAGCAAGAUGUUGUAUCAUGCUCUUCAACUGAAGCAGAGUAUCGAGCUAUGGUUUUGGCAUUGAAGGAGUUGAAGUGGUUAAAGAGUGUGUUGUUAACGAUGGGUAUUGCACAUUCUGGUCCAAUGGAUUUAUAUUAUGACAGUCAGUCUGCGCUUCAUAUUGCAGCUAAUCCUGUGUUUCAUGAGAGAACAAAACAUGUGGAGAUUGAUUGUCAUUUCAUUCGAGACGAUAUACAAGCUGGAAUUGUUCAGACCCAACAUGUUUCUACUACUCAACAGCUGGCGGAUAUCUUCACUAAAGCACUUGGAGGACGUCCGUUCAAAGGAAUUUUGUGCAAGUUAGACAUUCGAGAUCUUCAUGCUCCAACUUGAGGGAGGGUAUUAAGAGAUAUUAGGAGCUAUUAGGCUUAUUGCGCCUUUAUUUAUUAGAAUUAUUAGAGUAAUUUGUCUUACAUUGCUAGUUUCUAAGUCAAGAUUGACUAAUGUACUUGUAUAUAUAUGUGCAUUUAGGCUGAUGAAUAAAUCACUUCGGAAAAUUACUUUGACAUCUUGAACCAAAAAAAGUCUUGGAUGCAGUCCAUAGAGCCAUUUCGCGAACCACGUCAUGCAUCACAACACCUCUUCUACUAUUAGACUCUGUCAGUAAAUUUGAGUGGAUAAGGGUAUCAAGUACCACAUAACCCUUAUUCAUUGCCCUUUUAUAAGAUUUGUGUUCCCCCGAUGAAUCCCUCGCACAUCCAGUACUCUAUCAAUUCUUCUUUACUUAUUUGAAAAUCUUUUGACAAAGCACAAUAGAGGAAAUACGACUUGAUGUUGUUGAAACGUAAUCGUACUGAUUGAGCUCAAGCAACGACAAACUCUCACUCUAUUGAACUCUCUCUCUCUCUCUCUCUGAAGAUUCGCAUGAGUAUAAACGAGAGAAAGACGAAGAACACAGAGCACACGAUUUGAUUACCCAAAGUUCACCUCCUAGAUGAAGGCUACGUCUCUGGGGCCAGAUCUCGAGACGGCAAUUCCACUAACACGAAAAAAUCACAAGUCUCCAAGAACCGAGAGCUCGCGAGAAAGAAGACGAUAAGGUUUGUUACAACUGUGCUAACGGCUAGAUCCUAAUCCUUUUUAUAUACAAGAGGCUUACAACAAAACCGGAUAUUAACCAGAACCAAAUUAUAUCCUCUUAAUUGGACCAAUACUUGAUAACCAACUAAGAUGACUAACCAGUCUAAACCCAAACAUUAAUCUAGCCGUUAUACCAGAAUUGAAACUUAGACCAUAAUUCAACAGAUGUGUUCACCCACCAAGCUAUCAUAGCUGUACUUCAGAAUUAGAAGAAUUUUGUUUUCCAUGUCGGAAAACUCUGCAGCGGAUCUGGUCAAGACAUCGACUGCAAGCUCCCAUUCUUGUACCGUAGUUUGAUAUGACAUUGUCUCACCGAUGGCAAUUAGCGCUAGUGGCAGACCACAACAACUUUCAGCAACCUUUCUUGCGAGCUCGACAAUUUCAGGAUCACUUUUCAAAGUAUUGCCACCGACCAUUUUUUCAAACAAUUCCCAUGCUAUAUGUUUUUCCAGACAGUUGACUUGCAUUGGUUCAUGAUCCCCCAUCCGCUUACACACUUCGAGAGAACGAGUGGUGAAAGCUACUGUGCAUCCAUUGUGGGAAACGGAACACCAAUAGCUUCUAAAUCAACUUUCUCCCAUAUAUGAUCUAGCAUCAGAACAAAUCGCUUCCCUUUUAAAACUCUAGUUAUAUCAGCGGCCUUGUCACCUUCGUUUUUGUUCGUACACUCGCCGUCGCAAAGGUGUAGCUUUUGUGCAAUAUCUUCUUGAAGCUUUGAAAUAUUUGUGCCUUGAGAUACCACGACCCAGAUGAUAACUUGACACCCACCAGCCAUUUCACCGAACUUAUUGUGAAUUUUUUUUGAAAAGUGUAGUUUUUUCAACACCACCCAUACUGUGCAGGCCCAUGAUUCCGACUCCAUCUUUCAUAAGACGAUUCCAUGCCACUUCAAGCAUUAUUUCUAGGCCAAUCGUAGGCCCUGAAGGCCUGACUUCCACUACAGAUCUUGUAAGCGGCUCAGAUACCUCUUUAAAAUCACCUUCCAAUUUGAGAAUCUUAACUUCAUCCAACAACAAGAAUACAUUUUUCCCAAAUAGCUUGAGAAUACACUUUUUGAGCAUAAACCGCAGAGACACAACUUUGGAAGCUGAAUAGUACUAGUACUGAGCAGUUCAGUUACUCGUGUAUGGAUGCUCUCGACACAGUUACAAUAUAGAAGAAUCUAGAAGAUUCUAGAUAUUAUUGUUAAUAUUGUGUAUAUUAUUAUUUAGAUAUUAUAGAGAUUUGUAUCUAUCUUCUUUAGAAAAGAUCUAUGGUAUAAAUAUGUAUCUACUCUAUUCAUUAUAAUUAUGAGAGUCAAUAUACAUUACAAUUCUUCCAAUUCUAAACUCUCAUCACUCUAGUAGGUCAAGCCUUUUUCGAUGUUGUGUCUCCUCUAAUGCAACUCUGUUUUUCACCUGUUGUUGAAAUGCUUUGAGAUCUUCCAUUUCCCUCUGAAAAGUUCUUCUUGAGGUUUAGGAUAUAACCUUUACCAAGUAAGCAUCUAAAGAUACCAUUUACUGCUCCAUCACAAGAAAAAUUUGACACCCAAUUCUUAAUAGAUUAUAUGGUUACUGGUUUGUAGAUUUGUACAUUCUUAAUCGAUUCCACUAUUAUUCGUAAAUAGAUUAUAACAUUCUUUAAAAAUCCAUUGUUAUUGGUUUGAUGAUUUUUAUAAUCUAAUCAAAAUUCAUUGUUCUUCAAAAAGUUUAUAUUUUAAUGAUUUUAUAAUUAUAUUAAAAGCUAGUGUUAUUGGGAUAAAAAUUCUUUACAAUUCAACUCAUAAAUCAAGAUUUUUAAAAUACUAUCUAUAUCUAUUGAAUUCUUAAAAUCUGUCAUAGUAAAAUUAUUUUGUAAAUUGUUUUAAAUCCACAACACUCUCUUCAAAUUUUACAAAUCUAACAAAACUCUUGAAGAUUUGACUAAUCUUAUUACUUUUUAAAUCAACCAAAAUCUGUCAUAUGAUUUAAGGUGAUCCAGCUCUAUCUAUGCGCCACGUCAGCCUUUGUAAGGAGGACACAUCUCCCAUCUUUUAAUGCUUUUAUUUCAUCUUCUUCCCCCUCUAUUUUAUCUCAUAUUCCUUGUCUCACAGUGGCUCAAUCUCUCUUUUAUUUGUUUGCCAAUUUUGGGGAUUUGAAGACGGAAUAAAGAUUAAACUUUUUCUCAUAUUGUGUUCUAUGCAAUAUUCAAAUUAAGAUGAGAUGUGGAAAAAUCGUUAUAAAGAGGUUCUAGAAUGUGAAUAGCAGGCAAGUUACCUUCUCUAAGAGGCAUGAUGGGUUGUUUAAGAAGGCUCAUGAGUUAUUUGUUCUUCGCGACACUUUUAUCUCCGUCUUUUUACUCAUAUUAUGUUUAUGAUUUCUAGAAUAGUAGAAUAAUUUUCUUACUUACCCUACUUUCAAUCCUUAAAAAAAGUUAUUUGUUUGAUAAAGAUUUUAAUAAAAAAAAAACAAAUACCAAACAAUCAAGCAAAUUACCAUAUUUUUAUAAUUAACUACAUAUAUAUAUAUAUAUAUAUAUAUAUCAACACAAAUUAUUUUUAAAAAUAUUAUGUAAAACAAAACUCGCGCGUAUGCGCAGGUACAAGCCUAGCCUUUAUAAAUCCAAAUUCCAAUAACCUCUCUUAGCAUAAAUAAUAGAAAUGAUAAAACUAAAUAAAAUAAAUAAUUAACUUUAGAGUCGAUUACAACAUUCUCGAUUGUUAGACCAACAACAACUUCAUUUUGUUUUUUUUUUUGCAAAGUCUUAUAAUAUUCACCUUUUUUUUUAAAUAUUCUCCAAAAAAAUUUUAAUCAGAGAUUGAGUUGGAAAAAAAUAAAUUUUGGAAACAAAGAUUAUAAUUAGUUCAAAAAUGCUACCUUUUAAAAAAUGAUGAGUAAAAUAGAAGACAUUUCUUCUUAUAUAGAGGCUAAUCGUAGGGAUUCCAAUUAUGUUAUAUAGAUUUUCAAAAAUUUUGAUUUUUUAAAAAAUAAUCAGUAAUAAACAGAAAAAAUAUAAAAUAUGUUUGAUAACUAUAUUAGGUAACAACCAAAUUUCAUCUGCAUUAUAUUUGAAAAACUUAUAACUGAUAUUUUUGCAAGAUAGAUUUUUGUUUUUGUCUUGAAUAUUUUUUUUUAAAUGGUUAAACUACAAUGAUUUUUCCAAAAGUAUAAAAAAUCAGAAAAUAAUCGAUAAAAAUAUUGAAUGCAUAGUUUUAGUUAAAUAUUUUUCAAUUAUAAGCAAAUAGUUUUCGUCUCAUGCGCCGCGUGAACCGUGAAGUAUCUAUAAAAUAUUACUAAACAUGAUUUAAUUGAUUUAAAAUAUAAAUAAUUUAAUUGAUUUUAUAUGUAUGUUAAUAAUAUUAUGAUGAGUAAUGAUAUGAUUUUGUAUUAGUAUUACAAUUACAAAUAUAUAAUAGAACUAUAAGAUUUUAUUAUUGAUUUUCAUAUUGCUUUUGUUUUUCUUUUUUUUGUCGACUGCUUUUGUUUUAAAUAUGAAUGUAAUUAUAUAGUUAAUAGUUUAACUGAAAAAUCGAUAUAUUUUAUUGAAUAAAAAUUUUAGUAAUUUAUUUUGUUUUGUUUUUUCAAAUUCAAAUUAUCGCAUAUGCAUAAAAAUAUUAAAUUUUUAUAUGUUUGAUGUGAUAAUUAAUUCAGAAAAAAGUAAACAAAGAAAUAAAAAAAUAUAUAAUGAUUUAAAAAUAAUUCUUAUUAUAUAAUUGAAUAAGGAUUGAAUAUAAGAAAAUAAUUAAUAUGAUAUAAUUAAAUUUCAGAUAUUUUUGAUUCUAUUUGAUUGGCUAAUACAUAUGCUUUGAAAUUAUUUACUAGUUUUUGUGUGUCUAAUCAAAGAAAGAAAGAUUUUUUAAAAAAUUACUUUUAAUGAUUAGUUUAAUAAGAUAUAUUUGAUUUUUUAAUCAAAUUAAUAUGAAUGGAAUUAAUUAUAAUUAUUCUAGUAAUAUAAGUCUUUUUUUUCCAAAAAAAAUUGAGAGCAUAGCAAAAUUGUUAAUAUUACAUAUGACAAAUGUUAUUUUUAAAGUGUUUUUCUCAAAUAAUAAUAUAAAAGAUUUCAAAUUUCCACCGACAAUCAUUGACUUUGGAUUAUGAAAAUUUGUGAAAAACAAAUUACAACUCUUCAUUAACUUUACAUGUAUCCCAUUAAUUUAAACUGGUUAUACAAAUACUGUUGGCAUUCAAAUCCCUGCUCAAUGAAAAUAAACCCGUUGAUCAAAGAGUUAAAAAACAAAACAAAAAAGUGAAAAGCGAAGGAAAAGCUAGAUAACGAGCUAAAACAAGGGAACAAGACGUCAAGACCCCUACAUAUACAAAAGCAAACCCCUACGAGAACAACAAAACAAAACAGUACACUUGCAGAGAGAUAAGAAUGCAAAGGAUACAAAAGCAUAAAACAAUUUGAAUUGGUUUUAGUUUGACAAGGAAGCAACCCGUCUUAAGUUAUACAAUAGGAGAAUGAAAUACCUAAUCCAAGUGGCGUCACAACACACUUGCAGAGAGAUAAGAAUGCAAAGGAAAAACAAUAAUAGGAUAAUACAAUCCAUAUGAACAACACAUCACACAUCAAACAAUAAUACUCUGAAGAUCCCCUUUUACAUACGCAAAAACAUAAAACUAUUUGAUUUGCUUUAGUUUGAGAAGGACGCAAUCCGUCUUAAGUUGAUACAAUAGGAAAAUGAAAAACAUAAUCCAAGUGAACAACACAAAACACUGCAGAAGGAUACGAAUCAGUAAUGAUAUCCAAAAUGAACACAUCACACUACAAGAUCAAAGACAGAAGACGAAGAUGCGUAGAUUCUGUUCUUAGUGCCGAAUCCUUAUGCAUAGUGAAGGAUGUUUAGUAGACCUAAAGCAACAAACGAUGAAAAAAAAGAAACAAAAGUUAGUGAGUGACACUUGCGGGGCUCAUUGAAAUUGAGAGGCACAAGCAUAUUGAGUAUAUAUAAAUCUUAAGAAUCUGAACUACUUUUAGUCGUUUUCUUUUAAUAUUUCUAACCUCCCAUUUAUUUCUUGCUGAACAAGAAACCCAGAUGUGGAAGGAAAAGAAGAAGAAAUUGUUUGUGAUUUGAUCCUUUGAAGAGAUCAAUACACAUAUGUUUUUACAUUUUGAAAUAAUGAAACUAAUCCACCGAACACAUGCAUGACUUUUCUAAUAUUUUUUUUUUAUCAUGUUGUCCAAUUUGUGUUUGUCGGGUAUAUCAUGAUGCAAAUGGAGAGUAUCAGUCUAAUAAGGGUGAAUACUUCAAGCUAACCUAUAGCAAACAUGAAAAAAACUCAGAGAUGAAAAAAAUAAAAACCAAAGCGGAAGGGUAUUAAGAGAACUGAUUACCAGAUGGAUUAAAGGCAAUAAACGGUUUUUGGUAUCUUCGUCCUCCCAUUCAAGCUCAGUUAUCUCUUGUCCAUGACCCAUAUCUAUUGUAAACCGGGCAAGUCGUGGGACACUUGUAGCAUCAAAGGGAAGCUUUCUCAGAUUUGGACACUCUAGUACGCUUGUGUGCCACAAUGAUGGAAAGGGGAGAGGACUCCAAUAGAUACUCUCCAGCUUAGGCAAACUUGUCAGCGAUAAGAAUUCAAGUUUCUGAAAUGGUGUAAUACCUGUAAGAUUGUUUGCUUUCUCUUUGUUUAUUAUUUCUUCCACUUCGUUUGAAUAUUCAAUUUGUAGGUAGACAAGAUUUGGAGCAAACAAUAGCCAAGUCAUAUCCUUAAAGCCAAUACAGCCAUAGAUAUGCACAAACAAGAGGUUUGUAAAGCAUGGACUUGUCGGAUUGUCUAGAUCUGACAAGUCCGUCCCGCCUUCUCUGCAUUUUGUAUUAAUCUCCGAGAUAUGACUAUUUUCCAGCCAGAGCAUACGAAGAUUCUUCAUACUCACCAGCAAUGACAUAUUCAAUGGCUUUUUAUAAAAAGAUUGAAUACACAGACCAUUGAUGCAGUUCGCCAACUUUUGAUCCCCUAAUAUUUGCUCCAAACCCAAUUCCGUAGAUAUCGUUAUGGUUAGAACUUGUAGAUGCUCCAAGAUCUGUAGCUCCUUCACUGAGCUAACAUCUCCAUGAACAUUGGACUUUAGUAGUUUCAAAAUUCUUAAACUCGAAACCUUUGAUAUCUCACUGAUACUCCGAAGUCUGUGUGUAGAAGUCAAAUUUAGCUGGAUUAGCUUUUUCAACUCUUGGAAACCAACAGGCAGUUGCUCUAUACUUGUAUUCGACAAGUCAAGAUACUGUAAGGAGGUCAGCUCUGAUAUCUGCUCUGGAAGUUAAUUGAAGUUAUUAUUACCGGAUAAAUCCAAAACAAGUAGUUUUUGCAUAGAAAGGAUGAAUUCACUUGAGAGACUCUUCAAUUUAUUAUCCUGGAAAAACAUAGUUGUAAGUUCAGAACACUUGGAACAGCAACUAAUCUCUUCUAUCGCAUUACACAUUAAUGAUAAAAUUCUCACAGGUCUCCAAUCUUCAACUUUUGGUGUCUCACGUAAUCCGACUCGCGCUUGCACAACACAAAUUUCUUUCGGUUUUCCAAAGUCAGAUGCAAUCCAUAGAGCCAUUUCGCGGACUAUGUCAAUGAUGAUAGACUUAUUCGUAGAUUUUCAUUAAUGGUAGAUUUAUUUUCCUAGUAGUGGUAGAUUUAUUGUCAAAUGAUGAAAGAUUUAUUUUUGUAUAGGUUUAGUAUACAGUAGAUUUAUUUUUGAUAUAAUGAUAGAUUUAUUUUGGAUUUUAUGUAUUUAUCUUCUUCUCUAGUAGGUUAUUGACGACGAAUGGUGGAUCAAAAGAUAAAUAAUAUGAUGGAAGUGGAGUGAGUUACUAGCACGGAAAUGGAGAUUUGUUUAUCAAAAAAAAUAUUUGUAGAUUUGUUUGCUUGAAUAGUGGUAUUUGUUUAUUUAAUGGUAAAUUUAGUUUAGGAUUUGAUAGAUUUAUUCGAAAUGGUAGUAAAUUUCUUUUUAAAUAAUAAUUUAAUAAUUGCUUAGUAGUAUAAUCAAAAUGAAUGAGAUAUAAACUAAAAACAUAUGAUACAACCCAAUAAUAUAAAACAAAUUAAAAUACAUAUUCAUUUUAUAUACCAAAAAAGAAAAUAAACAAACACAAAUAAAUAAAAAACCAUUUGUCAUUUCUAACACAAUCAAGCAUUGUCUAGCAAAUAACCAAAUAUCAUAAAUGGUUCAAUGUAGAUUAAAGUAAUAAUACAACUUUUCAUUUGUUAUUGACAUUUUAGUACUUCAAAAAAUUCAUAUAUCAAACUAAAUCAGUCCUUAUAAUUAAAUGCAUUUUUCAAUUAAUUUUAAACCCACUUUUCCUCUAAUAUCCCAUAGGAUAUCACCGAGGAGGUAGGUGGUCUUACUUUGCUAAGCUUCAAAUUGUAUUGUCUUCACUUUUCAGUAUAAGACUAAUAAACAUUUAGUUUACAAUUUUGAAUUUUCUAAAUGGAGUAGGCCGAGAUCAGGUCCAGGCUAUUGAUGCGAACAAAUCUUACAAAUUGCAAACGGCUAUUUGCUUUGUGUUAGCAUUGGUCCAUUGAAUUUUCAAUUUUUUUAAUAACUUAUAUUGAGUCAUAUGGAAAUGGACAACACUCAGCGGUAUCAGUUCUUAUCAGCACCGCUGCUUUGUAUGUAGUCGCCGUCUGCUUUGUAUCGUAAAAGAAAGAAGAUUGAGUUUUGCCAGAAUCUACUCUACAAGAUUGUUGUAGUUUCUGGACACGCAGCUAAUUCAAAUGACGAACCAAUGUUCAAUGUUCAAGACCGGUGGGCAGUGAAUAAUUGAGCGUAUCAAAUUAGGCUUGCGAAUUUGUUUUUUGCUGAAGAUUUGUUCUUGGGCUCUUGUUUUAAUGUUCUUAAUGUGGUGAAGCCAUUAGGAAAGGAAUGUGAAAACUCUUAAAAUUAAGAAGACUCUUUCCAUGUCUUCUUAAGUGAAGUUGUCUCUUAAGCUUAUUGCCCCAAAUCAGAAAGCCACUAGAUAUAGUUUGGGAUUAGAUGGAAGUCAUAGCAUCUUCAGAUUAGGUUUAGGGGGUUUAAAUUAGAGAGUCUGAUAAACAGGAUCUUCAUGAUUCAGCAAAAUCAUAUAACUUUUCAUCUUGAUUCCUCCUGUUAACAACACAUAUACACUUCAAGAUGAAAUAGAAAAAGCUACAGGUAGAGGAAUUUGAUUUUGGAUAGUGAGGAAUCAAAAUACACAGUAAAUUCAGAGGCAUCACAUGCUUUUAUGAUAUCUCCUUUCACGUAAAAGCAUAAAAACUGUUGAUUAUAUAAAUACAUGUAGCUUGAGAAAAAAGCAAUCCGCCUUAACUUAUUACAUAGAAAAUUGAAAAUAGAAAAUCCAAUUGAACAACACAACACACUGCAGAGAGAGAGAGAUAAGAAUGCAUAGAAAAAACAAUAAUACAAUCCAAAUGAACAACACAUCACACUUUGAGGAAGAAAGAGAAAGCAGAAGAAGAAGCGUGGAUUCUGGUUUCUGACUGUGAGGAAUCCCAAUCCAGCUUCUGGUGUGGUUAGUCUAUACUGAAUAUGUUAAGAAGAAAUAAAAUAAACAAAGUUAGUGAAUAUUCAGAAAUUCAUCUAAGACUGCUAGGAAUAUCCAGCAAAUUCUGCCUCACCAUUAAUAUACUAAUUUUAACCAGUUUCUAUUAAAUAUUUUUAUAUAUGCCUUGCUUAACGAAUGUGAAAGGAAAAGAAGAAGAAAGAAAAUACUGUUUGUGAUUUAGUCAUUUGAAGAGCUCAAUGCACGUAUGUAUUUAAACUUUUGAAAUUGACCCCUCGUAAAUAUCCAACAAACACAGGUCUGAUGAUUUUGCAGAUAAUUUUCUAAUUUUGUGACCCAAUUUGUGUUUUGUUGGGUAUCAUGAUGCAAAUGGAUCAUAUCAGACUAAAAUAAAACGAUCACACUUCAUUCUAACCUUGAGCAAACUUGACAGAAACUCAGUAAGAUAAAUUAAUUUAUUCAAGCGGAAGAGAAUAAGAGAAAUGAUUACCCAAAUGACCGAUGGCAGGAAACGUUUUUUUGUAUCUUCAUCCUCCCAUUCAAGCUCAGUUUUCUGUUCUGGAGGAACCAUAGAUAUUUCAAACCCGUCAAGUCGUGGGACACUUGUAGCAUCUAAAGGAAGCUUUCUCAGCUUUGGACAAUUUCCUACAUAUAUGUACCGCAAUGAUGGAAAGGGGAGAGGACUCCAGUAGAUACUCUCCAGCUCAGGCAGAUUUCUCAGGGAUAAGUAUUCUAGUUUCUGAAAUGGUGUAGUACUUGUAAGAUUGGUUGCUUUCUCUUUGUUUAUGAUUUCUUCUACUUCUCCUAAAUGUGAAAUGUCUAGCCAAGUCAGAUUUGGAGCAAAGAGUAGCCAAGUCAGAUCCUUAAUGCUAUCGCAGUUUCUCAUAUUCACGGCGGAGAGGUUGGUAAAGCAUGGACUCGUCUUGCUUCCUCUGCAUUUAAUAUAUGUAUCAAUCGCCGACACAUGACUACCAUCCACCUGGAGCAGACGAAGAUUCUCCAUACUCAACAGCGAUGACAUAUUGAAUGGCUUUUCUUUAAAACCUUGAAUACCCAGACGACUGAUGCAGUUAGCCAACCUUGGAUCGCCUAAUAUAUGCUUCAAACCCAACUCGGUAGAGAUCGUUAUCUCUAGAACUUGUAGAUGCUCCAAGAGCUGCAGCUCCUUCAACAAGCUAACAUCUCCAUGAACUUUAGAAUUUCUUAGUUUCAAAAUUCUUAAACUCGACAGCUUUGAUAUCCCACUGAUACUACGAAGACUGUUUGUAUAAGUCAAAUCCAGAUGAAUUAGCUUUUUCAACUCUUGGAAACCAACUGGCAGUUGCUCUAUACUUGUGUUUGACAAGUUAAGAUACUGCAAGGAGGCCAGCUUCGAUAUCUGCUCAGGAAGUUUUUGGAAAUAGCGAUUAUCUGAUAGAUCCAAAACAACUAGCUUUUGCAUAGAGCCGAUGAAUUUACCUGAGAGAUUCAUCAACUCAUUCUUCUGGAGGAGCAGAGUUGUAAGUUCAGAACACUUGGAACCACAGGUUAUCUUUUUAAGCUCAUUCUUCAUCAAAGACAUCCUUCUCACAGCUCUCCAAUCCUUGACUUUUGGCAUUUCGUGUAAUCCGACUCCUGCUUGAACCAAAAAAGUCUCUUUCUGUUUCCCAAAGUCGGAUGCAAUCCAUAGAGCCAUUUCGCGAACCACGUCAUGCAUCACAAGAUUCACAACACAUCUUAGUUUCAAAAUUCUAUUAGACUGUUCUGUCAGUAAAUUUGCGCGGAUAAGGGUACCAAGUACCUCAUAACCCUUAUUCACUGCCCUUUUAUAAGAUUGGUGUUCCCCAAUGAAUCCCUCACAUAUCCAAUAUUCUAUCAAAUUUUCUUUAUGUAUAGGAAAAUCUUCAGGAAACAGAGCACAAUAGAGGAAACACGACUUGAUAUUUUCACCCACCAAGCUAUCGUAGCUGAACUUCAGAAUCGGAAGAAUUUUGUUUUCCAUGUCGGAAAACUCUGCAGCUGAUCUGGACAAAACAUCGACUGCAAGCUCCCAUUCUUGUACCGUAGUUUGAGAUGACAUUGUCUCACCAAUGACAACAAGCGCUAGUGGCAGACCACAACAUUCUUUAGCGACCUUUUUGGCAAGCUCGACAAUGGCAGGAUCUCUACUUAAUGUAUUGUCUCCUACCUUGCUUUUGAACAAUUCCCAUGCUUCAGUCCAUUCCAAACAGUUGACUUUCAUCGGCUCAUGAUCUCCCAUCCGCCCACAUACUUCCCGAGAACGAGUGGUGAAUGCUACUUUGCAUCCAUUUUCUCUGGUCGGAAACGGAACUCCAAUGGCUUCUAAAUCCACUUUCUCCCAUAUAUCAUCUAACAUCAGAACAAAUCUCUUCCUCUUUAAAACUCUGUGUAUAUCAGCGGCCUUGUCAUCUUCACUUUUGUUCGUUCCGCCAAGGUUUAGCUUUUGUGCAAUAUCUUCUUGAAGCUUUGAAAUAGUCGCACCUUGAGACACCACGACCCAGAUCACAACAUCAAAUCUACCAGCCACUUCAGUGAACUUAUUGUGGAUUUUCUUGAAAAGGGUAGUCUUGCCUACACCUCCCAUACCGUGCAAACCCAUGAUUCCAACUCCAUCUUCCAUAAGGCGAUUCCAUGCCUUUCCCAGCAUUGUUUCCUGACCAAUCGUAGGCCCCGUAGGCCUCUCUUCUACUGCAGAUCUCAAACCCGGCUCAGUAACCUCUUUAGAAUUACCCUCUGAUUUGAGAAUCUGGACCUCUUCCAGCAACAAGAAUACCUUUUUCCCAUAUUUGUAGCUCGAACAUACACUUUUUGAACAUAAACCACAGAGACACAACUUCUUAAGCUCAACAGGACUAGUACUAAGCAGAUCAUUGAACCGUGUAUCGAUGCUCUCGACACGUGUUAGCCAUACCUUGACAGCUUCAAGCCUUUGUUGAUGUUGUGCCUCCUCUCUCGCCACUUUGUUCUUCACCUCAGCUUCAAUUGCCUUGAGAUCAUCCAUUUCCCUCUUCAGAGCCCUGAGAUUCUCCUUGAGGUUUCGAAUAUAACCCUUACCACAUAAGCAUCUGACGAUAUGGUUCAACGUUUGAUCACAGGAAAGUUGGAAAGACACACAAUUCCCCAUGGUGAUAGAAAGAGAGAAAACUUUGAGUAAGCAACAAACGAAAGCUAAAGAUGAAGAAGUGUUUUAUGUGAAAAGCAUUUAACUAAUUCUGAAGAAGGAAGAGAGGAUUAGUUAGAUUUUAGUCUACUAUGCGUUUUAAUUUCCGCCAUUGUUUCGAAGGACGUUUAGUCGUUUACUUUAGAUGCAAUUAUGUUUGAAAAAUUCAAAGGUCAAUUACCAACUCUUAUCAUUAUUAAGAUGCAACUAUGUUUUAAAUUAUACAAAGGUCAAUGAUUUAAUCGCCCAGUUUGGAUUAUUAUGCAACUAUGUUUUAAAAAAACAAAGCUCAAUUAAUGUUUAAUCACUGGGUUUGGAUUAUUAUCAUCACUUGUUGUUAAUUAUUUAAAUCAUUCACUUUCAAAUAUUUGUGAAAAAUCAAUUACUUUAGAAUAUUUUCCAAAUGACAUGGGAACCAAUAACCAUGAUCAAAAACGGUGUGGUGCGAUCGCCCGAAGCCAAAAACAACUUACAAGAAAUCUGGAACAGAGCAGACAAUGGAGAAGUCUAAGGAGCUCGUCAAGGAUAGAAAUCUGGAACAGAGCAGACAAUGGAGAAGUCUAAGGAGCUCGUCAAGGCUGAGAACUCAGAAUGGCCUCCAAAUUUUAUCUGCACCUGAAUUCAGAAUGGCCUAACAAAAAGUGCAGAAUGGCUUAUAAAAAUUGCCCAUACCAAGCAAAAAAAAAAAAAAACAAAGUCAGUCAAUAACAGAUAUCAGUCUCGAAGUUGCUUUUUUGUUUCACCAAAAAAAAAAAAAGAAGAAGUUGCUUCUUUUGUGGGAAAAGCAGAGGUCAUAUAAAGGCUAAUUGUUACAAGUUUCAGAGGAAAGUAAAUCAGUUUUAGAAUCAUCAAGACUAUAUGGAAAAACCAUUGAGAUUCACAGAAGCAAAGAAUUUUAUUUUGGACAUUGAGGAAUAAAAAUCUAAAAUCAAAAUCCAAAGGUACAUUGAAGGAUGUUUAGACCCAAAACGGCUACAAAAGAAAAGAAAAAAAAAAGUUAGUGACACUUGUGGAACGCAUUGAAAUUGAGAGGGACAACAUAUUCUGAAAAUAAAAUUCCUUUUCAACAUGUCUGCAGGGAUUAUCCAACUAGUUCAACCUCACCAUUAAUAUCUUAAGAAGCUGAACUAGGUUUAAACGGUCUUGUUGCGGAUAUCACCAAUAUCAAUUCGUUCAAAUUGAGUUUCCGAUCUGAAUCUUAAGAUGAAAUAGAAACGAGAAAUAAGCAUUAGAAACUACACACAAGAUUUAUCCAGUUUAGGCGCCAACCGCGACCCUACAUCUGGCAGAGACUUCCUCGGAAUUCACUAAGAGAAUGGUUUACAGAGUAGCCGUUACUCUCACUGGAAGAUACCCCGAGAAUCCCUUUCACUCACCGGAAAGAUCUCACAGUUUUCACUCACCAAUUACAAAAAAUGGUAUGUCGAAGAAGAUCUCUCUCUCUCUCUCUCUCUCUCUCUCUUUCUCUCUCUCUCUCUCUCUCUCUCUGCAACUAAUUAAUGACCGACCCGUAGUAACAAACCGAAACAACCCCUGCGCGUAAACACACGCUCUAACGGUCACUCUUCGAUAUCAGCUUCUAGAAGAAGCUCGUAACGAUGACGUCUUGGAGUCUUACCUUAUCCGGUUCACUUAAUCCUGAAAUCAAUAUCCUGACUUCAUUAACCGGAACCUGCUAAUUGAACUAGAUGGUUUAUCAACCAAACCCAUCUGACAGGUUUUUUAACUUUCUCUUUUAACAUUUUUCUCCUCCCAUAUAUUCUUUGCUGAACAAGAAACCCAAAUGCCAAAUGUGAAAGAAAAGAAGAAGAAGAAGAAUUAUUUGUGAUUUGAUCAUUGAAGAACUCAAUACACACAUGUUUUAUAAUUUUGGAAUUAAUGAUACCCCAUACAAAUCCACCAAACACAUGUUUAUUUUCAACGUAAUUUUACAGUUUGUGAUCCAGAUUGUGUUUGUUGAGUAUCAUGAUGCACAUAUGGAUCAUAUCAGUCUGAUAAAACGAUUCAGACCUCAUGCUAACCUUGAGUGAAAGAAACUCAGUAGUAAAAAUAAUUACCCAAACAGAAGAGUUUAAAGGCAUCUCCUAUGUAUAAUUCUAUAUUUUACUCUAUUUAGAUACUCUAUUUUAAAGUAACUUCAAAAUGGAAUUGUGUUAUUGUUGACAAUCUUCCCUUCCUCUUACAUUCACUCUGGUUUGAUUUCUUUCUCUCUUUCUCUCUCCUUCCUUUCUCUCAGUCUCUCUCUCUAGUUCUUGCUCUGUUUCACUCAUUGUUAUUGUUUGCUUGUUCUAUAUUGUUUGCUUGUUCUAAGUGAAAACAAGAAGAAAGUUAGAGAAAACAUUUAAUAGGCUACAUCUUUGAUAUUUGAUCUUUCGAUGCUUUUCUUACACAAACACAACACAUACACUUAUACUACUUGAUACUUGAACUCACUUGGACUCUAGACUUAACCACUUCUUCAAUGCCAUACUUCUAGUACUAGACUAGUUGUACAAGCAACCUUACUUCAAACAUCAUUACCUUUAACAACUCUUAACUAUUCUAACAACUCUUAAAGUAUUCUAACUCUAUACUUAGACACAUACACAAACUCGAUAUUUUGGCUUCUUGGGCUGAUGACAAUUCGCAGGCCCAUUACUCUUAAACAAGAAGCCCAAUCCCUUUCUCCAGAGUUGACUUCUCUUCUUGGUUGACUCUCUUCUUCUUCUCUGAUUCCUUCUUCCACCACACGAGACUUCAUCUUCUUCCUUUCUUCUUCUAAUUGAAGCAACUUUCUUGUUUGCUAGAUUUAAUCAAGGACUCAACCUUCAACAGUUAUCCUCCAAUUUUAUUCCAUGGAGUCAUGACUAAAAUAUUUAGAGUAACUCCAUUUUUAGAGUAACUGUAACAUCCCAAACCCAGCCCAAUUAGAGGAGGCCCAGCAAAUCCAGGCCCACUCCAGAAACCCUAAUAUAAAUAGAGAAUUAGGAGUUAAUGAGCCUCAUUUUGCCUAAUUACCCUAGCCCCCAAAGAAAAGAAAGUGAGAGAGAGAAGGAGAAGCUGCACGCCGUCGCCGAGGACGAGAGCCGCCGCCGCCGCCGGAGAAGGGUGCCGCCGCCGCCGCCGCUUGCCGAGAGAAGAAGGAGCACUCGCCUGCCUCCACCUUCUCAGAAGUUGCUUGAUUCUUUUGCCUCUUCUAGUUCUCCUUAAUCUCAGAUCUGCUUUUAGGCCAAGGUGAGGAUUAGAUCUAGGUCUUUCUUCUUAUCCCUUUAUCUUCUUCUGUUGUGUUGAGUCUAGAUCUGGUGGGACAGGUAUGUCUUCUUGUGCAUCUAGGCAGAUCCAUAUAUAUAUAUANNNNNNNNNNNNNNNNNNNNNNNNNNNNNNNNNNNNNNNNNNNNNNNNNNNNNNNNNNNNNNNNNNNNNNNNNNNNNNNNNNNNNNNNNNNNNNNNNNNNGUAGAAGUCCUAAAGGUCAUAAGUCUGUUUCUGUAUAGUGAUGUUGCCGAAUGCAGGCUUUGUUUGCUGGGUUAUGUUGCCGUCUGUGUGACCGUGGCAAUAAUCCAUUCAUCCGGUGGAGUGAUGACCCACGGGGCUGUCCGUGUGACAGGGUCUCUGUCUGUGUGACAGGGCGUCUGUCUGUGUGACAGGGUGAGAUGUCGACCUGUGUCCGAGUGACAAGGUGGUUUGGCCUAUUGAGAGGCGGGAUCGGAGACAUCACUGCUUGUUAGUUGCUUGUGCACUUGUAGAGUGCUUGUUUGGUUUCAUUAGAUUUAUUCUUAAUAUGUUGGUGGAAAUAAAUGAAUAAGGCGGGAGCCUGGUUUGGUUCUCACUGAGUAAUUCUUCCAAAUUACUCACCCCUCUCUCUCUAAAUUCCGAUGUGCAGGUGAAUGUGAUUGUGAUUGUGAAUGUGAUGAUGUCUGGGAAGAAGUAGACGAGUAAUUCUAGUGUGGUGUGCCUUCAGAAAUGGAGGAAGUUUUAUUGUUUUCAAGAACUAUUUCACAUUUCUUCUUAAGACAAUGUUUCUAUUUUAUUUCAGAUUUCAUAAGUUAUUUCAUUUCUAUGGUAAGACUUAGAUUUGGGUUUGGAUUUGAAUAAAGAACAACAAGUUAUUUGGAAUUGAUUUAGUUUAGGUUAGUUAAUAUCCCGGUUUAUUCUGGUUUCCUUCGGAAGCAGGAAUCGGGGUGUUACAAUUUGGUAUCAGAGCAUGGUUCGAACUAGGUGUUAAGAGAGCUAUCUAGAAUAGUGGGAAUGGGAUUCGGAUUUCAAAAAAAAAAUGGUUUAAAAAGUUUUUAAAAGUUUUCAAGUUUUCAAAGUUCAAAGAUUUUUCCAAAUGUUUUCAAAGAAAGAAAACUACCACCUAGACUGGCCUCUCUAGUUUUUGUUGUUCUUUUCUUUUGCAGGAAGUUAGUCUUUACGGGACCGGACUGACUUAUCUGCCUUUUAUAGUUUUGUAAGCCCGAGGUUGACCAAGUGUUGGACCUUCUCCGGAAAGUUCACCCCCAGAUUGAAAGCAGUGGAAACUGCUGGAAGUGAGCAGGUGAAGACCAUUGGAAUCCAUGAAGAGGUGCCUAUCUUGUUGGAAGGAGCAGAUUUUCCUUGGACUCUAGUGAAAAUGAAGUUGGGCCACUAUGAUGUUAUCCUUGGAAUGGACUGGCUGAAGCAUUAUGAAGUUGUCCCGAAUUGCCGGAAGUCGAGGGCCUAUGUUCCGUAUCAAGGAGGUCGGAUUGCCUUUCAGGGAGUAAAGACCGACACCGGAGUGCCAGUCAUUUCGAUGAUUCAUGCCGAGAAUCUUAUAGAGGAAGGAUGUGAAGCUUUCUUGGCGACAGUCUCUAUGGUAGGAGAGGGAGCACCUAAGAGCCUUGAGGAGAUACCAGUGGUGAAUGAAUACGCGGACGUAUCCAACCAUUGACUGGACCUCCGCCAAGAAGAGGAGUUGACUUCACUAUCGAAUUAGAACCAGGAACAGCCCCUGUUUUGAAGGUUCCAUAUCGAUUGGCACCAGCAGAGAUGGCUGAGCUAAAGAAGCAGUUGGAGGACUUGACGGAUAAAUGAUUUAUUCGGCCAAGCAGCUCGCCAUGGGGAGCGUCCGUGCUAUUUGUAAAGAAGAAAGAUGGAAGCUUUCGACUUUGCAUUGAUUAUAGAGGGCUGAAUAAGGUGACCAUCAAGAAUAAGUAUCCCUUGCCAAGGAUUGAUGAGUUGUUGGACCAGUUAGAAGGAGCUUCAUGGUUCUCUAAAAUUGAUUUGGCGUCAGGCUAUCACCAGAUUCGGAUAGCAGAGGAGGACAUUAGUAAGACAGCAUUCCGAACUCGAUAUGGUCAUUAUGAGUUUGUGGUAAUGCCGUUUGGAUUGACUAAUGCGCCUGCAGCUUUCAUGAAGUUGAUGAAUGAUAUUUUUUUAGAGCACUUGGAUAAGUGUGUGAUUGUCUUUAUUGAUGACAUCCUGGUCUAUUCAAGGUCGGAGAGAGAGCAUGAAUGGCAUUUAGGAAUGAUUCUGCGGAAGUUAAGGGAUCAGCAGCUUUUUGCGAAGCUAAGCAAGUGUAGCUUCUGGCAGAGGAAGAUGGGAUUCCUUGGCCAUAUUGUCUCAGAAGAGGGAGUAGCAGUGGAUCCUGAGAAGAUCACUGCAGUGACAGAGUGGCCUGUACCUAAAAGUGUUACUGAGGUCUGUAGCUUUUUGGGUCUGGCUGGGUAUUAUCGUAAGUUUGUGCCUAAUUUCUCCCGUAUUGCCAAACCUCUCACCAGCUUGACGGAGAAGAAUGUUAAGUUUGAGUGGAUGGAUAAGAGAUCUCAGAGUUUUGAGGAGUUGAAGCAGAAACUCACAGAGACUCCGAUAUUGAUACUUCCAAGGUCAGGAAUACCAUAUGAUGAAUACACCGAUGCCUCUGGAUCCGGGUUAGGAUGUGUGCUGAUGCAGGAAAAGAAGGUCGUAGCNNNNNNNNNNNNNNNNNNNNNNNNNNNNNNNNNNNNNNNNNNNNNNNNNNNNNNNNNNNNNNNNNNNNNNNNNNNNNNNNNNNNNNNNNNNNNNNNNNNNGCUUCGGAAGCAUGAAGUGAAUUAUCCGAUUCAUGAUUUGGAGUUAGCAGCAGUAGUAUUUGCUCUGAAGAUUUGGCGUGCUUACCUGUAUGGGGAGAAGGUGCACAUAUAUACUGAUCAUCAGAGUUUGAAGCAUGUGUUCACUCAGGAUGAUUUGAAUCUGAGGCAGAGGAGGUGGAUAGAAUUAUUGGCUGAUUAUGAUUUGGAAAUUUCCUAUCAUCCUGGAAAAGCCAACCAAGUGGCAGAUGACUUGAGUAGAAGGAGAAAUGCGGUUUCUGAGGCUAAGGAAACGCAGGAGCUGAUAGCGACUUUGGCGAAUUUGAGUUUGUGUGUCGCUGAAGUAGAGGAUGAUGCAGCAGGAUUUGAAGCAUUGGAUAAUGCUGACCUGCUGAUGAGGAUUCGUCAGGAGCAAGCGCAUUAUUUGUCCCUUAAGGAGAUUUUUGAAAAGCAAGUGGUUGGGUACCACAAAGCAGACAACGGGACUUACAUGUAUAGGAAUCGAGUCUGUGUUCCCAUGAAUGAUGAGCUAAGGAGGGAAGUGUUAAGUCAGGCUCAUCAGUCGAAGUUUUCUAUUCAUCCAGGGAACACCAAGAUGUAUCGGGAUCUAAACCGCUACUACCGUUGGUCUGGUAUGAAGCGCGAUAUUUCUGCUUGGAUAUCUCAGUGUUCUACAUGUCAGCAAGUGAAAGCAGAGCAGAUGGCACCAAGUGGACUUCUCCAAAACUUGCCAUUACCAGAAUGGAAAUGGGAUAUGGUAACUAUGGAUUUUGUGACGGGGUUGCACAGGACACUAAGUAAGAAGAAUGCGAUUUGGGUAAUCGUAGACCGUCUUACUAAGUCAGCUCACGCUUUGCCAAUUAAAAAGACGGAUGGAGCAGAGCAGUUGGCGCAGAAGUAUAUUGAUGUUAUUGUGAGGUUGCAUGGAGUUCCAGUGAGCAUAGUGUCGGAUCGGGAUCCAAAGUUUACAGCUAGUUUCUCGCAGGCCUUCCAGAAAGCAUUGGGAACAAAGGUUCAUCUCAGCACAGCAUACCACCCUCAGACAGAUGGCCAAUCAGAAAGGACGAUUAGGACCCUGGAGGAUCUGUUGAGAACGUGUGUCCUAGAUUGGGAAGGAAGUUGGGAGAAGCAUUUGCCUUUGGCGGAAUUUGCUUAUAAUAACAGCUAUCAUAGUAGCAUUGGGAUGGCACCAUAUGAGGCUCUAUAUGGUCGGCCUUGUCGCACACCUCUGUGCUGGACAGAAGUAGAAGAAAUGAGAGUGCUAGAGCCAGAGCUCCUUGAGGAGGCGUCUAAGCAAGUGGAAAUGCUUAAGACAAGGUUGAAAGAAGCUCAUGAUCGCCAGAAGAGCUAUGCAGAUCAGUGAAGGCAGGAGUUGUCUUUUGAAGUUGGUGAUAUGGUGUAUCUGAAGUUGAGGACCUUCAGAGAGAAUGAUAAGCAUCGGCUGAUGAAGAAGCUUAAGCCUAGGUACAUGGGACCGUACCCUAUCCUGGAAAGGAUUGGAGAAGUGGCUUACCGUUUGGAGUUGCCCAAAGAAUUAGCUGAGUUCCAUGAUGUGUUUUAUAUCUCUCUUCUGAGGAAAGUUGUGAGGGAGCCAUAACUCAUUUUGCCCCAGCCGCCAGCAGAUGUAAAGAAGGACUUCUCAGCAGCAUAUCAGCCUGAGGCAGUGUUGGAAUUUCAGGAAAAGGAGUUGAAUGGUAAGAGAAAACCAGCGGUUAAGGUGUGUUGGGAAAGGGAUGGAAUCCGCGAAGAAACCUGGGAAGUAGAGCAGAAAAUGCGGAAGGAAUUCCCGGAACUCUUUAAGGAUAAGGGAGAAACCGGAGGAGUGGGAGAGAAUUCGGGGACGAAUUCUAUGGAAGUAGGGGAGAGUGGUAACAUCCCAAACCCAGCCCAAUUAGAGGAGGCCCAGCAAAUCCAGGCCCACUCCAGAAACCCUAAUAUAAAUAGGGAAUUAGGAGUUAAUGAGCCUCAUUUUGCCUCUAAUUACCCUAGCCCCCAAAGAAAAGAAAGUGAGAGAGAGAAGGAGAAGCUGCACGCCGUCGCCGAGGACGAGAGCCGCCGCCGCCGCCGCCGCUUGCCGAGAGAAGAAGGAGCACUCGCCUGCCUCCACCUUCUCAGAAGUUGCUUGAUUCUUUUGCCUCUUCUAGUUCUCCUUAAUCUCAGAUCUGCUUUUAGGCCAAGGUGAGGAUUAGAUCUAGGUCUUUCUUCUUAUCCCUUUAUCUUCUUCUGUUGUGUUGAGUCUAGAUCUGGUGGGACAGGUCUGUCUUCUUGUGCAUCUAGGCAGAUCCAUAUAUAUAUAUAUAUAUAACUAAUAAGAUCUAGGAUCUCAUUAGAGGAAGAACCAGCAUGAUUGAUUGAUAACCCUGUUGAUUGGUUAGUGAUUGGUAGAAGUCCUAAAGGUCAUAGUCUGUUUCUGGUAUAGUGAUGUGCCGAAUGCAGGCUUGUUUGCUGGGUUAUGUGCCGUCUGUGUGACCGUGGCAAUAAUCCGUUCAUCCGGUGGAGUGAUGACCCACGGGGCUGUCCAUGUGGCAUGCCGGGAUUGGUCUGUCCGUGUGACAGGGUCUCUUUCUGUGUGACAGGGCGUCUGUCUGUGUGACAGGGUGAGAUGUCGACCUGUGUCCGAGUGACAAGGUGGUUUGGCCUAUUGAGAGGCGGGAUCGCAGACAUCACUGCUUGUUAGUUGCUUGUGCACUUGUAGAGUGCUUGUUUGGUUUCAUUAGAUUUAUUCUUAAUAUGUUGGUGGAAAUAAAUGAAUAAGGCGGGAGCCUGGUUUGGUUCUCACAAAUUAUUCACCCCUCUCUCUCUAAAUUCCGAUGUGCAGGUGAAUGUGAUUGUGAUUGUGAAUGUGAUGAUGUUUGGGAAGAACUAGACGAGUAAUUCUAGUGUGGUGUGCCUUCAGAAAUAGAGGAAGUUUUAUUGUUUUCAAGAACUAUUUCAUAUUUCUUCUUAAGACAAUGUUUCUAUUUUAUUUCAGAUUUCAUAAGUUAUUUCAUUUCUAUGGUAAGACUUGGAUUUGGGUUUGGAUUUGAAUAAAGAACAACAAGUUAUUUGGAAUUGAUUUAGUUUAAGUUAGUUAAUAUCCCGGUUUAUUCUGGUUUCCUUUGGAACCAGGAAUGGGGUGUUAUAAUAACUCUAUUUUUAAAGUAAUUCCAUUUUUUUAAUAGUAACUCUAUUUUGGAGAGAAAUAUGAAGUAGGUUUAGAGAGAAUUUUCUUCAAACUCUAUUUUGGAAUGAAAUUUGGAGUAGAGUAGGAGAUGUCUAAGAGAACUGAUUACCCCAUCAAAUGAACGCAAGAAACGAUUCUCGGUAUCUUCGUCCUCCAUUCAAGCUCAGUUUUUUGUUCUCGAGGAAUCAAUCUUAUUACAAACUGGCCAACUCAUGAGAAACUUGUAGCAUUUAAGGGUAGCUUUCUCAGCUUUGGACAGAGAUCAGCUACUAUGUGCUUCAGAAAUGGAAAGGCAAGAGGACUCCCGUAGAUACUCUACAGCUUAGGCAAAUUCCUAAAUGUUAUAAAUUUUAGUUUCUGAAAUGGUCUUAUACCUGUAAGAUUGUUACUUUUUUUUUUACAAUGUCUUCCAGUCUUCUUGAAUUUUCAAUCUGUAGGUAGACAAGAUAUAUUGACUAGAUUUUGUUGAAAAAUGUCAAUCUCUAAAACAUUGCUGCAGUUCGCCAACCUUCAAUCGCCCAAUAAUUGCUCUAAAUCCAACUCCGCAGAUAUGAUUAUGGUUAGAACUUGUGGAUUCUCCAAGAGCUGAAGCUCCUUCAAUAAGCUAGCAUCUCCAUGAAAAUUAGAAUAUUAUAGUUUCAAAAUUCUUUAACUUGAUACUUUUGAUAUCCCAUUGAUACUAGAAAGUCUCUAUGUAACAAUCAAAUUCAGCUGACUUCGCUUUUUAAUAUCUUGGUAGCCAACAUGGAGUUGCUCUAUACUGUAUACGACAAGUCAAGAUACUGCAAGGAUGCCAACUCUGAUAGCUUUUUCAUAAAGCGGAUGAAUUUACCUGAGAGAUUUUUCAAAUUGUCACUCUGGAGGAACAUAGUUGUAUAAGUUCAGAGCACUUGGAAAUGCAAGUUAUCUCUUUAAUCGUAUUCUUCAUUAAAGACAUCCUUCUCACAGCUUUCCAAUGCUUGACUUUUGGUAUUUCAUGUAGUCCAACAUAACCCUUAUUCUUCGCUCUUUUAAAAACUUGGCAUUCUCCAAUGAAUCCCUAGAUCACGUACUCUAUCAAUUUUUCUUUAUCUAUUCGAACAUCUUCUGGAAACAGAGCACAAUAAAAGAAACAUGACUUGAUACGUUCAUCCACCAAGCAAUUGUAGCUGUACUGGACAUUUUGCUAAUGUUGAGCAAACAUGACUUUAUCUAUAGAGGAAACAUGACUUUAUCUAUAGUGUUUUUGGUCAAUAGGUGGAAUGCAUUUAGCUAAUGACGAUGAAAGAGAGAGAGAUUGUGUUAGAUUUCAUUCCUCUUUGCUUUGUAAUUUCUCCCAUAGUUUCAAAGUCGUCGACUUGAUGCAACCAUGUUUUUAUAAAGAUGAUUAAUCCCCAGUUUCGGAGUAUUUUAAUCACAUUAGAUGCCACUAUGUUUUAAAAGACAAAGCUCAAAUUCGUUGACUUGAGCUUUUCAAGAACGAUUUGAAACGUGUGGCUGAUGUCCCAGAAAGAAAUGCACCUGAUUUCAGAAUGGCCUCCAGAAACCUGCACCAUACCAAGUAAAAUCAAAACAAAUUAAAGUCAGAUAAUAAAAAAUUAAAAGAGGAAUGCUUCUGGGGGACAACUCCUAAGCAGCAUUGCUCUUAGAUUUAGAAGGUUCAAGAAGAGAUUAUUUCUGUACCAGCAAAACUUGGCAUAUUCUGAGGCUUAAGGAGGAUAUAAAACGUUGGUUGAAAGCUGUGUGGUUCAAGAGAGCCACUCCAAAGCAUGCUUUCACCUUUUGGACGGCAAACUAAGACAGGUUACCACUGAAAACAAAGCUUGUGAGCUGGGGAAUUAAUAUCUCUCCAACAUGCUGCCUUUGUGACAUGGAGGAAGAGACUAGAGACCAUUUGUUUCUACACUGUCCAUUUUCUGAAGCAGUUUUGACCAUGGGGAUUCGGUGACUCGGAUUUUUUUGGAGUCUCAUUCUCUAAUUGGCAGUCCAUGAUCAACUGGAUGCUUCAACGAACACCAAGACUCUCCUCUACUUACUUGUUAUGGGGUGAACGAAACCAGAUAAUACAUGAUGGUCCUCUAUCUUCUGAAAACCAUCUCUUCGAUUAGUUGGAUAGACUGAUUAGAGACACAUUGUUGGCACACAAUCCCAGCGUAACUAUAGGGGUCUUCUAUCUCUUUGGUUUAAGAACCACUAGUUCUUCAAGCUCGAUUGUAAUUCUACUAAAAUGAUCUGUUUCCAAGCCUUUUUCCUUUUUUAGGCUUUUGAAACAGUGGCUGAGAGAUUUAUAGAAUAGUAGCGGAUUAAGCAAGAAUAUAGAGAGAUUUAGGUGAGAUUAAUGAAAAACUAAAGAAAAGAAGAGAGAAUCAAGAGAUUUAGAGAGAAAGAAAUGUAUUCUCAUUUUCUUAGAUCUAUAGAAAGCUGCUACAUUGUGUUUAAGUAGGAAGACAAAGAAAACUCUAACACAUAUGAGUAUACUAAAUACCUUAUAAAGUUUUAUAAAGUUUUAUAAAAUCUUAUAAAGUCUUAUAAAGUCUUUUAAAGUUUUCUAAUUGGAUUCCCACCAGAAAAGCUGAGAAUGAUCCAUCUUGUUUAACAGUGGCUAAUGUAAUAUACAAUAUAAUUCAAAUUUUAUUAAAAAAAAUAUAAGUUGCUUCUUUUGUGGGCAAAAAACAGGUCAUACAAAAGCUCGUCGUUAGUCUUUACAAGUUUCAGAGGACAGUAAUAUAUAAAAUCAUCAAAUAAUAUCGAAAACCCAUAGAAAUACACAAAAGCGUGUGUUCAAGAGGAAAGAAUUGUACAAGAAUAAUCUAUAACAUGUUGCAUCUAAUUGUGUCGAUGUUACAUGGGAUCUUCUUCGUCCAUCUACUAUAGUCAUAACAGGAUGUUAAAGCAAGACUUAAAGAUGAUGGAUCCGAGUCUGAAGUUACAGAAACGUGGAUUAAGCAAUAAAUUGGAGAUGAUGAAAAUAAGUUAUGCCCAAAGUAGCUUAUGAUGUGGAAGUGGGUUUUGUUUUUUUUUGCGAAUCCUAAAAGAUUAUUGUGUUGUGCUGAUUCUACGUUAGUCUUAGAAGAAUGGAGUGUGUAAAAUAGAGAAAAUUUUAUAAAAGAAGUAACGUUCAUAUGUAGAAAAGCAAGCUUUUGAAUGAAUAAUGGCUUGGUUUAUUUUUCUGUUGAAAGAAAAAAAAAAUUAUUUAAUAUUUCAAAACGAGUGUAAAAGUGAAAUACUUUCUCGCGAUAGAAAAAGUAUUUCACUUUCUCGCGACAGAAAAAAUAUUUCACUUUCUCGCGACAGAAAAAGUAUUCCACUUUCACUGCUGGUGAUCUAAAUGACGAUCCCAAAUAAACAAAUAAUAUUAGAAAUUUAUCUAUACACUAUUAUUUGCGAAGUUAAAAAUUUUAGGUAUUGUCCCCACAACAAUUGUUCUACGUGGCAUUAAUGAAAAAAUAUUAUUUAUUGUUUUAAUUUGUUUUAAUAGAUCGAUCAUUAAUCUUACGUGUAAAAACUUGUGACUUGGCUUUUUUCUUCGAUAAUGGGCUACAGAGUUUGUUCAUGGGCCAGCGAUUUUUUUUUUCACUCAUAGCCACCGAUUCUGGUAAUAGGGCACCGACGUCGAAACCCUAAACUCUAAAGAAUAUAUCCUACUAUAUAUACAUGUAUUAUCUACAUAUAUUUUUACAUACAACAACUGUCUUCAAGGUCUAGCAAUUUUUACAAAACUCGUCCACCUCUUUACACGAAUACAUCUUUUGUAUAUCCCAAUCUAGUUUAAAAUAUAUCGUUUAUUUAGUUGGUUGUUCUUCCAUGCUAACUUUUGAAUCGUUUUGUUCUGAUCGAGAUUCUUUUAUGCUAACCAGUCAAAUAUCUAUGUUUUUUUUCUAUCGUGUUCUAUAUUAUUAUGCAUCACAACUAUUUUAUUUUUUAAUCCCUGUUUUACUCUCUAUGCGAUUGGUCAUCGAGAUAUCAUAUUUGUGUUCUUUCUUUUGCUUUGUAAUUCUAUAUAUAAAAUUCGAUGCUUCAGUAUUAGAUAUUCAUGUUUCUCUUUAUUAAAUUUUUCUUAUGGUUAUAUUGAGUUAUUAUUCGUAAAUAUAGAUUGACCUGAGCUUCUUUAUUGUUUUCAUUGAACCUAGAGUUUAUCGUGCAAACUAUAGGUGAUUGGUUCAAACUUUUGCAAUCAUAUCUUCAAAUGAAUCUAACAGGUAAUUGUAAAUAAAUCAUUAGUACUUUUUUUUGUCAACAACUUAUUAGAACUUCCAAUUUUCUUAAUUGAUAUUCGUAAACUCUAUAAUUUAUUAUUUUGAUAUUCUUAAAAGGAUCAAAACCAUAGAAAUGAGUUUUUUUUUUGUGUGUAUAAUUCAUGUUUUAGUUUAGGUUUGUAUUAAUUUUUCUGGUAACAUAUUGUGAAUGAAUGUUAUUUAUUGUUUGAUUGUUUGAUUGUUCUUUGUUUCUCCUUGGGUUCUACUAUACAUUUUCUUUAUAUUGUUGUUUAUGUUUAUUUUUAUUUCUAAAUAUAAUUUUAUGGUUUUUGUGGUAGCUUUUGUGGACAUGUAAAAAAAAAAAAAGGAGUAACCAUUUCAGAUUAAUUUUGGUUUCAUAGUUUACUAAAGAUAUGUAACAUGAACAAAACGUCUAUUGUUUUAUAAAAUUCCCAUUGUUUUCUACCCAAAGGCAAUUAUGUUGGUUCUGGAAAAAAUGUUUUAUAGUUUUGCUUUUUACCCAACACAUUCUUUUAUCAGAAAAACAUUAAAUCACUCUCAAGAUUAAACUUAUCAGGCAUUAAAGCAAUAUUUUUGUUGGUAAGUCGAUGAAUGAGAAUGUGAUGUCUCAUAACUUCAAAGAGCAAAGGAAAAAUAAGUGACAACGAGACUAGAUUCGGUGUGAGUAGAAUCUUUACGCAUGUUAAGUAUUUGUUGAUAUACAGCAAUCAUAUUGAGAACAGAGUGCAAACCAAUUGCAAAUUGCACCAUCCAAUUGGUGUUAAAUUAUAUUAUGGUUAAUCCCUGACCCAUUUCUUAGUUUCAUCAUUAAUUAAUGAAUCAUCAGUUUUUUUUAACCCCUGAUGAGAGAUAAAAUCAGCUGAAGGAAGGAAAGUCACCAAUACAGAGGAAGAAGAAUAUUUGCUAUAAAAUAUUCAGGUCUUAAUUUUCAUCAUCCUUGUAAUUUGUUUCAGCUUGCUAAAACUACUUUUUUAGUGUUGCAGACUUCAUCGGAAUACCUAAUAAAUUGAUGAUUCUCUGAUACCAGAAUCUAAGAAAUAUACUCACACGUGAUAAACUGAAAUUUUUGUGAAUUGCAGAAUGAACAUACUCACACGUUGCAUUUCUUAUAUGUUUUGAUGUGAAACAAGUAAUUCUUCUGUCAUAUAGCUUUGUUGCUUUAAAAUUAAUCAGUCUGCUAUUACCAGUUACUUUUAAAUCAGAAUUUCAUAACGUAAUGUGGUAGCAUAAUCCAAAUUUGUUGAUUUAAGUAGGAUAUCCCGAAUAGGAAAUGUUGUAGUUCGUGUAUGGCAUACUUCAAAUCUUAGAAUAUGUUUUGGCUUGAGUCUUCAAGAUGUGCUAGAUAGUUAUCAACUUAUCAUCUUGAGGAAAUGAACUUAAAGAAUUAUAUAAGAGAUAUACUCAUAAUUCAUAUAUACUAUAAUCCAUUUUAUUGCCAAUUUUUUUUUUUGAGUUAGAACCUAUAAAACUUAAAAACAUAUAUCAUGGUAGAAUCAAGUGUCAUCUCACUAAGACUUAUUAUGCUCAUAUAUGGUUCUAUUGAUUUUAAAAAAAAAAUAAUAAUUAAACAUACGAAUUAACCAAAAUAUAGUUUUAAAAGUUUUAAGGUCUGCUAUGUUUUUUUAAAGUGUUAGAGCAUUUUCAUCCCUUAAAUCUAUUAGAGGUUCUUAAACAUAUUUUAAUAUUAAAUUUGUCAAAUAUUUUAAUAUUAAAUUUUAAACUGCUUAUCCUAAUCAAUUAAAACACGACACCUAGCUAAGAGAUUCAUUAAAAUCGAUCCUUAUUUAAGAAUCACAAUAACCAGUCCUUAAAAUUAAAUGCAUUUUUCAAUUAAUUUUAAACCCACUUUUCCUCUAAUAUCCCCAUAGGAUAUCACCGAAGAGGUAGGUGGUCUUACUUUGCUAAGCUUCAAAUUGUAUUGUCUUCACUCUUCAGUAUAAGACUAAUGAACAUUUAGUUUACAAUUUUGAAUUUUCUAAAUGGAGUAGGCCGAGAUCAGGCCCAGGCUAUAACCGCUUCUUACAGGCUAUUGAUGCAAUCAAAUGUUACAAAUUGCAAACGGCUAUUUGCUUUGUGUUAGCAUUGGUCCAUUGAAUUUUCAAUUUUUUUUUAAUAACUUAUAUUGAGUCAUAUGGAAAUGGACAACACUCAGUUUAAUAAUAGAUGUCCGGUAUCGGUUCUUAUCAGCACCGCUGCUUUGUAUGUAGUCGCCGUCUGCAAGAAUCAUUCUGAGAAAUGCUAGACAAAAGUGAGAAAGACGAUUUCGUAAAAGAAAGAAGAUUGAGUUUUGCCAGAAACUACUCUACAAGAUUGUUAUAGUUUCUGGACACGCAGCUAAUUCAAACGACGAACCAAUGUUCAAGACCGGUGGGCGGUGAAUUGCGAAUUUGUUUUUGGCUGAAGAUUUGUUCUUGGGUUCUUGUUUUAAUGUUCUUAAUGUGGUGAAGCCAUUAGGAAAGGAAUGUGAAAACUCUUAAAAUUAAGAAGACUCUUUCCAUGUCUUCUUAAGUGAAGUUGUCUCUAGUUAUUGCCCCAAAUCAGAAAGCCACUAGACAUAGUUUAGGAUUAGAUGGAAGUCACAGCAUCUUCAGAUUUAAAUUAGAGAGUCUGAAAAACAGGAUCUUCAUGAUUCAGCAAAAUCAUAUAACUUUUCAUCUUGAUUCCUCCUGUUAACAACACAUACACACUGCAAGAUGAAAUAGAAAAAGCUACAGGUAGAGAAAUUUCAUUUUGGAUAGUGAGGAAUCAAAAUACACAGUAAAUUCAGAGGCAUCACAUGCUUUUAUGAUAUAUCCUUUCACGUAAAAGCAUAAAAAAACUGUUGAUUAUAUAAAUACAUGUAGCUUGAGAAGGAAGCAAUCCGCCUUAACUUAUUACAUAGAAAAAUGAAAAAGAAAAUCCAAUUUAAAAACACAACACACUGCAGAGAUGUAUGAGACUGCAUAGGAAAAACAAUAAUACAAUCCAAAUGAAGAACACAUCAUACUUUGAGAAGAAAGAGAAAGCAGAAGAAGAAGCGUGGAUUCUGGUUUAUCACAGUGAGGAAUUCCAAUCCAAAUUGAGGGAUGGUUAGUCCUAAUAACUCAGUACUAUAAGAAAAAAAUAAAUAAACAAAGUUAGUGAAUAUUCAGAAAAAUACAUUUCACCUAAAACUGCUAGGAAUAUCCAGCAAAUUCUGCCUCACCAUUUAAUAUCUUAAUAAGAAGCUGAACCAAUUUUCAACAGUUUCUAUUAAAUAUUUGUAUAUAUUCCUUCAUUAACGAAUGUGAAAGGAAAAGAAGAAGAAAGAAAAUACUGUUUGUGAUUUAGUAGUCAUUUGAAGAGUUCAAUGCACAUAUGUAUUUAAACUUUUGAAAUUAUGACCCCUCGUAAAUAUCCAACAAACACAGGUCUGAUGAUUUUCGAGAUAAUUUUCUAAUUUUGUGACCCAAUUUGUGUUUUGUUGGGUAUCAAUGUAUCAUGAUGCAAAUGGAUCAUAUCAGACUAAAAAAAAAACGAUCACACCUCAUUCUAACCUUGAGCAAACAUGAAAGAAACUGAAGUAAGAUAAAAUAAUUUAUUCAAGCGGAAGAGAAUAAGAGAAAUGAUUACCCCAGCGAAUAAAAGGCAGGAAACGAUGUUUAGUAUCUUCAUUCUCCCAUUCCAGCUCAGUUUUCUGUUCUCGAGGAUACAUAUUUAUUUUAAACCCGCCAAGUCGUGGGACACUUGUAGCAUCAAAGGGAAGCUUUCUCAGCUUUGGACAAUCAUAUACUCCUAUGUGCCGCAAUGAUGGAAAGGGGAGAGGACUCCAGUAGAUACUCUCCAGCUCUGGCAGAUUUCUCAGGACUAAGUGUUCUAGUUUCUGAAAUGGUGUAGUACCUGUAAGAUUGGUUGCUUUCUCUUUGUUUAUGAUUUCUUCUAGUUCUCCUUCGAAAAUUUCUAGCCGAGUCAGAUUUGGAGAAAACAGUAGCCAAGUCAGAUCCUUAAUGCCAUGACAGCGAAACAUUGUCACGACGGAGAGGUUGGUAAAGCAUGAGCUUCCUCUGCAUUUAAUAUAUGUAUCAAUCGCCGACACAUGACUACUCACAUGGAGCUCACGAAGAUUCUCCAUACUCAACAGCGAUGACAUAUUGAAUGGCUUUUCCUCAAAUCCCACAAUACCCAGAUAAUUGAUGCAGUUAGCCAACUCGGUAGAGAUCGUUAUAUAUGCUUCAAACCCAACUCGGUAGAGAUCGUUAUCUGUAGAACUUGUAGAUGCUCCAAGAGCUGCAGCUCCUUCAACAAGCUAACAUCUCCAUGAACUUUAGAAUAUCUUAGUUUCAAAAUUCUUAAACUCGACAGCUUUGAUAUCCCACUGAUACUACAAAGACUCUUUGUAAAAGUCAAAUCCAGAUGAAUUAGCUUUUUCAACUCUUGGAAACCAACUGGCAGUUGCUUUAUACUUGUGCCCGACAAGUUAAGAUACUGCAAGGAGGCCAGCUUCGAUAUCUGCCGAUAUCGAUAUUACGUGAUAGAUCCAAAACAACUAGCUUUUGCAUAGAGCCGAUGAAUUCACCCGAGAGAUUCUUCAAAUGAGUAUUACGGAGGAGCAGAGUUGUAAGUUCAGAACACUUGGAACCACAGGUUAUCUUUUUAAGCUCAUUCUUCAUCAAAGACAUCCUUCUCACAGCUCUCCAAUCCUUGACUUUUGGCAUUUCGUGUAAUCCGACUCCUGCUUGAACCAAAAAAGUCUCUUUCUGUUUCCCAAAGUCGGAUGCAAUCCAUAGAGCCAUUUCGCGAACCACGUCAUGCAUCACAACACCUCUUCUACUAUUAGACUGUUCUGUCAGUAAAUUUGCGCGGAUAAGGGUACCAAGUACCUCAUAACCCUUAUUCACUGCCCUUUUAUAAGAUUGGUCUUCCUUGAUGAAUCCUUCGCAUAUCCAGUACUCUAUCAAUUCUUCUUUAUCUUCAGGAAACAGAGCACAAUAGAGGAAACACGACUUGAUAUGUUCACCCGCCAAGCUAUCGUAGCUGAACUUCAGAAUUGGCAGACCUUUUUUGCAUGCUCGACAAUGGCAGGAUCUCUACUUAAUGUGUAGUCUCCUACCUUGCUUUUGAACAAUUCCCAUGCUUCUUCUUGUCCCAAACAGUCGACUUUCAUCGGCUCAUGAUCUCCCAUCCGCCCACAUACUUCCCGAGUGGUGAAUGCUACUUUGCAUCCAUUUUCUCUGGUGGGAAACGGAACUCCGAUAGCUUCUAAAUCCACUUUCUCCCAUAUAUCAUCUAGCAUCAAAACAAAUCUCUUCCCUUUUAAAACUCUGUGUAUAUCGAUUGCCUUGUCACUUUCACUUUUGUUCGUUCCGCCAAGGUUUAGCUUUUGUGCAAUAUCUUCUUGAAGCUUUGAAAUAGUUGCACCUUGAGACACCACGACCCAGAUCACAACAUCAAAUCUACCAGCCAUUUCAGUGAACUUAUUGUGGAUAUUCUUGAAAAGGGUAGUCUUGCCUACACCUCCCAUACCGUGCAAACCAAUGAUUCCAACUCCAUCUUCCAUAAGGCGCUUCCAUGCCUCUCCCAGCAUUGUUUCCUGACCGAUCGUAGGCCCAGUAGGCCUUUCUUCUACUACAGAUCUCAAAACCGGCUCAGUAACCUCUUUAAAAUUACCCUCCGAUUUGAGUUUCUUAACCUCUUUCAGCAACAAGAAUACCUUUUUCCCAUAUUUGUAGCUCGAACAUACACUUUUUGAACAUAAACCACAGAGACACAACUUCUUAAGCUCAACAGGACUAGUACUAAGCAGAUCAUUGAACCGUGUAUCGAUGCUCUCGACACGUGUUAGCCAUACCUUGACAGCUUCAAGCCUUUGUUGAUGUUGUGCCUCCUCUCUCGCUACUUUGUUCUUCACCUCAGCUUCAAUUGCCUUGAGAUCAUCCAUUUCCCUCUUCAGAGCCCUGAGAUUCUCCUUGAGGUUUCGAAUAUAACCUUUACCACAUAAGAGUCUAAAGAUACGAUUGAGAUCAUCACCAGUAAGUUGGAUAGGAUUACAACUCCCCAUGUCGAUAGAAAGAGAGAAAACUUUGAGUAAGCAACAAACGCAAGCUAAAGAUGAAGAAGUAUUUUUUUUUUUUUUUUUUUUUUUGAUGAAGAAGUAUUUAAUGUGAAAAGCAUUUUACAAGUGACGAAGGCAUAUAUGAUUUGUUAUCUGUCGGUCCUCUUUGGGUUCUAAUUUCCACAACUACCACAUAUGCAUCGACUGAUACGAUUCACAUGAAAAAUGAAAAGCCACACAAUUUCUCUAUGGUGAUGGAAAGAGAAUAUUUCUGAAGCUGAAGAAGUUUUUUAUGUCAAAGAAAUCAUUGGAGAUAAGAGCAUGUGCAAUGGGAGAAACCCUCAUGGGUCUCUAUCCCUUUUUUUUUUUAUUAAUAUUAUAAAUUGCUUUAUAAGUAGAAACUCUAUGGAGAGACUUUGUAAUUUUUGAGGGUCCAAUAGGAGAAACUCGAAUCUAUAAUAUUAUUUACGAAGUCAAAAAUUUUAUGUGUCAUCACCACAACGAUUGCCCUACGUGGCAUUAAUAAAAAAAUAUUAUAUGUCAUUUUAAUUCGUUUUGAUAGGUCUAUCAUUAAUCCUACAUGUAAAAACCGGUGACAUGGAUUUUCCUUCGAUAAUAUAACGGCCCAUGGGCCAGAGAUUUUAACAACCGUCAUAACCAUAAAAACCUAAACUCUAGCGUAUUCUUCUUUUUAGAGCUGGAAUUAUCAUCCAAAAUCCGCUCCAAAAAAAUCGGAUAUCUGAAAGGGUCGGAUCCGGAUCCAGAUAGUAAAAUUUCAUGUUUGUCAAAACUGGAUACGGAUCCAGAUAGUUAAAUUAUAAGGUCCAAAUAUCAGUAUCCGAAUCUCUAACCUCUAAAUAUAUUUGAAAAUUAUAUUUUAUUAAUAAUUUUAUAAUAUAAUUAAGAUUAUUAUAUAUAAAAAUAAUUUAAAUUAAAAUUAAAAUAUCUUUUCAUAAUAAAAAGUUAAUUGUUUUACAAAAUAUUAAAUAAAAAUUUAAUUUUAUCAUUAUUUUAAUAUUUAUAUUUUAAAUAUUUUUUGGAUUCGGAUCUGGAUUCGGAUAUCCGCGGAUAUCUUAAUAUUUAGACGAAUAUCCGCAGUCCGGAUAUCCGAACAUCCCAGGUACAGAUCUGGAUAAUUAAAAAUCGGAUCCAGAUAUCACAAAAUUACCCGGAUAUCCACUUCGUGCUGGGGCUACUUCCUCUUAUAUAUAUUCUUUCUUAAUCUCUCGGUAUUCUUUUGGAUUUUGCUCUGUUUUUGAUUUUGCUCUGUUUUUUUUCUUUAUUUAGAUGUUCAGCUUUAAUCUUAUGUCAAUAUAAAUUGAUUUUCUAAUUUUGGUUUCCACUCUUUAUGUUCUUUUCGUCACUUUAAUUAAUCUUUUCUUUUGGGCUAUACACAUUAUGAUCAUGUUUUCGUAUGUCCUAUUUAUUAUAAUUAUUAACAUAUGCUUUUUGUUGUUCUGUUCUCUUAGACUUCAUCCCCCAAAGUUCUUCAAGAUCUUACAUGUAAUAAUAAACGUUUGUUUCCUUCAGGUCACUGAUUCCAGCUUUUGCAAUCAUAUCUUUAAAUGGAUCCAAAAGGUAAUUGCAAAUAAUCAUUAAAAUCUCUUUUUAGUUUUAGAUGGUUUUUUGCCUUUCGUAUUUAACAAUUUUUUUAAUCCUUUUUAACAUUAGCAAUUUAAUCAGUUUUAAAAUUUUGAAAACAAAAUUGUUUAGCCGAUUAACUCUUUUAAUUAGCUUUUCCUUUUACAUGUUUUUUCUCUUUUUCUUUUUUAAAAAUUUCUUUUUUUCCUUGCUUUUUUAACACUUUAAAUAGUAUAUUUCAUAUGAUUUUGAGACUUCGCAAAGUUAUAGAAGUAAUUGUUAUUUCUGUUUCUUGUUUGCUCAUAAAGGAAAAAAUGGUAAUUUUUUCAUAUCCUUUUAUGUUACUUUUUUCUUAAUAUUGAAUUAAGGAUUUAUUUUUGUAUUUUGGUUAUGAUAUCUCGUGGAAUGAUGAACUUGGAUUUAGAUUAUUAUAUUACUUAUAGAUUGAUAUAGUCAUUGUCACUUAUCCCCCAAUAUAUGAAUAUUAAUAUUGGCUUUAAUUUUUUUGUAUAAUAGUUUUCACCAAUCAAAUUAAAUUGAUUUGAAUUGGUCAGGUUUUGUUACUUGUGUGACAUACUUUUGAUGCAAGAAUUUCCACAACAAAAUAUCCAGGUUGAAAUAUAUUAACCAUUACAAAAAAUAAAUAAUAUUAAAUAGUUAGAUUGUAAUUUUAUAUAUUAAAAAUAAUAAGCCAGAACAAAGGCACAUCUAUUCAUAUAUGCGAUUUCCAUAAUUUUGGAUUCCAUAUAUUUAUCAAAAUUUUAAUAUAUCUGGAUCAGAAAAAUAUUAAAUUAAAACAAACAAGUGACAACAAAAUAUGAAUAUUGUAAAUGAUUUUUUUUUUAAUUAUAGAUGUUAUCAUUAAAAAAAAAGACAAUUCUCAAAAAUGGUCCAAAAAACUAAAUCUUCUCAAAAAGAGCCAUUUCUUUUCACAGGGCCAAAUAUAGCAUUCAUUAAAACAAAACAAAAAAAAAACACGAUUAAUUUUAAUUCUAUUUCCUCCUCUAUGAAAAUCACAAAUCUCACAAAAACUUUCAUUGAUCGCCUCACGACUUCCACUGUUGUCAGAAUUUCAUCUGGAAUUUGACGGAAUCAUCGUCGGAGUUAGCAAAUCUUCACUCUGAUAAUCGAGCUAAUCCCAACUUUGUCUCCUUCAAACAAUUUUUCAUUUUCUUUGAAACCUUAAUCGAUAUCUCAAAUUUGGGAAAAAAUGGGGGUUUCGGAAAAAAAUAGGGGGUUUUAAAAACUUUUGUGAUCAACCUAUAGGUUUUCGGCAAAAAUCUGUUUUCUUGAAUCCUAAAUCGUUUUGAAACCGUUUUCAAACUGCAGAUCGUCAGAAAUUCAAAACCCAUGCCUGAAUUUUCAACGGGAAUGCCUCCCUAAUAUUCAGGAAUGAUUCAUAUUGGUUUAAGAAUGUAUUCAUGAAUCAUUAGACCUUCAGGAAUACCUUUAAAAUGUUUAUGUAUUUGUUGUUUUAUAUACCUACAACAAGUCUCAAUAGUUUGUUUUAAUCUUUGUAUUAUCUAUUAUUUUGACAGUUUUAACUAUACAUGUUUACAUGUAUAAACAUGGACAAGCUUUCCGUGAGAAGUUUAUUAAGAUAAUUUUAGGAAGCCUUUCCUAAAAUAUUAAGAGACCUUAUUGAAUUUUCAAUUCAGGAAGGCUUUCCUAAUUUUCAGGAAGAAAUUCGUAAUAGUUUAAGAAGAUCUUUCUUAAUAAUAAACCUUCAAUGAUCACGUUUUAAAUUUCUCUUAUAGAUUUUGAAUGUAUAAAAUGUUAAUGUAUUUGUUGUUUAACAAACAUUUUCUCUUGAUUUGAUCGGGUCUAAGACAUUUUGUGAUGAAUAAAGUUGAUUGAAUACCAUUAAGUAGCAAGUAGGUUUGCAUUGCAAUGCUUUUGAAGAGUAUGCUGUAUCAAACCAAAAAUAAGUUGUUUACAUUUUAAUUUCAGACCAAACUACAGAUUUUAAACUUUUGGAAUCCAUGUCUGAAUUUUCAAUUAGAGAAUGCCUCCAUAAAUAUUCAGGAAGGAUUCAUAAUAAUGUAGGAAUGUCUUCAUGAAUCAUAUAUCUUUCAAAAAACAAUUAAAAAAAACAAUAAGCAAGUGAUCUAUAUAUUUUGUGACGACGUUGAAGCCAAAAUUGAAAACCCUGAAAAUUUACUGAUAAAAGAAUGUGUCGAUAUUGUUAAAGAGAUAGUAAAAGAAUUCUAUGGUGAUUCAUACAUAUCAGAGAGAGAUCCAAAGUUUUUUUAAGAUAAAGCAAUUCUCAGCCCGAGAAAUGUAAAUGUGGGAUUCAUAAACGAAUACAUGUUGUCGAAAAUGCAAGGUGAACAUAUUUAACGCUUUAUAAAUAUAUAUAUGAUCUUACACUUGAGCUUCAUAUCGUUAUUUUAAGUUAUACUUAGUGAACUUUGUUUAAAUUUUUUCUAGGUGAUGAACAUACAUAUUUUAGCUCGGACAGUAUUGAUAUUUCUGAUAAGGGUAAGAUUGACGAAAAAGUCUACACCCAGGAAGAUCUUAAUAGUAUUAAGAUCUCAUGAUUACCGAAUCAUGAAUUAAAAUUAAAAAUAUGAACAUCUAUUAUGUUGGUUUGGAAUAUUGACCAUAGAGGUGGUUUAUGCAAUGAAACAAGACUCUUAGUAACACAAUUGGUCAAAAGGUCUUGAUCCCACAAAUAUUUGUUUCUCCUACCGAGACAAGGUUUCCAUUUAAAUGAGGUGUAAAAAAUUUCCUAUAGCUAUCCCCUAUGCAAUGACUAUCGAUAAAAGCCAAUGACAGACUUUGCAAAAGGUUGGACUGUAUUUACUAAAACCUGUAUUUUUCCAUGGACAACUUUAUGUGGAUAUAUCACGUGUUAUUUCGAGAGCUAGUUUGAAGAUUCUGAUAACGGAUACUAUGAGUAAGCCACAAACCAAGACUUUGAACAUUAUAUACAAGGCCGUCUUUCAGAAUGUAAGAAAACGAUAGUUUAUUUUAUUUAUUUGGUUUAGAACUUUACUAAUUUAAUGGUUUGUUUUAAUGACACUCGGUUUACUUAUGCUUCAAAAUUAAUAUCUUUUCUCUUUUUCCAUUAAUGGUUAUCCUAAUUGUCAAGAAUCGAUACUUUUAUUAAAUAUAAGAGAAAUCGAGUACAAAACCAUAAUGGUAUUUGAAAAAUACACACUAAUACAAACUUCAACUUAAGAAUCUGCAGUUGGAAUGUUGUACAUCAACAAAUAUUGAUGCACAUAACGAUAAUGGUCACAGUUGAUAAACUGAUGAGUUUUUUCAUAAGUAACAUUAUCCAACUAUCAAAAUUUAUGAGUUUAUUAACGAUACAGAUCACAAUAUCAUUAUCAAACUAUCGAAACUUUUCACCAUUAUAAAAAAUGAUUCAGAUAGUUAGUAUUGUUAGAAUAAGAAAAUAUUAAAAUAUAUCAUUUUAAAAUAUUAUAUAUAACUUAUAAAUCUCAUAUUUAUCAAUGAUCGCCUCUACAAAUUUUAUAAUCAGCUUGGUAUACAUUGCAAGCCCGCGCUUGGCGCGGGUCUCCACCUAGUUGAUCUCUAAAAAAAAACUUAAAAAAUAAAUUUACUUUGAAAGCAAUGUUUAUUUCAUUCAUACAGACUUAAAAUUAAAAAAUUACAACAAAUAAAACAUAAAAUAUAUUACAUUAAACUUAAGUUUUUAUUUUGUGUUUAGCCAAAUUUUUGCCAUAUAUGCUCGACCAAAUCGGCUUUUAAUUGAUGAUGCACUUCUGGUGAUCAAAUUUUUUUCUGGGUAUCCAUCAUAUUUAAAAUAUUUGUAGGCAUAGUUGUGGAAUAUGAAUAAUCCACAUUUGAACUUCCGCCUCCUUCCCCUUGUUGGAAUUCUUCAAUACGAAAGUGCUUGUAUCCUUUGUUGAACUAAGCUUGAACAAAGCUUGAGAAACAAGUUUCCUAAAAGGAUUAGGAAAUAUAGUAUAUUUAGGAGAUACCUAAAUAUACCUUAGGAGUUAUCUAUAAGAAGUUUUCUAUUUCUAUAAGGUUUAGGAAUUUGUAAGUCUUCUCUUCUAUAUAUAUGAAGUUACCAAAGUGUGGUAGACUCAUGAGAUUAUAGAGAGAGCUUUGAGGCUUUAAGUUUUUGAGUGAGUUUUCUUAAAGCAAUAAAAGGUGCUUUGGCAAUCUUAUAUUCUCAAAGAAGUUAGGGUUUAGAACUUUAUUUGGUAUCAGAGCUUGUGAGAAGAACGAUCCAACCCAACAUCAAACCAUGGGAGAUAUCGUCCCUGCUACGCGAGCAAAAGAAAUCAGUAUAUCAUCAAUUCAAUGUCCAAUGUUGAAUACGACUAAUUAUACUGUGUGGGCAAUGAGAAUGAGGGUCCUUCUCAAAGUUCACAAGGCCUGGGAGGUCAUCGAGACAGAAACAGCUGAAGGAGAUAAAAACGAUCUGGCUAUGGGACUCAUCUUUCAGUCCAUACCCGAGACAUUAGUCUUACAAGUUGGAGAACUCAACUCUGCGUAUAAGGUUUGGAACGCUAUUAAAGGACGACAUGUUGGAGCAGAGAGAGUCAGAGAAGCACGACUACAAACCUUAAUGGCAGAGUUCGAUCGUUUAAAGAUGAAGGAUUCAGAGACCAUUGAUGAUUUCAGUGGAAAGCUUUCGGAAAUUUGUUCGAAAUCAGCAGCACUAGGAACCAACAUCGAAGAGUCGAAACUAGUCAAAAAGUUCCACAAGAGCAUACCUCGGAAGAAAUAUAUACACAUCGUGGCAUCACCAGAACAGGUGCUUGACCUAAACACAACAAGUUUUGAGGAUAUUGUUGGGCGUUUAAAGGCAUAUAAAAAACGUAUAUACGAGGAAACCGAGGAAACUCAAGAAGAACAUAGCAAGUUGAUGUAUGCAAAUACAGAAACUCAGCAAAACCGGAGUCAGAAUAAUGAAAAUAGAAACAAAGGUCGAGGAGGACGUUUCUAUAACAGAGGAAGAGGACGCGGAAGAUCAAACGAGAGAUCGUAUGAACCAGGAGACUUAUCAAAGGUUGUUUGCUAUUGGUGUGACAAGACAGGACAUUAUGCAGCGAGUUGCCCGGAUCGUCUACUUAAACUCCAGGAAACACAAGAAAACGAAGCAGAGGAUGAUACACAAAAGGCGGAAUCCCUUCUAAUGCACGAAAUUGUGUAUCUUAAUGAAAAGAAUGUGAAACCAAAGGAGUUCGAGACACGAUCCGAUAGAGAGUGGUAUUUAGACAACGGUGCCAGUAACCACAUGCCAGGAAAUCGAACCUGGUUCACAAAAAUCAACGAGAUGAUCACAGGGAAAGUACGAUUCGGAGAUGAUUCACGUAUAGACAUCAAAGGGAAGGGUUCGAUCCUGUUCAUGACAAAAAACGGUGAUAAGAAGAUACUAGCCGAUGUCUAUUAUAUACCAGAUCUCAAAAGCAACAUAAUAAGCCUAGGACAGGCUACUGAAGCAGGAUGCGAUGUGAGGAUGAGAGAAGACUAUCUCACAUUACAUGAUCGAGAAGGGAACUUGCUGGUGAAAGCAAUACGAUCGAGGAAUAGAUUAUACAAAGUGGCGUUGGAGGUUGAGAACACUAAGUGUCUGCAGAUCAUGACAUCCAAAGACUCAAGGUGGCAUGCCCGUCUAGGACAUAUCAGCACCGAAACCAUCCAGUCUAUGGCAGCAAAGGAACUAGUUAUCGGAAUAACUAAUCCGCCGAAAGAAAAGGAUACCUGUGCAUCAUGUCUACUUGGGAAGCAAGUAAGGAAAUCCUUCCCAAAACAAGCAACAUAUCGAGCAACAUAAGUUUUAGAACUCAUUCAUGGCGAUCUCUGUGGACCAAUCUCGCCCCCAACAGCUGCAAAAAGGAAGUACAUAUUUGUCUUAAUCGAUGACUUCUCACGAUAUAUGUGGUCGGUAUUACUAAAGGAGAAGAGCGAAGCAUUUGAGAAGUUCAAAGCUUUCAAAACUGCAGUCGAACUAGAAGCUGGAACAAGUAUCAAGACAUUCAGAACUGACCGAGGAGGGAAGUUCAUGUCUCAGGAGUUCCAAACAUACUGUGAAGAACAAGGUAUCAACAGACACCUAACAGCACCAUACACGCCUCAGCAGAACGGCGUCGUCGAAAGGCGGAGUAGGACUCUCUUAGAGAUGACUAGAAGUAUGUUAAAACAUAUGAACAUGCCUAACUACUUGUGGGGAGAAGCGGUGAGACACUCAACGUAUCUCAUAAAUAGAGUCGAGACCAGAUCGUUGCAAAAUCAAACACCAUAUGAAGCUUUCAAAUGCAGAAAACCAAAUGUGGAGCACCUACGAGUAUUUGGCUGCGUGAGCUAUGCAAAGAUUGAGGGUCCGUAUCUAAAAAAGUUAGACGACAGAUCGCAGAUGUUAGUAUAUCUUGGAACAGAACCCGGAUCUAAAGCCUAUCGCCUUCUCAAACCUACAAAACGCAGGAUUGUAGUUAGCAGAGAUGUUGUGUUCGAUGAGAAUAAGAGUUGGAAGUGGAACAACUCAGAUGCAGAUUUCCAGAAUGAAACAGGGACGUUCACAAUUAACUUUGGAAGAAGUGAGAACAUGAGAACAGAAGAGGAAGAAUCUAUCGAAGAAACAGAAGAGAAUGAAGGAGACAAAAGUAAUGAUAGAGACGAGUUUAACGAAACAGAGAAUGCAGAGCAAGAAGAUGCACAACCGGCCUUGAGAAGGUCAACAAGAACUAUUGUAAAGCCUCGACAUCUGGAGGACUUCGUAAUGCUAGCAGAGAUGGAAGGAGAAUAUCUCCUGCUAGUAAUCAAUGAGGAACCAUGGGACUUUCAAGAGGCAAGCAAGAUAAAAGAGUGGAAAGAAGCCUGUAAUGAAGAGAUUUCAUCAAUAAACAAAAACAGAACAUGGAGUCUUGUUGAUCUUCCAAGCGGAUGCAAAGCAAUUGGUCUUAAAUGGGUAUUUAAGAUCAAACGAAACUCAGAUGGCAGCAUAAAUAAGUACAAAGCCAGACUAGUAGCAAAAGGCUAUGUACAGAAACAUGGUGUCGACUUCGACGAGGUAUUUGCUCCGGUAGCAAGAAUAGAAACGGUUAGGUUUAUUCUUGCACUAGCUGCUUCAAACGGAUGGGAAGUGCAUCACUUGGAUGUUAAAACCGCGUUCCUUCACGGAGAAUUGAAAGAAGAUGUCUACGUCACCCAGCCAGAAGGUUUUCAAAUCAUUGGAAGCGAGUAGAAGGUCUAUAAGUUACACAAAGCCCUCUAUGGACUUAGACAGGCACCACGGCAUGGAACACCAAACUCAACAAAAUUCUAAGUGAGUUAGGCUUCAAAAGGUGUUCAAAGGAACCUUCUCUCUAUCGUAAACAAGAUAAGGAGUAUCUUCUUCUAGUGGCUGUAUAUGUAGACGAUUUGCUGGUCACUGGUUCAAGCUUGGAUCUAAUUAUCAAUUUCAAAAGGAAUAUGGCAGGGAAAUUUGAGAUGAGUGAUCUAGGGAAGCUUACAUACUACCUAGGAAUCGAAGUUCUUCAAGAUAAGAAAGGGAUCAUACUGAAGCAAGAAAGAUAUGCAAAGAAAAUCUUGGAAGAAGCAGGAAUGAAUGAAUGCAACUCAUGUCACAUACCGAUGGACUCUGGCCUAAAACUCUGCAAGUUCCAAGAGCAAAAGCACAUUGACGAACAUGAGUACAGAAGGAAGAUUGGAUGUUUCAUAUGUCUCUUGCACACUAGACCAGAUUUGUCUUUUGCAGUUGGAGUAUUAAGCAGAUACAUGCAGGAACCGAGGGAAUCACAUGGAGCUGCACUAAAACAGGUGUUAAGGUAUCUACAAGGAACAUUGUCUCACGGUCUCUAUUUCAAACGUGGAGGAGAUAAAGGCUUGGUAGGCUACAGUGACAGCAGUCACAAUGUAGACAUGGAUGAUGGGAAGAGUACAGGAGGUCACAUAUUCUAUCUUAAUGGCUGCCCAAUCUCAUGGUGCACGCAGAAGCAGGAAGUUGUGGCAUUGUCCUCUUGUGAAGCAGAAUUUAUGGCGGCUACUGAGGCAGCUAAGCAAGCUAUAUGGCUUCAAGAAUUGUUUGCAGAAGUUAUCGGAACAAAGUGUGAAAGAGUGACAGUUCGCGUGGACAACAAAUCAGCAAUUGCUCUUUCAAAAAAUCCAGUGUUUCAUGGACGCAGCAAGCAUAUUCACCGCAGGUACCAUUUCAUACGUGAGUGUGUUGAGAAUGACCAGAUCGAGGUUGAGCAUGUCCCUGGAAGUGAACAAAAGGCCGACAUCUUGACCAAAGCUUUGGGAAGAAAUAAGUUCAAAGAGAUGAGGGAGCUUAUAGGAGUGCAAGGAGUGUCACAAGAAGAUUUCAAGCUUAGAGGGGAGAUUGUUGAACUAAGCUUGAACAAAGCUUGAGAAACAAGUUUCCUAAAAGGAUUAGGAAAUAUAAUAUAUUUAGGAGAUAUCUAAAUAUACCUUAGGAGUCAUCUAUAAGAAGUUUUCUAUUUCUAUAAGGUUUAGGAAUUUGUAAGUCUUCUCUUCUAUAUAUAUGAAGUUACCAAAGUGUGGUAGACUCAUGAGAUUAUAGAGAGAGCUUUGAGGCUUUAAGUUUUUGAGUGAGUUUUCUUAAAGCAAUAAAAGGUGUUUUGGCAAUCUUAUAUUCUCAAAGAAGUUAGAGUUUAGAACUUUAUUUGGUAUCAGAGCAAACCGAGGAAACUCAAGAAGAACAGAGCAAGUUGAUGUAUGCAAAUACAGAAACUCAGCAAAACCGGAGUCAGAAUAAUGAAAAUAGAAACAGAGGUCGAGGAGGACGUUUCUAUAACAGAGGAAGAGGACGCGGAAGAUCAAACGAGAGAUCGUAUGAACCAAGAGACUUAUCAAAGGUUGUUUGCUAUCGGUGUGACAAGACAGGACAUUAUGCAGCGAGUUGCCCGGAUCGUCUACUUAAACUCCAGGAAACACAAGAAAACGAAGCAGAGGAUGAUACACAAAAGGCGGAAUCCCUUCUAAUGCACGAAAUUGUGUAUCUUAACGAAAAGAAUGUGAAACCAAAGGAGUUCGAGACACGAUCCGAUAGAGAGUGGUAUUUAGACAACGGUGCCAGUAACCACAUAACAGGAAAUCGAACCUGGUUCACAAAAAUCAACGAGAUGAUCACAGGGAAAGUACGAUUCGGAGAUGAUUCACGUAUAGACAUCAAAGGGAAGGGUUCGAUCCUGUUCAUGACAAAAAACGGUGAUAAGAAGAUACUAGCCUAUGUCUAUUAUAUACCAGAUCUCAAAAGCAACAUAAUAAGCUUAGGACAGGCUACUGCAGCAGGAUGCGAUGUGAGGAUGAGAGAAGACUAUCUCACAUUACAUGAUCGAGAAGGGAACUUGCUGGUGAAAGCAAUACGAUCGAGGAAUAGAUUAUACAAAGUGGCGUUGGAGGUUGAGAACACUAAGUGUCUGCAGAUCAUGGCAUCCAAAGACUCAAGGUGGCAUGCCCGUCUAAGGCAUAUCAGCACCGAAACCAUCCAGUCUAUGGCAGCAAAGGAACUAGUUAUCGGAAUAACUAAUCCGCCGAAAGAAAAGGAUACCUGUACAUCAUGUCUACUUGGGAAGCAAGUAACAAAAUCCUUCCCAAAACAAGAAACAUAUCGAGCAACAAAAGUUUUAGAACUCAUUCAUGGCGAUCUCUGUGGACCAAUCUCGCCCCCAACAGCUGCAAAAAGGAAGUACAUAUUUGUCUUAAUCGAUGACUUCUCACGAUAUAUGUGGUCGGUAUUACUAAAGGAGAAGAGCGAAGCAUUUGAGAAGUUCAAAGCUUUCAAAACUGCAGUCGAACUAGAAGCUGGAACAAGUAUCAAGACAUUCAGAACUGACCGAGGAGGGGAGUUCAUGUCUCAGGAGUUCCAAACAUACUGUGAAGAACAAGGUAUCAACAGACACCUAACAGCACCAUACACGCCUCAGCAGAACGGCGUCGUCGAAAGGCGGAAUAGGACUCUCUUAGAGAUGACUAAAAGUAUGUUAAAGCAUAUGAACAUGCCUAACUACUUGUGGGGAGAAGCGGUGAGACACUCAACGUAUCUCAUAAAUAGAGUCGAGACCAGAUCGUUCCAAAAUCAAACACCAUAUGAAGCUUUCAAAUGCAGAAACCAAAUGUGGAGCACCUACGAGUAUUUGGCUGCGUGAGCUAUGCAAAGAUUGAGGGUCCGUAUCUAAAAAAGUUAGACGACAGAUCGCAGAUGUUAGUAUAUCUUGGAACAGAACCCGGAUCUAAAGCCUAUCGCCUUCUCAAACCUACAAAACGCAGGAUUGUAGUUAGCAGAGAUGUUGUGUUCGAUGAGAAUAAGAGUUGGAAGUGGAACAACUCAGAUGCAGAUUUCCAGAAUGAAACAGGGACGUUCACAAUUAACUUUGGAAGAAGUGAGAACAUGAGAACAGAAGAGGAAGAAUCUAUCGAAGAAACAGAAGAGAAUGAAGGAGACAACAGUAAUGAUAGAGACGAGUUUAACGAAACAGAGAAUGCAGAGCAAGAAGAUGCACAACCGGCCUUGAGAAGGUCAACAAGAACUAUUGUAAAGCCUCGACAUCUGGAGGACUUCGUAAUGCUAGCAGAGAUGGAAGGAGAAUAUCUCCUGCUAGUAAUCAAUGAGGAACCAUGGGACUUUCAAGAGGCAAGCAAGAUAAAAGAGUGGAAAGAAGCCUGUAAUGAAGAGAUUUCAUCAAUAAACAAAAACAGAACAUGGAGUCUUGUUGAUCUUCCAAGCGGAUGCAAAGCAAUUGGUCUUAAAUGGGUAUUUAAGAUCAAACGAAACUCAGAUGGCAGCAUAAAUAAGUACAAAGCCAGACUAGUAGCAAAAGGCUAUGUACAGAAACAUGGUGUCGACUUCGACGAGGUAUUUGCUCCGGUAGCAAGAAUAGAAACGGUUAGGUUUAUUCUUGCACUAGCUGCUUCAAACGGAUGGGAAGUGCAUCACUUGGAUGUUAAAAUCGCGUUCCUUCACGGCGAAUUGAAAGAAGAUGUCUACGUCACCCAGCCAGAAGGUUUUCAAAUCAUUGGAAGCGAGUAGAAGGUCUAUAAGUUACACAAAGCCCUCUAUGGACUUAGACAGGCACCACGGGCAUGGAACACCAAACUCAACAAAAUUCUAAGUGAGUUAGGCUUCAAAAGGUGUUCAAAGGAACCUUCUCUCUAUCGUAAACAAGAUAAGGAGUAUCUUCUUCUAGUGGCUGUAUAUGUAGACGAUUUGCUGGUCACUGGUUCAAGCUUGGAUCUAAUUCUCAAUUUCAAAAGGAAUAUGGCAGGGAAAUUUGAGAUGAGUGAUCUAGGGAAGCUUACAUACUACCUAGGAAUCGAAGUUCUUCAAGAUAAGAAAGGGAUCAUACUGAAGCAAGAAAGAUAUGCAAAGAAAAUCUUGGAAGAAGCAGGAAUGAAUGAAUGCAACUCAUGUCACAUACCGAUGGACUCUGGCCUAAAACUCUGCAAGUCCCAAGAGCAAAAGCACAUUGACGAACAUGAGUACAGAAGGAAGAUUGGAUGUUUCAUAUAUCUCUUGCACACUAGACCAGAUUUGUCUUUUGCAGUUGGAGUAUUAAGUAGAUACAUGCAGGAACCGAGGGAAUCACAUGGAGCUGCACUAAAACAGGUGUUAAGGUAUCUACAAGGAACAUUGUCUCACGGUCUCUAUUUCAAACGUGGAGGAGAUAAAGGCUUGGUAGGCUACAGUGACAGCAGUCACAAUGUAGACAUGGAUGAUGGGAAGAGUACAGGAGGUCACAUAUUCUAUCUUAAUGGCUGCCCAAUCUCAUGGUGCACGCAGAAGCAGGAAGUUGUGGCAUUGUCCUCUUGUGAAGCAGAAUUUAUGGCGGCUACUGAGGCAGCUAAGCAAGCUAUAUGGCUUCAAGAAUUGUUUGCAGAAGUUAUCGGAACAAAGUGUGAAAGAGUGACAGUUCGCGUGGACAACAAAUCAGCAAUUGCUCUUUCAAAAAAUCCAGUGUUUCAUGGACGCAGCAAGCAUAUUCACCGCAGGUACCAUUUCAUACGUGAGUGUGAUGAGAAUGACCAGAUCGAGGUUGAGCAUGUCCCUGGAAGUGAACAAAAGGCCGACAUCUUGACCAAAGCUUUGGGAAGAAAUAAGUUCAAAGAGAUGAGGGAGCUUAUAGGAGUGCAAGGAGUGUCACAAGAAGAUUUCAAGCUUAGAGGGGAGAUUGUUGAACUAAGCUUGAACAAAGCUUGAGAAACAAGUUUCCUAAAAGGAUUAGGAAAAUUUAAUAUAUUUAGGAGAUAUCUAAAUAUACCUUAGGAGUCAUCUAUAAGAAGUUUUCUAUUUCUAUAAGGUUUAGGAAUUUGUAAGUCUUCUCUUCUAUAUAUAUGAAGUUACCAAAGUGUGGUAGACUCAUGAGAUUAUAGAGAGAGCUUUGAGGCUUUAAGUUUUUGAGUGAGUUUUCUUAAAGCAAUAAAAGGUGUUUUGGCAAUCUUAUAUUCUCAAAGAAGUUAGGGUUUAGAACUUUAUCCUUCUCUAUCAUCUUUUACUAUCAUAUUGUGGAGUAUGAUACAAGCUCUUAUAAUCUUUCCGAUUUUUUCUUUAUCCCAAAACAAAGCCGGAUUUUUGACAAUGGCAAAUCGAGAUUGCAAGACUCCAAAAGCACGCUCGACAUCUUUUCGAUAACCUUCUUGACGUUCAGCAAAUAAACAUGCUUUUUCGCCUUGUGGUAGUGGAAUAGAUUGGAAAAAAGCUGCCCAUUUUGGAUAUAUACCAUCAGUUAGAUAGUAUGCCAGAUGAUACUCCUUUCAAUUGACAAAGAAAUUAACUUUCGGAGCUCGACCUUUUAUAAUGUCAUCAAAAACGGGUGAGCGAUCCAAAACAUUAAGAUCAUUAAGGGUACUUGGCGGUCCAAAAAACGCAUGCCAAAUCCAGAGAUCGUAUGAAGCAACCGCUUCUAAGACUAUUGUCGGUUUUCCAGCACCUCGUACAUACUGGCCUUUCCAAGCGGUUGGACAAUUCUUUCAUUCCCAAUGCAUACAAUCUAUGCUUCCUAUCAUCCCAGGAAAUCCGCGUUCCUCUCCAAAAUAAAGUAGACGUUGAAGAUCUUCUGCCGUGGGUCUUCUGAGGUACUCAUCGCCAAAGAGAUUUAUAAUUCCUUCAACAAAAUUUUCCAGACAUGAACGAGCUGUACUUGCACCUAGUCGUAGGUAUUCGUCAACGGUAUCAAGUGCCGUGCCAUAAGCUAAGAGACGAAUUGCGGCUGUACACUUCUGAAGUGCAGAUAGACCAAGUCUACCCCGGGCAUCUUUUCUCUGUUUAAAGAAACUGACUUCGUUGGAGAGCCGAUGAACAAUACGCAAGAACAAUGCCUUGUUCAUUCUAAAACGUCGUCGGAAAAGGUGGUCGGGAUAAAUUGCGUUUUCGCUGAAGUAAUCAUUUCAUAAUCUUAUGUGGCCUUCUUCUCGAUUUCUUUCUAUAAAAGCUCGUUUCCCGAACAAGUAUUGUUUCCAUCUCCAUUUCCCUCUGCAUUUGCAUCCUCCGUCUUCCUCCUUUUACAGCUGCCAUCGGUUUUACUGGUUGACAAAUCACACCACUUUUGGUCGUUCUUCAGUUCCUUCCAAGCGUAUUCGAGAGUGAAUUUCUUCUUAUGGAGAUUGAAGAAAAUAGCAUGCGCAUUUUUGAAAAUGUCAUUCUCGUUUUGACCACUUGUUCUUUCUCUUGUUGCAGCCUCAUAAGCCCCACAGAACUUGCACACAAGAUCAUUAAUCUUGUGCCAUCUUUGUUUGCACUGCCCAGACUCUCGGAUUUCUCCUCCCUUUUGAUUCGCCGCAAAGUACAAAGCAAUGCGACGCCAAAAAGUGCCACUUUUGUUCAUUUCCUACAACCGGGUCCUUCGAGGUGUUCAACCACGAGCUGAUGAGCAGGGUAUCUUCCGCAGGACUCCACGGUUGUCUAAUCACCUUGCUCGUCACUCCAACCUCUUCUACUUCUUCGGUAGAAGCUUGGGUACCGAAGGCAUGGUUUUCGAAGGAAAGGUAUGGAUUUGGGUAAGGUGACACACUCUCUUGUUGACUUUGUAAAAGAUCAACAAAGUUUAAGGUGUUGUUAAAGGGAAAUGGAGAAGACAUCCUUGGACAAAAGAAGAGAAGACAAGAAGGAUUGCAACUGAUACGAGAAGAGAUGAAAGAAGAGAAAACUAUAUUUUUUGGAAGUGAUACGAGAAGAUAAGAAAGAAGAGAUGAGCUUAAAAAAGUGUCCGAGUUCAAAGAGAUGAGAAAGAGAGUGCUUUAUACUAGCAUGAAAGAAGAGGGAACAAAAGUGUCCGAGUUCAAAAAAUAAACAUUAACUACACCCUAAACACAAGCAUUCAACCCAACCUAACACAAUAUGCAUUGAUCACAAGCAGAAGAGACUUGACACAUAUCUAACUUUAACAUUAACUAAUCCCCUAUUCCAUUUAUUAUCUAACACGACUUAAACCCACAUCAAAAUAGCAUUUACUACAAGUAACUAGGAAGUGAUUGAAGCUAACCUUUUUAGGCGGGUGAUGAUAUCCUAAACCGCUUUGCUUCUUCUCUCCUCUUCAUGUCAUUCCAUCUCCAUUUACUCCUUGUGCAGAGAACAAAAACAACAGUAAAUAUGAGUUAGUUGAACAUCAACUAUACACACAAGAGUUAAUGAACUACAACUACACAAACAAGACAAGUAAUACACACUCAGAGUUAAUGAACUUCAACUACAAACCAAAGAAUAAACUUUAAACCCAUUCACAAACUCAUACAAACUCAUCGCCACAAUGAGCAAAACAAAAUUAUCGAUACUUAAAGAUCAAAACAAAGUCAUCUAUCAUUCGUCGAUCAAAACAAACUAAAAAUUGUACCCAAUCAUCGUAAACCCUAAACGAAAUCAGAAGACAAAAGACAAAACCAUUAAUCAGCCAAGACAAAUCAUUUGUCGAAACCAUUUCAUCCGAUCAUCAAAAACCUAAAUCAGCAUACAUAUCCAAGCACAACCAAUCAUCGCUACCUCUGAACCCUUUCAGUAAACCAUUUCAUCCGAGAUAUUCAAUCUAAACCCAAAAAUCAGAACAAUUUCAAUCGAUUCUUCGUUUACCUUCUCCAACGGUUCCAUGGAUCCAGAAGCUUCAAGCCUUCACAACUCCUCGAUUCCGCCAAUCAGCUGUUCAGAAGACAUCGCCGCCACCGUCUGAAAAUUGCUGACAAAGAAUUCCGAUGAAUUGACGACUUGCGAUUCGACGGAGAUAACGAAGAAAGAAGAGAGGAAAAUGGUUUUUGGGAGAUGAAAAAUUGUUUGAGGACCCAAAAAAAAAUUUCUCUUCUCCAUUUUUUUAGUCCAAUGAUUUUUCGCCAUGUGUGUGUAGAGAAAUGUUUCUCUCAGAUCCAAUUUAGGCGACGUCUCUCUCCCUUUUUAUUGUUUUUGAUUUAUUUAAUUAAGCGAAAUUAGGUAGAGACGGGUUAAAUACCCCAUUGCACAUGCUCUAAGAUAACACAUCUUUCUCCAAUACGGGUGGUUAGGAGAUUUUCCAAAGGAAAAAAUAAAUAAAAAUUGCUUACGAAAGACUUUGACUAUUCUAAUAUCCGACCAUAGAUUUUACGUGUGAAGACUUUGCUUAAACUUAUUUCAAGUCGACUAAAGUCCUAUCUUCUGCUCUUAUGUUCUUCGUUUGGCGCUUGUAGCUGUCAAUUUGUUAGCCAUGUUGGCUUUGUUAUUGUUUGUAAACAAUUCCUCCUCUAAUGGAGCGUAGCUAAUCUAUAAAAUCUCAUUUGAGCAAAAAAAAAAUUAAAAGGAAACCAAAGUCUAAGGUUACAGAAACUUGAAUUGGUGAAUUAGUGGAGAUGAUUAUGUAAUGAAAUCCUAAACGAUUAUUGUGUUGUGCCCAUUCUAUUUCUUCGUUAGUCUCUCUGAAGUAGAAGAACAUACCUUCGAUUAAGACAUUGCCUGUUUAUGAUUUCACUUGGAUUCAUGUUUCUUUUUUAGCACUCUAUUGAGGAUUUCUUAUGUGCUACUUGGAACAAGUAUAGGUUUUAAUUCUUUAAGUUGCUCAUUAAUGGAAUUUUAGUGAGUGUAGAGAUUUUGAGUUCACUAAUUCGUAAAAGAAACGCUUGACAAAAGUGAGGAAGACGGAUUCGUAAAAGAAAAAGAUUGAGUUUGCCACAAACUACUCCACAAGAUUGAUCCCUAUAGCUAAUUCAAAUAGUAUUUGGAGACAAACUAUGUGUAAGACCGCGAAAAUCCGAUUGAAAUCACGAAUAGAAAAUAGCAAUAUUAUAAACGAUAUGUUAAGGUAAGAGAUUAAAACGAGAGUUAGAAAACCGAUUGAAAACAGACGAAAACACGGAGUCGAGAUAUGAUCUCUUUCCUUAACUCAAUAAAUCGCCCGUAAUGUGUGACGGUUUAUUGCGAUUUUUGAAUCCCAGGAUACAACCGUGAUGAGACUAUUACGCAACACCCGUAAAAGAAUCUGCGAACUGAAAUUAUACUACGCUAUAGCUCUCGAGACACUUACGAUAUUAAGACGAGAGGGUUGCUGGAAAGAAUUAUUUGCUGUGUGUUUGGAGUAUUCGAGAAUUCGAUUAUAAUUCGAUGAUCUAGAAUGAGAGAAGAUGGCGUCUAUUUAUACUGGAAGGUUCAGCUUGAUCCGCAAGGAAUAAGCUUUGGCGAAAAGGAAUAUUCACAAAAUAUUCUCCUUUUUCUGCAAGUAAAAGGAUUCGGAAAUCUUCCGUUAUUAUCUGGACGCAAUCUUUUAUUUCUUAAGAUUUAUCCUUUCAAUAUGCAAAAAAAUAUUUCGCAGGAACUAAGAUGCCCACGACCCACACCCAGCUAAAUAGAGCCCAAGAGCCAACUAAAAAAUGCAAUGAGCAACGAGCAACGAGCCCGGCACCGGCAACGGCGGCGGCGCGCGUAGGUGUUUUUGCAUAAUGCCCUUUUACUUCCACAAUGAUGCUGACCCUUAUUGUGAGAAAACCAUAUAUAUACAAGAGAUUUUUCUCCUUGGUGAGCAAUGUGGGACAAAUACACUUCCACUAAACUUCUACUUUUAGUUAAAAUUAAUAGGAAUAUUUCAUUUCUAUAGGCUCAAACCCAAAUCUUAAAUGAAUUUAUAAGGCCCAUUUGCUUAUUAAACUUCAUUUCUUAUUCAUACACAAACUCAAUAUUACAAGUCCAAAUGCUUAUCUAUAUUAGUAUUUGUGAAGUGAUUCGGGCUGUGAUUUAACGCACAGAUUUCUGUGUCGUUUUGAUUAAUGAAAUUAUGAGGAUUUGAUUGGUUGAUAAUUGUUAUAAUUUGAUUGGUUGAAUUAGUUAAUUUUAAAUCAUUAAAAUCGAUAUUAGUUGCUAAAAAAUGGAAAACUUCUUUAAUUCAAGUAGGAUUUGAUUGGUUGAUAAUUGUUAUAAUUUGAUUGGUUGAAUUAGUUAACUUUAAAUCAUUAAAAUCGAUAUUAGUUGCUAAAAAAUGGAAAACUUCUUUAAUCAAAUCCUCAAAAAAAUUUCAAACCCAAAAAACAUAUACAUACCUUCCAAUACGUCAUUUGUGCUGAUUGAGAUGGUAGUGUGUUGGUUAAGUGCUUUGUCCAUUUAUCGAAGGUUCACGGGUUCGAAUCCUGUAAUUAGUGUUUUUUUUUUUAAUUCUAUUUUUGGAAAUAUUUUAUAUUUAUUAAAUAUUUUGUAAAAGGGAAUAUUCCAUAAUUUCUUUGUUAUUAUCUACAAUGGAAUCUUUACAUUUUUAUUAUAGAUAGCUACGAAAUUCAUGGGAAGAUAAUAUCGCAUGUAGAUCAAUAAUUACAUUUUAGUAUUUUUCACAAGAAAAUAAACCCUAGGUUGUUUAGACGUAUAAAUAUGAGCGUUUUCAACCAAGCUUCUCAUAAUUAACGCAUUAGUUUUUCUAUUAGGGUUCUGUGAUUAUUUUGCUAGGUUUUUUAUUAUAGCAUUAACUUUUUGGAUCUCUUUAGAAAAGAUUCAGCAUGUUUGUCUAUUUGCAUGCAAAGCUAACAAUGUGUUCCUCUAAGUACAGCUUUGAUCAUCCAUCUAAAGUCAGAAUCACUUGGGAAGUUCCGUCUACCGAUUCUGGUAUAUAUGUAUAACUAUUAUCAAAUUUAAUAAUAGUAUGUAUGCUCUCAAUUUUUUUAGAUGAAUUCUAAAAAUUUAUACGACUAUAGGUUUUGAUAACCAGGCUUAUGCUCGCGGGUUAAAGUCUGUGUUGAAAUCGCAUCGUCAGAAUAUGGAUAACAAAGACAUGACUGAUUAUCGUUACGUGACUCCAUAUGUUUUCGUGGAUAUCACCAAAAAAAAAGGUUGUUGAACCUCUUUAGUUUAUUCAUUCAAUUUAUAAUACUUAUUAGUAGUUGUUUGUAUUUGUAGGUUAUCCAUGCAAGCUACUUAUCGAUUCUGCUAUCGAUGAAUGGACCUUGCGGACAUAUAAUCCUGUUAUCGAAGGUAGUCCUAUCUAUUAAUCUUACAGUUUUUACCUUUUGUAAUGCUAUAUCUUAGCCUUUCAGAUGCAUACCCUUAUUAUAUAUUAGUCUAUGAACGUUUUCAAUUUUUAUGUAGAUAUUGAUUCUUCGUAUCAUAUAUCUAUUCUUGAUCACGAGCUUUUUAUCAAAGGAGGUAUUUCCGCUCUUAAUGUAAUAUAUUUUUGUUAAUGGUGUAUAUUAAGUCUUUAUGUUUGCUCUAAUGUUUGUUUUGUGUAUUUAGUUUCUGAUCGUGUUAAUACGAGUGAUCAUGCUCAGAAGACUUUUCUAUGGGAUUUUGCGAGGAAUGCUUGGGUUAUGAAUAAAGAAUCUAAUGGUUUCAAUUCUUUUUUUUUGUUUUGAACACUGUUUUUUAUGUUUUUUUAGAAUACUAAUUACAUCGUUUUUACAUAUAUUUAUCUAUGCAGAAGAUAGUGACUCUGAUGAUACUGAGGUUUCAUCGGGUCGUGGUAUUGAUGAUGAUUAUGGUUUUGAGGAUUAUAUGAGGUCUGAUUCAGAGACGGGUGAAGAUACUGAUGAUAUGGACCCAACAGAUGAGUAUGAUUCUGAGGAUGAUUUUAUUGACGAUGAUGAGACUUGUGAAGAAUCUGAUGGUUCAAGUGAUAGCUCAGAAGAUGAUAGCGGUGAUGACGAAGAUGAAGAUGACGACGAUGCCGAUUCAACUGAUGAUAAUGAAAAUGAUGAUGAAGAUGUUAUGUUGGAUGAUGAGACUGAUAUUGACGAUGAUAGUGAAGAUCAGCGAAACGUCGAACUGAGUGAUAUACUCAUCGAAAAGAAUAUUAGUAUAUCUGGACACCAGGAUUCGGUGUGUACUUAUACAGUUUCUCUUGGUUCAAUGUGUUUUGGUAAGUGUGUUUCACGUUUGAGUCCUUCCAAAGAUGAUUGUACUAUCUUUGUUAAGGUUUUACAAACGUGGGUGCAUAUGCUAAUUUCGAAACGUUCUUCUAUGGAGCUCAUAUUGUCAGAUGAACAGGUAUUUAUUGUACUAUUACACAAAAGUAUUAUAAAUUUUAGUCGGUGUCUAAUUGACUGUUUUAUUCACAGGGUGUAAAAAUUCAGGCCACUGUUAGUGAUGGUGAGAUCAGUGUUGCAUCGUCUCGCAUAGAUGUUGGUAGUUGGAUUAUUAUCAGUCGUUUUUCUGUUACUGAUUGUGAGGAUAGUUGUAGACCGACUUCUCAUAGAUACAAAAUAUUGUUCCUACCAUCAACUAUCAUUGACAAGACUUCACGUAGAUGUGAAAAUGCCUAUUUUGACUUCGUUGAUUUUCAAAGGAUAUUGGAUCGUUCCCAUGAUGAUGACUAUUUAGUUGGUGUGUUUAUUUUUGAUUUAGUUAUUGAAUUUCUUUAUUGUUAUCUUACUGAUGCUAACAUUGUUUAAUUUUUGUUGUCUAUGAAGAUUUGAUAGGUCGUGUCUUAAAUGUAAGACUAUCUGGAACGUCCCGUGGUUUACUGACUGGAGAGCAUUCUUUUCAUUCAUAUGGCAGUCUAUGUAAUGAUAUAUGUGAUUCCGAGAUAUGGGGUUCAUAUUCAACCGUCACGUUCUGUCUUAGAGAUAAACGGUAUUGUCUGCUGAAUGUUUUAAACUGUAUAAUGUCGUUUUAAUUAUUCUAUCCAUCUGAAUAUGUGUGGCAUGUUUUAAUUUAGUGGUGUUGAUUUGAGUUGUGAAUUGUUCGGUGAGAUGGCGAAAAACUUUUAUGCAUCUUGGAGACGAUGUGAUCAAGAUAUCAUUGUGUGUGUGCUUAGAUGGGCUGUUAUUGAUUAUUUUGGAGGUAUUUUUAGUAUACUAAUUUAUAUUCUCUAUGUUCGUUUCAUUUUAUUGUUUUGACUCUGUAUUUGGUUUAUCAAUAUAGGCAAGAUCACUAUAUCUUCCACAUCUCCUACUAAGUUCGAACUCAAUCCCCAUAUUCCUGAGUUAGAUGAGUUUUUGGAACAGUGAGUUUCUAAUACUUAAUGUUUGUAUUUUGACUUUUUGGUAUUAAUUUGUGGUCGCCUUCUCUCUCUCUCAAGUCUUUUUUAUAACAAUGCAGAUAUCCGCGUAAGAGGCCAUGCACGCGUGGUAGUGUGGCACGUCUACAAUGAAUAAUGUUAUGACGUCUACAUUGAAUAUCAUUUUUACCAUGUAUACAAAUUAUAGUUUAAUUAUUCUUUGUUCUUCAGACCUCUUUAUUUCAAUCAAUAAAUAUAUUUUUUUAAUGAAAUUAUUAUUGUUGUUUGAUAUUGAAGUAUAUAGAGCGGAGAAAAUAAUAUAAGUUAUAUAUUCACAUAAAUAACGCAUGCUUUUAUUGGUUUCUUGGACUCCAAGUAACUCAUAUUUAUAAAUAUUUAAGAAGAUUUGAAUAUAUCCCCGAUCAUAUCAUAACUUUUAGUUUUUUCCAUUUAGUGUUUAUGAGAAUCAUGGUGUUUGAAUGGAUUGUUUUAUUGAUUUCUUGGACUCCAAGUAAUUUAUAUUUAUAAAUAUCUAAUAGGAUUCGAAUAUAUCCCCGAUCAUUCCACAAUUUUUGUUUUUUUUUUCAUUUAGUAGCUAUGGAAAUCUUGGUGUUUGAAUGAAUUGAUUAAUUAGUUAUUAAAAAGGAAAAACUCGGUAGUUGAGAUGUUAGUUAUUAAAAAGGAAAAACUCGGUAGUUGAGAGGUGUGUAUAAAAUGUAAAUAAAGGAAAACAUUCUAAGAAACCCUAGAAAAAAAAUAAAUAACGCGUAAACCACAUAACUCUUAUAUCUCUAUAUAUAUGCAUAUAUUUCGGUAUAGGUAUAUAUAUGCGUCUAUCGCGACUUCACGGGUUAUCAGCCUGCAUUGUUAGAAUUGUUUGCAUUCGGGUUCUUCGAUGAAAGCGUUUGGUAAAUGAGUUUUGUAUUACGUUUUUGAGGAUGUCACUAAUCGUUAAUUUUCUUUACGGUAUUUUAUUAAUUGUUCUUAUUGUAUAUAUGAUUGUUGUUCUAUUGUACAUGUCUAGGUGCUCACAAGCGACCACGUGUUAAUUGGCAAGUUAUGCCGUUUCAUCUCCCGGGGGAAAAUAUUGUGUUUUCUAAUAAUUUAGAUAGACGUGUUCCUGCUAAAAAACCUAAAUUCCUUGCUUGGUUUAGGUGUAAUCAGUCUUAUCCAGAGGCAAUGAAUCUUUUAUACUCGGAGAUUCCUUCUACGUUUGUAUGGGAUCGUAAAAAUAGGACAUGGAGGCCAAGACUAAAAGGAAAUUCUGGUGCUUGUGUUGUGGACGAAUCACCGACUGAGUAUGGAGAAGAGUAUUAUCUGAGACUAUUAUUGGACAUAGUUAGGGGUCCAUGUAGUUUUGAUGAUAUUAGGACUGUUGGUGGAGUCGUUUAUCCUUCGUUUAGAAGUGCAUACCAUGCAUUAGGGUUUGUUGGUUGAUUAUCAGAAGUCAGUAAUUUUUUACCAUGUUUUUUUUUUAGUUUCUUUAUCGUGGUAUACUUAUCUCUUAUUUUAGCAAAAGCAAUAUAUAAUAAAUGAUAUUAGAAUAAUUAUAUAUAUCAGUUUUGUUAUAAUAAUAAAGUUUAAUUAUAACAUAUUAUUAUUCCGCUUAGGGUUUAGGGUUUAGCCGUGCGGAAUAAUAAUAAAGCUUACACAGAACAUGCGACUUAUAUCUGGAGAUAAUAGCCGUGCGAUGCUUGAACGAGCUGCCUUUACAAAGUGGAUCUUAGACAUUGGUGAUGGUACGAUAAAUGACGAUGGUAGUGGUGAAGCUGUGAUUGAAAUUCCUGAUGAUCUGUUGAUUAAAGACUGUAAAGAUCCUAUAAAAACGAUCGUCAAAGAAGUUUAUGGGAGUUCAUUUUCGAAAAAGACUGAUCCUAAAUUUUUCCAAGACCGUGCCAUACUGAGUCAAAGAAACGAUGAUGUAGAUACGAUAAAUGAUUAUAUGCUUUCAAAGUUAUCGGGUAUGUUUAUUUUGUUUUAAUUCCUCUUAGUUUAUUUUUUUAUAUUUAUAUAAUACGACGGUUGUUUUGUAUAUAACAGGUGUUGAAAGGACCUAUCUUAGCUGUGAUAGCAUUGAUACAACUGAAGAAGUUGUCAAUUACAAUGAUGCAUCUGAAGUACCCUCAGAGAGUGUAGCCAGUAAGAAUAAAGGUGAUUCCAACAACAUGAUUUAUACCGAGGAGUUUUUAAAUAGUAUCAAGAUGUCUGGUUUCCCUAAUCAUGUCCUGAAGUUGAAAGAGGGUACUCCUGUAAUGCUUCUAAGAAAUAUCGACCCUAAGAAUGGGUUGUGUAAUGGCACAAGACUCAUCAUUAUUAAGAUGGCUAAUUAUGUUCUCCAGGCUCAGAUAAUAACAGGUAGCAAGGUUGGUGAAAAGGUACUGAUUCCUAGGAUAUUCCUCUCUCCUUCGGAGAUGAAACUUCCUUUCAGGAUGAGACGCAAGCAGUUUCCUAUCACAUUAGCUUUUGCAAUGACUAUAAACAAAAGCCAAGGACAGACACUCGAAAAGGUUGGUUUGUAUCUUCCAAGACCGGUUUUUACUCAUGGGCAACUCUAUGUCGCUGUAUCGAGGGUUACAUCAAGAGAAGGUCUGAAGAUAUUGAUCACCGAUAAAGACAACAAACCACAAAACAAAACAUUGAAUGUCGUCUACAAGGAGGUUUUUGACAAGAUAUGAUAUUUCUUUUUACUGUGUUUUGUUUUGUGAUAUGUUGUCUCUAUGUAUCUCGAAAUAUGUUAGUUCUUUUUAUUGUAUAAGACCAUUACAUUCGGUUUUAUAGUUUUUAAUAGAUUUUACUUUUUUCGAUUUUUCACUAAAUUGGAUCUCAUGUAUUAAUGGUUUGAUCUCUGAUUUUUAACUAUAGUCGGAUAAUCCAGUGACAAACUCUAUUCGAUAACAUAUUUUGACCAAAGUUUAAUUGUAGUAUAUUAUUGGGCAUCUAUUAACAUUUCAUCGAGAAUGCUUCAAAACCAAAUUAUCAUGUCAUCGAAAUAAACUUAAUAUUUUUUAGAAAAUAAAACCAAGUACAUAAUAGUGUCUUUAAAGUGAUCAUUACAAACAGAAAAAAAAAAACAUGAAUUUCGUUUCAAACUGAUAUUCUUCUUGAUUAAACUCCAGAUCUCCUCUUUUUUCGUUCCUUCUCCUUUCCCUUUAAACACAGACACAAACAAUCCGAUUUAGAUUUUUGUAAAACUAUAUAGCUUUGAACUAACUCAAUAUUAUAUCUAAAUAUGGAUUGUUUCUACAAUAUAGAUUUCAAUGGGCAAUCAAUAACAAACUAUAACGACUCAAUAACAUAGAUUUUAGACAAUUUUUCAUAAUUUAGAUCUAAAUAUAUUUCUGAUCACGUACCCAUUCGGCGGUAUCCAUGUGUCGAAUUUCUGUCUCCACAAAACCGCAACGCAUGCACUUCAACCCUAUCUCCAGAUCUAGAAUCAGGUCGUGUUUUCGUUUUGUGCAACUUGAUUGGGGUGUCUCAUUAGAUGUGUUGCCUUUGUCAUCCUCCAUAAGUUGUAGAAUAUACAGAUUUUAUUAUUCAUUGUGUAAGACAUGAUUAAAACAAACUUUAGUGAAUAGGAUGUAUUACCUGAGGAAUGUUCUGUUUGCCUUUCUGAUUUGAUGCGGUGAAUAAGUGUAUUUGUUCCCAUAAUUCUUCUUGCUCUAUCUCGGAAUCUGUUGGUGAAGGUGGUGAGUUUGGUUCCACGACACCAAAUCUCAUUACCAAUGGUGGGGGAUUGAUGAUCAACAAGCCAUUUUCAUCAAAUUUUUUUUCGUUUGUGUUCGCCAUCUUCUUAUGAAUUCUCUCAGAAACGAUAAUGGUACUUGAAAAAUAUUUUAAAGUUUUUUGAAAAAAAAACCAUCAAGUCAGUAUUUAUAAGGUGUGCAAUAAUAAUCAAUUUUCACGUUUUUCAAUUUUUUUAUGGGGAAGAUUAUGCGACUUUAUGUUUGCAACUAACUGUUUGACUUUCCAAGUUUCCUAUUUCAUAUAAUUUUAAGGAAAAAUGUUCAAUUAGAUACAUAAAGUUAUAACGUAAAAGUCUACAUAAAUGGCAUUUUUUGUUACGAUGUUGUAUGAAUAUGUCAUCUCCUAAAAUAUUGAAACAUAAAAUUGUCCAAAUAACAUAAGCCAUAGAGAGAGAUCAUAUUAUUUUAUGGAAAGUGUUGCAAUUUAGCAAAAGUUUAUAUUUAGUAAAAUAGUAUAUUUAAUUAUUGAGAUUGCGUGUAUAUUUGGUAAAACUUAAAACAUGGAAUAUAUUCUCUUACCAGGCACGUGAAACGAACAAAUCGGUCAAUCAAUAUGGAAGUGCCUUGACAUAAAUUAGUGGAUUGUUGUUGGUUUUGACAGUAAAGUGGCUUUAAAUGGUAACUGUUCAAAUUUUUUCUUUUAAAAUAAUUCAAACGAAAAUAAAUUUCUAAGAAAGAAAGAUAAUUCAGACAAAACCACAUCGGGCAAAGUAAGAUAAUUAUUUUGACAUUAACCCUACUCCCUUAAUAUAGUUUUUUGUGAUACUAUAUUGUUUACAUAUAUGCUUAAAUAUUAAUUUCAGGCUUGGGUGAAGAUAUGAAACGAUGUGCAUGAUUAUGAUUUAGCUAAUGUAAAUUUUCAUUGCAAUAAAUUGUCAUUUAACAUAUAUAGAUGGUUUUAUAGUAAACUAUCUUUAUAAUUGUUAACAACGAGAAUUGGAAUAUUAACAUAAUUUAAAAUAGAAAAAUCUCAAUAUAUAUAUAUAUAUCUAUUUAUUUUACUCGAAGAUAAUAUUGUUUAUUUAUCUAUAUUUAUCCUGAAAUGUUAAUAUUCUUAAAUUUUGGUUAUAUAUUAAUAUAAAAUCACAUUUUUUCUUAUAAAUAUGCUCUAAAUUGCAUAACCCUAAACGAUAGGCAUCACGCAAUGGCGGAUUAUGAUUUUGUUCGUCAAUUGGACUCUCAAAUGUCUGACUGGAUAAUUAUAGUGAAAAUACUCAAAAAAUGGGUGGUGGAUUACUCGGACGAUAAUCGAAGUCUAAAUUUCAUUCUGGUCGAUGAAAAAGUAAAUUUCAUUAACUUAACAUGUUAUUUGUGAUAAUUAUUAUUGAUUUUGCUUAUUGUUUUAACAUACAAUAAUUUGUUCUUUUGUUGAUCUAAUGUUAUCGUAUAAACUUCUAGGGUUGUAGAAUACAGGCUCGGGUAAACAAUCAGAUGAUGGAGCAUUUCAAUCAAAUAUGCGAAGAAGAUCAAUGGUUUAUGUUGACUGGAUUUCUUUUAAAUCCUUACAACUGGACUAAUAUCCAAAGUAUUACAAAACACGAUUACGUUAUUACACUUACACGGGGAACAACGAUAUCACCAGCUUUACCAUUAACAAAUAAUUCGUUCUAUAAUUUUGCAUCGUUCCUCUCGAUUUAUGAAUUCCCAGAUGCUCAUUAUUAUCUAAUUGGUAAGAUUAUUUUGGUAUCUUCUUAUAAUGCAAAAUAUAUAGUUCGCACUAAUGUCUUAAUUUUGACUAAUUACAAUCGCAGAUUUGAUUGGAGUCGUUGAAGAUGCUAGAUAUUUUACUAUUACAUACCCGGAUGGGACGACUACAUCAUCAAUUCGAUUUAAUAUAAUAGAUGAUGAGUAAGUAUAUCCCAAACUGUAAAUUUUUGAAGUUUAGCUAAUUAAUUAUUAACUACAUUCUUUGUCAAAAUAUAGGGAGUACAUGCUAGAGUGUGUUGCACAUGGUGAGUUGGCAACUGAAAUAAGAGAUAAGUGUAGAGAAUACGAAGGUCCCUUUGCUAUAUGUGUGUCAACCGAUUGGUGUGUAGCAAUUGACGGGGGUAUGUUCUCUGAUGAUACAUCAAUAUGUUAUUUAUAAAAUCGUUGUAUAUAACAUAACAAUAUUCCAAUAUAUAUGUUUUAGAGAAUGUGUCUAUCAAGGAUCAUGAUGAUGAUGGUGUGUCCCGUUUUAUCACUGAUUCACCUAUUAAUGAGGUUUUGACCUUGCGCAAUAGGUAAGUAUAUUUCGAUGUGUUGUUUAAAUUGACGUAUGAAAAAAAAAAUGUAUAUUUAGAUCUAAAUCGUUUUGUUAUUGAAAUUUCAGGAUUAGAGAGAGGUUAUAUGGGCUGGAUACAGAUGUGUCUAAUUAUUUGGGCCGAUCCGAAUGAUUCAAAAUCGAUAAUCCAUAUAUAUUAUUAGUUUUGUUAGACACUUUUUUUUUGUAUUUACAAGACUGUUUGGGUUUAGGGUUUAGUGUUAUAACCAAAUUUCUAAUUUUCCUUUAACAAAUAAAUUUUGUUAACCAAUAAUCUAUCUAGAAUAUUCAUCAUAAGUUGCAACUUUCCAAAAAUGGAACAUUUAUCUUUUGAAGAAUACAUAAAAUGAACUGAUUCACGCGACACUUUCCAUAACCGUUAUUUGGGUGUUAUAUAUAUCCCCAUUUUCUCAUAUACAUUGUUAAAAAUAAUCAACAAAGUAACCCUUCUCCCCAACUGUUUCUUUGGCUUUAUACAAAUAUUGUCCAGUAAAAUUAUGUUCCCUAGCUUGAUGUAAUGAUUGUAUACUGAAGAAACUAUUGUAUUUUUUGAUUGUUUUUUACUCGGUAUGCUCGCUUAUCUCGGUUGCGUGUAUGCUUAGUAUAUCAGAUGCAAUUAGAUUUUAUUCUCUCAUAUUGCAUGCUGCUAAUGUCUCGAAAAAGUACAUUAACGGAUGAAAGGACGCCUUUGACAGACAGUUGUUGGCAUUUAAAAUAAAACCUAUAAAUAAGUUAAUCUUUAUUUUAAUAAUACAUAUUCAAUGUUGUAUGUUUCCAUAAAUUUAUUGGGUUGAAAAAGGAAAUAACUGUCUAGAAUGUAACGCGUAUAUAUAUAUGUGUUCUCUUUCCUUAUUUUUUUUUACUUUCCUUUUGUGUUCUUGAUAGAGAAAAAAAAAUGUCUCAUGCUGUUGAUAUCUCUAGGUUAGAUUAUUACACCACCGGCGGUGAAGUUCGUGUGCAAGUUGUUCGACUCUGGAAGAAUGUGAAUUUCUUUGGUGAUACAAUUGAGAUGAUUCUCGCUGAUGAUCGGGUAUUUCGUUAUGUAGUUGUUAUUUCUUUAUAUAUUUCAUAGGGUUGUUUUUUAAAAGCAAUUUUUCUUUUGGAUUUUACACUUGAACUUAUGCGAAAUCGUCGAUCUUAGGGUCAUCGUAUCGGUGCAACUGUCAUGCCCGAUGAAAUCGCUCUGCAUGGACCUGUACUUAAACAAGGUUACUGGUUUAGGGUUCGUCGAUUCGUUGUUAAGAAGGCCAGUGGUUCGAUAUGCAUAACCGUAAACAGGCAUCGGUUUAUUUUCGGACCUCAUACGGUCGUGAUUCCUACCUCUCCAGUAACCCAUAAUUUACACUUGCAUCUCAAUUGCACACGCUUCUUUGACAUCGUGACUCGCGGAUUAGAUUUUGAGUUUUUAAUUGGUAAUAUUGGUAACCAUCUGUUAGUUUUGUGACAAUUUUAGUAUAAUGUAUCGUUUUGUUAAUAUUACUUUUUUUGUAUUCGAUAUGUAGAUGUAAUGGGAACCGUGUUGAAGAUGGGUGAUCUCUGUGAGAUAAACAGCGAUGCUUAUGAGGAUAAUGCAACAUAUGUUCGAUUCGAAAUUCUUAAUGCAGGGUAACAUCUAUGAGUUUAUAUCCACAUGUCGUUUGUUUUUGCAAAAAAAAAAAAAAAAAUGUUUCCUUUUGGUUUUAAGACAUCUAAACUGGAAGAACCUUUUUGUUCUGUUUUAAUCAAUUAGGAGAGAUUGUGUAUUGCCAUGUAUCGCCCGUGGGAAUUUGGCUAAGAAUCUGCAUAGUGUUUAUCAGCGUAAUCAAAGUGAAUCAGUGGUGUUUGUGCUGAGGUUUUGGAAGAUGACUAAUGGUCAAUGUAGGUUUUUAUUCCUUUUUUUAGUAUUUUAGAAUAGCUAAUCUUGCAUUCUUCUAAUUCUGAUUCGUAAAAUUAAUGAUAGGUGUUGAUAACAAGUCGGUUGUCCUAUGCUCUUACCCUCCUUGCUCUGAUUUCCUGUGUAAUCCUGUUGAUGACGAGAUUGACGAUUUCAGGGCUAAGUAAGUAUUAAAUUUAAUUUUUCUUUAUUGACAUAUUGUGUUAGUUGAUUUUUAGAUAUAUUGAUCUAACAUAUCGAUUUUUUUUUUUUGGUAGGCGACACCGUCUUAACUAAUGCACCAGCGAUGGAAUGUCAAUUCCUUAUCUUUCUUUUUAAUGUUUGUAAGACUAUUAUAUUAUGAUACUUAUUAAAUGAUAUCGGUUGUUGUUUAAUCUACUAUUUUGGUUUGACUCUAUGCAUACUGCAUUAUGUCUUAUUUAUAUUAUGAAUGUUAUGAAUGAUUAUGUCUUAUUUAUAUUAUGAAUUUUAUGAAUGAUAUCGUUACAUUAUCUUUAGUGUUUAGAAUAAAUUUGUAUAUCAAUGGUUUUGUAGUGUUUUGUCUUUUUUUGGUGAUGUAUGAUGAUUUGAAAAGUUGAUUUUUAAACUAUAGUCUACUCAAAGGGCUAAGUAUUCAUUGCGCUUUUGAAAAUAUAGCUGACAAGUUUCUGAUAGUUUUGAAUAGAUGGAUAUCUAUAGUUUUUUUAUUCUUAAUAAUGUUCUGAUUUGAUUCUAAAUCUGUUUGAUGUAAACGAUUUAUUAUGUUACAUUUAAAUUAUAUAUCAUCUGAGCCCAAAAUUUGUAUACAUCUUUUGGGCCAAAAAAUUUCUGUUGUAACCAAAAUUCGACCCUUCCUUUAACAAAUAUAUUGUGAUGGUCUUGGAUGGUCAAAAGGUUAGUCCUAUAAUUUAUGAAUAUCUCGGUUAUUGCCCUGAUCUAUUAAAUUUAUUAGUGAUUAAUAAUGUUUUCAAUAUCAAUCAUAUUGUUAAUGUGUUACCUUAAUAUUUUCUAAUUUUAUUACGUAUAAUAAUUCUUUCAUCUAAUUAAAGAGUUUUAAAAUUCAAAAUAACGAGAAAAAAGUCAAAUAGAAUUGUCAAACAAAAUAAAUGAAAACAUCAAAUGAAAUUGGUAGAUUCAAUGGCUAGGGAAAAUAGGUGAGUGAUCAAAAAAGUAGCCAUCUUCAAUGUUGUUAAAAUCAUCAGUGUAGUCAAGCCUGCAAGAACAAGAUAAAUAAUGAGUCGAAUAUUCAAUAAUUUUGUUUAGUAAAUUUACAAGAUGAUAACGGUGAACAAUGCUUACAUAAAAUGAGAAUUUUCGACUUCAGGAAUUGGAGGAUCGAACAAUAUUUCAGAGAAUUCUCGACCAGAACAAACACAUAUUUCAUCUGUACAAUAUAGAAAAUUAUAUUAGCUACAAUUGAUAUGAAUAUAAAUUGAUAUAUGGUUGGUCGAUAGAAUGAGAAAUAACCUCCAUAUCGACACAACUCCCAAAAUCUCAAUACACAGAAAACGAUUUUGCGACGAGGAGUAUUUUUCCAUAAGGACUCAAAAUGUUCAGCAUCUCUUCCCCACGCUAUGCAAUUGAUGUCGACACCCCUAAAAAACAGAAUUAAUAUAUCAUUUUCUUUAACAUCGAGAAUAUGAUAGUAAAGAUUUAUAUAUGUAUUAAUCUUUGUAUCAAUGGAUUCUUACUCAAAAUCUCUUAUUGUAAAUUUCAGAACACUUGAGUUGAUUCUCUGAUUUCCGAUGCAAAAUUGGUCUUGACGUUCCAAUUGACAAACUUUGAUAAUACCUCCGAUCAAAUCAACUAGCAUAAAGCAAUAUAUUCGUAUAAUUAAGUAGAGUAUUGAUUAAUCUAAUUGAGUAUAAUUAAAUACUAAGAAAACAUACCAACGUCUAUGUUUUCCAUCAGAGAUUCGUCAAGGACAUUUCUAAAAUUAGCAAAUGAAUACAACUGGUCAUCUGAUUUAGGCGAUGUCUUCUCAACAUGAGUAUCCUCAUCGAUACAGAUAUGGAGACCAUUGACUGUAAUCCUCGAAGUUCCUAUGUGUGGAGUAAUUUUGAAGUUACAAAUGAAAUACCAAUCUUUAUCACACAUCAUGCCUUCAUAAUGGUCUACUAAACGAUUCGGAAUCGAUGCACGUAUUCGAUCACCCUAGAUUUUCAGUUAAAAAAUAAUGAUGUUAUUGAUAAUAUAUCAAGAUUCAGACAGUAAUAUAUUAAGAUUCAGACAGUAUGUUAUUUUUGAAGUUAUACUUACAUGUUCGUCUGCGAAUAUAAACGAUCGCUGAAUACCGUGAACACCUAGGCUUUCCUCGACACUCUUGAUAACUUGAACACAGAUAGAAGAUCGAUCAGAUGCUAUACCUAAAGCAGAAAUCAUCGUGCAAGGAGACAUUUUUUUCAAAGAUAGAUGCAGUUAUUCUUAACAAUGAAUAAAAUCUGAUUAUGAGUAACAAAUGGGUACUACUUUAAAUUGAAAACCACCGUUACGACAACCAAUAGUAGUGUUUGCAAUGUUUUGAAAAAUAACGGUCAUAUUUACCACCGCUAAUUUAGUUGACUAUAUAUGUCAUGUUUUGUUAUAAUUAUAAUAUAAUAAUUAUGAAAAUCAAAAAUAGAAAGAACCUCAUAAGAAUCAUUACUAGGUGAUAAAAUGACAUAUAAUUGUGAUGAUUAAUAAUAUUUAUUUUAUUGUGACAAUAAUUGUGAUACUAGCUUUUUUAGAGGCUUAGACAUAGAAAUUUUUUUUUUAAAGGAAUAUUUAUAAGAUAUUAUUUCGUUUGUUAUAUAAAGUACAAAUCUUUCUAUAUUUGGUUAUUAUUAAUGGUAUAAUUUCAUUUUAUUAUUGUAAAUAAGUGUUGUUCAUCUUAAAAAAUGAUAUAUACCGAAAUUUGGCAAAAAAUAUUAUACAAUUUAACUAUUAUUCAUAAACUCAAAUAUAAAAAUAUUACACGAUUUCUUAAAUAUAUAAACUCGUGUCUGGCAAGAAUUGAAAAUAAAAAUCUGAUGUUUCAAUAAUCAAAUUAUAAUAAGGUUUAUAUAAUGAUUGUGUCCGCGCGACGCGGGCAGAUACCUAGUUAAUAUUGGAUUCCAACACUAUGAAACUAUGUUCAAGACCGGUGAAUAAUUGAGCGUUGAGGGCCUUGAGGCUGGUGCCUGUAAUUUGAACCGUAAAAUACAGGUUCGAAUACAACGAUUUAAUUAGGAUUAGUGUCUUGUUGAAAAAGACUAUGGAAUGUAAAAUUCAAAGCCAUUAGAUUAAAAUCAUGCUCUUUAAAAUAAAAAAUUCAUAAAAACUAGGGAAAGUUUUAUAAAAAGAGCAACGUUCAUAUGUUGAAAAGCAAACUUUUGAAUGAAUAAUGACUAUAGCAGCGGGAUACACUAGAUUUACAAGAUUUAAUUGCCUGGGAUAUGGGAGAAUUUGGAAUUAAAGAUUUACAAAAAUUUAAUUUUAACCUUCUAAUAAACAGCUAUAGCGAUGGAAAGAGAGAAUAUUUUCACUAAGCAAAAAAAAAAAAAAAAAAAAAAACUGAUGUGUUUUAGGUGAAAUGCAUUGUACUAGUGACGAAGGAAUAUAUGAUUUGCUCUAUUUAAGUCUUUUUUGGUUAUAAUUUCCACCACUUUACCAAAGACGUUCACUUUAGAUGCAUCUAACAAAACUAAUUGAUUAGUUUCCCUUUCGAAAUAUUAUAAUCAUUUUUUGUUGAAUAAUUUCAAAUUCCCACCGAAAGUCCUUCACUUUUAAUUAUGAACACCACAUAUUUGAUAAAAACAAAUUACUUUUCAUCAUAAUAACCUUGAAAAAAGCGGUGUGGUUUGAUUAAACUUGAACCGCAUGUUCCAUAGACUGAAAAAUAGUAUUUUACACCUUAAAAGCAUAACCUAUCUAGCUGGUAAACUUCGUCCGCCCAUUCAAGGUCAGUUUCAUGUUCUCGAUGAACCAUUGUUCUCAAAAACUCGCCAACUCGUGCGACACUUACAGCAUUUAAGGGAAGCUUUCUCAGUCAGGAAUGAAGCUAGGAGAAGAAGGAAUCAAGUUAAAGGAAAGACAAGAACCGGAACAAAAGUCUUAGUGUGGCAAAGAUGUAGGACCGCGAAAAUCCGAUUGAAAUCACGAAUAGAAAAUAGCAAUAUUAUAAACGAUAUGUUAAAGUAAGAGAUUAAAACGAGAGUUUGAAAACCGAUUGAAAACAGACGAACACAUGGAGUCGAGAUAUGAUCUCUUUCCUUAACUCAAUAAAUCGCCCGUAAUGUGUGACGGUUUGUUGCGAUUUUUGAAUCCCAGGAUACAACCGUGAUGAGACUAUUACGCAACACCCGUAAUAGAAUCUACGAACUGAGAUUAUACUACGCUAUAGCUCUCGAGACACUUACGAUAUUAAGAUGAGAGGGAUUUGCUAGAAAGAAUUAUUUGCUGUGUGUUUGGUGUAUUCGAGAAUUCGAUUUUUCAUUCGAUGAUCUAGAAUGAGAGAAGAGGGCGUCUAUUUAUACUGGAAGGUUCAGCUUGAUCCGCAAGGAAUAAGCUUUGGCAAAAGGAAUAUUCACGAGAUAUUCUCCUUUUUCCGCAAGUAAAAAGAUUCGGAAAUCUUCCGUUAUUAUCUGGACGCAAUCUUUUAUUUCCUAAGAUUUAUCCUUUCAAUAUGCAAAAAAUUAUUUCGCAGGAACUAAGAAGCCCACGACCCACAUCCAGCUAUGUAGAGCCCAAGAGCCCUAAGAGCCAACUAAAAAAAUGCAACAAGCAACGAGCAACGAGCAACGAGCCUGAGCCCGGCACCGGCACCGGUGACGGCGACGGCGAUGGCGACGGCGAUGGCGGUGGCGCGCAUAGGUGUUUUGCAUAAUGCCCUUUUACUUCCACAAUGCUGUGUAUGCUUAUUAAUAUUGGGUUCCAACAAUCCCCCACAUGAAUAGAAAUGACUCUAUACAUAUGCAGACUCGAUAGACUAUGCAGACUAGACUCAAACUACACUACAGAUUCGACAGACGGACUUUUCGAGAGUAUAAGCGAAAACUAACUGUGUCUGAGGAAGUAGCGUUUUUCAGCCUUGAACCACUCAUUUUUAAUAUCUGUCGGAUUUACUCUCCAGGAAGUGAACAUGAUGUCUUGAACCACCCAGAUUUUGGUGUAAACCAAAUCAACAGAUACAACUCAGCUUCGUCUUCUCGUAGCAUUCAGUUCUCUAUUGUGUUCAUUGUGGCUUUGAACGUGCCUGGUUUAUCAUGAGUGAACUUGGAGAGUAUAGCCUUGUCUUCGUUCUCCUAGAAACGGCCUCAUUUCACACUCACUAAGUGAUUGCCAAGUACCUAUCACAUACUCAGAAAGUAUCAUGUUAUACUCUAUAUACAUGUAUAUGAAGGCUAUGGUCUUAUCUCAUUAAAAGCCAUAAAGCUUAACCUUACAUAAUUACAGGAAACACUGUUUAUCAUCAUGGAAAUUGAGCAUUUUACAGUGCUUUUCUCAGAUUAUGCUUGAUUUAGUUGUCCCUUUGAACCAACCUCUUGGGAUCUCCAAUCGCGUAGGUGGGAUUUCCAUCAAACAUCCUCUUUCGUGAUAGGCAAUAAGCUCAUUCCUUUAGAUGAUUCAAUGAUUUGAUCUCGCGGCAAGCUUUUGGUAAACGGAUCCGCUAAAUUUUCCGCUGACUUGAUGUAAUCAACUGUGAGUACACCACUUAAGAUCAGAUGCCUAAUCGUCUUAUGUCGUCUUCGUAUGUGACGAGACUUGCCAUUAUACAGAUUAUUCAGUGCCCGAGAGAUAGCCGACUGACUACCACAGUGUACACGUAAUGCUGGCACUGGUUUUUCCCACAUCGGGAUAUCUUCCAGGAAGUUCCGAAGCCACUCUGCUUCUUCGGCUGCUUUGUCUAAAGCUAUGAACUCUGACUCCAUGGUUUAUCGGGCCAGGAGUGCCUGUUUGGAAGAUUUCCAGGAUACUGCUGCUCCAGCGAGUGUAAAGACAUAUCCACUUGUGGAUUUGGCAUUUCUAGAAUCUGAAAUCCAAUUGGCAUCAUUGUACCGUUAUAACUGAUAACACCGGAUUUUGACCAUUUUUAUGGAUCAUUUUAAUAUCUUUUACAGGUGUUUUUACUCCAUUUUCAAAGGUUUUCAAAGGAUUUCUAUGUUUCCGGAUUUUAAAAGACUUUUCAGGUAAUUUGGGAUAAAGAGGUACAAAAUGGAACAAAUGAACUCUUUUGGAUAAAUGCAGACCGUCAGAACUCUCAUGGAGAGACGAAGACCUUCUCACCGUCUGAUCACCCUCAAAAUUGGACAACUUAUAGAAGAAUCAACCAGCUUUCAAUUGCACUUGGUUUGGAGACAUUCCAACGGUUGGAUCGCAAGAUAUUUCAUUAGCCCCGGAGCCACUCGAAGUCGGCCAGCAGCUCACGCGACCGCGGCCAACAAGCUAUUUGCCGCGGUCAGAAGCUUCCCGAUCGCGGCCAACAAGCCAAUUGCCGCGGUCACAACACUCCCGACCGUGGCAUUCAAGCUCCGACUUAAAGCCCACUUAUCUGAAGCCCAAGUCAUUCCCAGCCUCAAUUCCGGAACCCUAGAGACCAUGGAGUAUUGGAGACUAUAAAUACAUGUCAUUUAGGUCGUUUUUAGAGAGAACCCUUCAUACUUUACAGAAACCAUUUUUCUUUAGCCGUUUUUAUGAGAUUUUUGUAGAAGAUUGUUCAAGUCCGAGUUCUUCAAUAGAGAAGCUUUCUUUAUCUCUUUUCUUUACUGUUUUUCAUUAGUUUUAUUAAAAUCAAUGAUGAUGUCGAACUCAGCCAUGUCUGAGUAGAUCCUGACUUGGGCUUAGGGUUCCCGAAAGGGGCUCUCAUAAUCGAUUAAGACAUCUAGGUUUAUAGAUCUGGGAUUUCGACUUGUUCUCUGUUUAAUCUUGUUCUUAUUGCAUGUAUGCUUGAUUGAUCACCUAGUAUCUGAUCUAGAUAGUUAGUGUUGCGAAAGUUUUCAUUAAGUAUCAGCCCUAGAAUGAAACAGGCGAUUUUUCCGUAGGAGUGGAAACCUACCUGCGGCGAGAUCGUGAGUAUUGACGAGUCUUGUGCAGUUCUUGCGUUCUCUCCCUUCCAGGGCCAGAGUGGAAAAACCUACUGGUCAGGGUUGUGAGAAACAGUUGGUUAUGAUCACGACAGUGACGUAGUCAUACCGCCGUACUCUAGCUCUAGAACCCAUAUAUUGUUAUCUGUCAAUCCCAAUUUAUCUACCUUAGUGUUAAAACCGAUUAUGAUCCCUUAGAGUUCCCAAAAGCUCAGCGUUUUUAGCCAUAGUUUACAAUUUCAAUCGAUUUUUACUUGCUUUCUUAGACCUGCAUUUCAAUUUCCUUAGUUCGUUAUUUACUUGCUUUAUUUACUUUUCAUGCGAUAUUUUACUUGCCUUAUUUUUGGUUAGUUCGAUAUUUUACUUAUUCCAUUUGCAUUCCAUUCGAUUUUCUUUACUUGCUUUUCAGGAUAGAUUUAUUUGCUUUCUUUUGUUUUAGUUUAAUUCGCAAGAAAAACAACCAACCUUUAAAACCAAUUUAGUCUAGACAUAAAGUUAAAAACGGUAGAAGAAUACCAGGCACACAAAUCUCUGUGGAUUCGAUCCCUAAAUACUACAACUGAUUAGCUGUGCACUUGCGGCUUUUAUUUGUUUUGUUAAGGGUAAAAAUUGUUCCCUCACGUAGUUGACACGAGCGAGCACGCAUCAAGUUUUUGGCGCCGUUGCCGGGGAUUUGUUUCGCUGCCUUUUGCUAUUUUUCAUGUUUUAACUUCUGUUCUAGACACCUGAUCUCUAGUUCUUUCUUAAAGUUUUUCUGAACUAUCUUUCCCUUCUUUUGUCUUUCUCUGAAUUGCAUGAAUACCAGGCGUAGACCUGCAGGAGACAUUCCAAUUCUAGACGAGAUAGACAGACACGAAAGAGAACUUCGAAAACUUAGACGAACGCAAGAAAUGACCAACGACGACCAGCCUGGAGAUCCUAUUAAUCGAAAUUUAAAUAUGGACCAAGACGGGUCCGAACAUGGAGAAAAAGAAGAGAAUGAUCACACAGAAGGUGAUCAUGCUCGACAAGAUGGAGAGGAGGAUGAGGUUCUUCCAAGAAACCACCAGAACCGAGAGAGAGAAGGACGUGAAGACUUUGAUCCACCCAUCAAUGCAGCCGAUGGUGACCACCCAGCAAUGCAGCCGAAUGAACGCAUUCACCGCCCCAUUCCGCCAGCAAAUCAACACCGAAGACAAGCCAGAAACCAUCGCAUAGCUGAUUUUGAUGCACCUACUCAAAAUUUUCAGAAUCGAUCUGCGAUUCAAGUACCAUUUCCAAACCGGAAUGAGUUUGAAGUCAAGCCUCAAAUCAUCUCAUUGGUGAAGCAAAAACAGUUCCAUGGAGUUCCUUCUGAGAACCCAAUGGACCAUAUCGAGCUUUUUGAAGAAAUUUGCAGCAUGAUGAGAACAAACCAAGUUCCACCUGACUAUUUAAAGUGUAAGUUGUUCCUUUUUUCAUUAGCAGAUAAAGCUCACCGUUGGUUGAAGUCUUUGCCUGCAGGAUCGAUUACUAAUUGGGAAGAAUGUAGAACUGCUUUCCUGAACCACUUCUACACUAAGUCAAGGUUGAACAAUUUGAGAACGAAGAUCUCGACCUUUCAACAAGGGCCAACUGAAUCUUUCUAUGAAGCUUGGGAACGUUUUAAGGAGUAUGAACGUGAUUUCCCUCAUCAUGGAUUUCAUGGAUCAAGCCUGCUGAGCACAUUUUACCGAGGUUUGCAACCAAAAUACAAACUUUCACUUGAUACAGCUAGCAAUGGAGAUUUUGGGCAAAAGACGAUAACCCAAGGAAGAGCCCUUAUCGAAAAUUUGGCUCAAGCCAAUAACAAUGACUGUCCUGAAUACGAUCGAUCGAUGAAGCAAGCCGGAACAGACAACAAGGAGAUAACCGAGUUGAAGAACAUGGUGAGCCAACUUCUGAAGAGCAACAAUCGCCCGAUCCAUGCCUGUGAAACCAACAAUGGCGCAGAAGAGGAAGGACCUAGUGAUAUCGAUCACAUUAAUCAAGCAUUUCAAGAAGAAGAUGUGAACUACGUAGGAGCACUGGUGCCAUACCAAAAUCGCUCCAACAACAACUUCAACAACAACUUCCGGAAUGUAAAUUACAACAAUCUCUCUUACCGUAAUCCAAAUGUGGAGAACCCUCAAGAUCAGUACUACCCACCUCAGCAAAAAUCAUUCCAAAACAAGUUUCAAGUUGGAAACUUUGGAGGAAUAGUACCAUAUCAACCGCGACAGCCAUAUAACUACCAAGGUACGGGUUUUAACAAUCAAUUUGUACAACAGCAGGGAGUCACGACGAACCAGCUAGCUUCACAAAUCGGUAGACUUGAACAGUCAAUCCAACAGCUUGUUAUGACGAACGAAAAAGCAUCUAAAGACGUGAACGUGAAAGUGGACUGCAUGUACAAUGAUCUGAAUGGUAAGUUUGAAUCUUUAUCUUCGCACGUAAAAAAGUUAGAUGUGCAAGUCGCCCAAACAGCCGACUCUAUGAAGAGGCAAAGUGGAGUUCUUCCAGGAAGAGUUGAAGAUAACCCUAAGAAGUUUUGCAACGCCAUAACCACAAUGCCCGAAGAAGAGUCCAGAACCAAUGGAAAGAAAGAAGAAACCCCAAUCUUUGUACCACUGUACAAGGAUAUCGAUCCCAAGCAGCCACCGUUUAAGAUACCCGAACGAUCACCGUUUCAAAGGCUUACCAAAGCCGAACAUCCGGGACGUUUUGUUUUCCAAUGUUUCAUUUCAGGAAUCAAGUUUACAGAUUGUUUGUGCGAUUCCGGAGCCAAUGUCAACAUCAUGUCUAAGACAUUUGCCGAAAAUUGGGCAUAAAAACCUUAAGGACAUCGACGGUUAAGGUUAUCUUUGGAGAUUCAUCUCAAAAAGAUACUGAAUGGGCGAUUCAUGAUCUACAAGUUCUAGUGGAAGAUAAGAUCGUUCCAGCAGAUUUCCAAGUCCUGGAGAUGGAUAAAGACAAGGAGAGGCCACUCAUUUUCGGGAGACCAUUCCUAGUUACAGUAGGAGUAAUAAUCGAUCACGCAAAUCGGCAUGCUGUUUUCCUCAAUGUGGACAGAAGAAGGUACUAUCUUAGAUGAAUUUCCAAGUAAAGGAAACAGGCCAAAAGAGAAAGAAAAGGAGAAGCCGAAAGCUUUUGCAAAGAUCAAGAUCAUCAUUCCACCGGACGCAACAGAAACUAGUGAGGACCAAAUCCAGGAGCUGAUCGAAAACACAAAAAGGGUUCUGAACAACAUUAAAGUCCGAAAGAAGAGUAAAGGUAAGAAGACUUCUCUUCAAGGAGAAGAAGUAAAACCUCCACCAACCGGAAGUGAUAAGGGCACAUCAAGUGGAGUGCCAUUCAAAUCAGCCUGAUUCCUCAUGCUUACGUCGAGCUAAACGACUUAAAACAAAAGCGCUUAAUGGGAGGCAACCCAUUUAGGUACUCUUUCUUUUAGUUUUCUUUUCCUUUUUAGAAUUUAUGCUUUCUUUUGCUUUUUAAGUUUUAGGUAUUUUAUAAAACAAAAACACAAAAAAAUCAGAAAUUUAGAAAAACCAAGAAGAAAAAGGUAGGUCUUUAGCUGCUCGGCCCGGCAAAGACGAGAAGAUUAGGCAAUAGGCCGCAGGAGGAAGACCCGCGGUCGCAACUGACGGAACCGAGGCCAAAGGUGCAUUGACCGCGGCACCGUGAAUGUGACCGCGGCCGAGCACUCGACCACCGCAGUCGCGCGUCUCCUGACCACGGCCGUUGGUCGUUGAGGUGAUUCCGCGGAUUUUUGCCGCUUCCCGGUGUUGCCUGGUGUUUGCCUGGUGAUUCCUGGUGUUGCCUGGUGUUGCAUGGUGAUUUCCCGGUGUUGCCUGGUGUUUACCUGGUGAUUCCCGGUCUUGCCUGGUGAUUCCCGGUGUUUCCCAAAAUGUUCCCGGUAAAACCCGAAAAGAUCCUCCGUAAGUUUUAAACUUUCCUAAUGUGCAAACAAGAAAAGGUAAGUUCCCGUAAACUUAAAAAUUUCCAGAAAAUUUCCGUUUUUGCUUCAAAAACGCUUUUUAAAGAAAAAAAACAAACUUUUUGGAUCAAAACUCUUUCUUAUCUUCUCUUCCAAAAGACUUAGAGAUUUAGGAGAAAAAACACAUUUUUCAAUUCUUAAGCUUUUUAAGAGAUUUUUGGCUCAAACCUCACUCUUUUUCAAAGCUGAUUUCAAUUCUACCAUCAAUUCUCUCUUUCCAGCAAGGUAUGAACCUCAAACUCACCAUUCUUACUCGAUUUUGAACUUAGGGUUUUCUUUAAAAACCCAAAAUUUUGGUCUAUUGAUGGUGGAAAUAGCUUAAGAAUGAUAGAUUAUCCAUUUAGGUUAUCUAAAAAUCGAUUUUAGCACCUAGCUUAAGAGGAAUUGAGAUUUUUGAAAUUUGGAUUCUACAUGCUUAAUAAAAAUCGAAUUUGGAACAGCAAAAUUGAUGAAUUUGAUUUAGUCUUGUGUGAUUAGUGAUUAGUAUUGGGUAAUCUUUAGAAUUCACAUGGAAAUUGCUCAUAAAAACCGAUUUUUAGAAGAUUUCUAUGUUGAGAACAUCAAAAAUCUGAAUUUAGUCAUGAAUUACUUGAUUUCUCUGAUUUAAUAUCAAUUUUGUUUGCUAAUAGUUUUAAUUAUUCUCUUUAUACUAGUAUUAGUAUAACAGAUCUUAAUGUGUUAUAAUUAGCAUCCAAAUUCACUCUUUUUCCAAGAAUCAUUUCAUUUUGCAGAAAAUGGAUGAAACCAGAUCCCGAAGGAGCCGUCGAACUGGUGGCAGCUCCGAUGACAUUCCCGACGAUGCUACUCUAGGAGAGUACAUGCUGAACCAAGCCAGACCGAGAAGAAGAUACUCUGUGAUGAGAUUGCUCCAGCACUCGAGGGAAACACGAGCACCUCCCGAGCCACCACAGAUUCGAUACAUUGGGAGGGAGACAAACCCGAGAGUGGACUAUGCAAGGCGUUUCAAGAAGUUGAACAUCAAACCCACGCCUUGCAUUGAUUAUCAUACACUCGAGAUGCUUGGAAUCAGAGAGGAUGUGAUCUGGUACAUCGAUGCACUUAAGCUGAGACCCUACUUGGAGCUGAACCUUCCGACUUAUCCUGAGCUAGUCCGUGAGCUUUUAGCGACCGUUGCACUCCACCACACGAAGAGGAGGAACCCCAGAGCAUCAGAUGGCAUUUUGUCAUUCUCUAUCCGCGGACAGCCUUAUUCUCUCACCAUUUCCGAGGUUUGUGAAGCUCUUAAGCUUCCAUACACUGAUGGCAUUUAUCUUGAAGAUGAACCUGAUCUUAACCUGUGGAGAGAGAUGGGUCAUGGAGCCUACGAUAGUGGGAGAUCUAAGUCAGCCCUUCUUAGCCACCCAGCAGUGAGAGUUGUGCACAAACUCUUAGCACACAUGAUCUUCUCUAGAGCCAACAUGGGAGGUGUUUUGAAGACUGAGCUCAUUACACUUCAGAUCCCAUUUAUGGACGACCCACGACUUGCCUGCUUUGCAUGGAUCAUAUCGCAGAAUAUGGUAAAGGUGAAGCAUGAUUUACAUGGUUGCGAUGACGCUACUCCAGCUUUCGGGAGUGCUAUUACAGCGAUACUACAGACUGUAGGAUUCGAUUUCUCAUCUGACGAACCACUUCCCGAUAUCUGGUAUGAUCUAGUUUACCUCUCUCGCGAUCACACUAUCUCUCGUGCCGCUUUCGAUCCAGACAGGUUUGGUUACAAAUAUUGAACUGGCACCGAGGAGCACCGAGUCCGCUUACCUUCAGCGUCUAUCCCGAGAUUGUGCAACGGAGGACGUCCUCGAUGGACUCCGGAAUCCGAUGAUUUUCUGCCAUCUGUACCUCGUCUACCAUUCACCAUUGGCCAGUACAUAGUGGCCAAGGCGAAGCGUGAUGCAGCUGCGGCCCGUGCUCAUUUUCAGCCAUCAAUUCCGACCGGCCACACCUCAUCAUCUACAUCAUCACACACACAUUCCGAUCUGGAGCGCAGAGUUGAGAGACAGGGACGACGCUUUGAGCGCGUUGUCACCUUCUUACAGGAGCACCACCAGUUCGCAGACGACACUUUGGAGGAUGAGUGACUGAUCAGCACUUUACUACCAUCACGGUUCUAUCAUCAUUUUCUUUUCUUUUAUCUUACUUUAUUUCGCUUUUAUUCACCAACUUUUUCACAUUGGAGACAGUGUGAUUUAAGUCUGGGGGAGGAUGUCUAUCUGUACUAAUCAUUUUCCUGCUUUGCUUUUAAAUUUCAAAUACUUUUUAAAAUUUAAUAUGUAACCUAUUCGACAUUAAGUAUUUUUCAGGAAUGUUUGACGCAAAACUAUGAUGAUUUAGACCUGCACACUUCUACACUAUGCAUGAUAGCUCAUUUGUGGUUAGCACUACAUUAGGCGGUAGCUAGAGUACUUGCACUACGAACUCCCACCAGAGGACUUCUAUUCAUGGAGAUUCUUUCUGACAGGAUAUACUAGCUCAUUUUAUUUGGACUUAAUAUUGAUAUCUAAUUUUCUCAUCAUUGAUUUUAGGCAGGCAUCGACAUACACAUCUAGGACGUCUUUUACCCUCACUUUUACCACUCUUUGUCGUCCUAGAUGACCAGUUUAUCUUUAUCUGGUACCAUACCCUAAACCCAAAACCUUUGUUUUCAAUCCUCAUGCACUCUCUCUUUAGUUUAUAUCAGCAGAUAUGUGCAAAAACGUCGGAGAGAAGAGGAGCGACACAGUUUUCAGUCACUCGCAAAAGAGACUGAAUGGAAUUGGGAAGGAAGAGUAUCAGAAACAUAAUAAAGCUUUACAAGACAGAUAUUAACUGGUAAAUUCGUGCUCUCUAAGACUCUAUAUCUAAAGGUGUUACCUAUCUCUAAAAAAAAAAAAAAAAAAAACGUGAAAAGAGAAAGGCAAACAAAAAGCCUAAUGAGUCUUAGAUUGUCGAAAUUUGUGGAGCAAUGAGCAACCACUAUUCGUUUAAGGAGCUAUUGUUUUGAAAGAUUUACAAAAAUCUAAGUCUGGGGGAGUUUGGAGAGAACUUGAGUAAGAAGACCAUGAAUCUAUGUCAAGAAGAAAGUGACUGAAAACUGUGGAUACCAACAGCUUCACUCUCUCUUGCGGUUUUGCAUAAUGUCCUGCAUCCUCCAGAUCUUCAGGUAACCCUUAAACACUUUAAGCCAUACCCCCAAAAUAAUCCUUCUUUACACCUAGCCUAGAUUGCCUUGCCUAGAUUUUCUUUGAUGAGAACCACCGAGAUUUUUAAUGAAUGUUAAGAGCUAGUUGACUGGAAGUUAGAUUUUAGUGCAUAGAUUUCUGCAUGACGGAUUAACGGACUAGUUAUGCCUGUAUUGCUAGUGAGAAUUUUCUAGGCUAUUCCCGAUUGACGCUUACUGAUUAAUAUUGGUCUAGAAGUUUGGUCUCUGAGAUUUUGUUUAGUUCCUGCGUUUUCAAACCUCUCACUGAGAUUUAGCCUUUGUUUUGUUUGAGGACAAACAAAAGACUAAGUCUGGGGGAGUUGAUAACACCGGAUUUUGACCAUUUUUAUGGAUCAUUUUAAUAUCUUUUACAGGUGUUUUUACUCCAUUUUCAAAGGUUUUCAAAGGAUUUCUAUGUUUCCGGAUUUUAAAAGACUUUUCAGGUAAUUUGGGAUAAAGAGGCACAAAAUGGAACAAAUGAACUCUUUUGGAUAAAUGCAGACCGUCAGAACUCUCAUGGAGAGACGAAGACCUUCUCACCGUCUGAUCACCCUUAAAAUUGGACAACUUAUAGAAGAAUCAACCAGCUUUCAAUUGCACUUGGUUUGGAGACAUUCCAACGGUUGGAUCGCAAGAUAUUUCAUUAGCCCCGGAGCCACUCGAAGUCGGCCAGCAGCUCACGCGACCGCGGCCAACAAGCUAUUUGCCGCGGUCAGAAGCUUCCCGAUCGCGGCCAACAAGCCAAUUGCCGCGGUCACAACACUCCCGACCGCGGCAUUCAAGCUCCGACUUAAAGCCCACUUAUCUGAAGCCCAAGUCAUUCCCAGCCUCAAUUCCGGAACCCUAGAGACCAUGGAGUAUUGGAGACUAUAAAUACAUGUCAUUUAGGUCGUUUUUAGAGAGAACCCUUCAUACUUUACAGAAACCCUUUUCCUUUAGCCGUUUUUAUGAGAUUUUUGUAGAAGAUUGUUCAAGUCCGAGUUCUUCAAUAGAGAAUCUUUCUUUAUCUCUUUUCUUUAUUGUUUUUCAUUACUUUUAUUAAAACCAAUGAUGAUGUCGAACUCAGCCAUGUCUGAGUAGAUCCCGAGUUGGGCUUAGGGUUCCCGAAAGGGGCUCUCAUAAUCGAUUAAGACAUCUAGGUUUAUAGAUCUGUUAUUUCGACCGGUUCUCUGUUUAUUCUUGUUCUUAUUGCAUGUAUGCUUGAUUUAUCACCUAGUAUCUGAUCUAGAUAGUUAGUGUUGCGAAAGUUUUCAUUAAGUAUCAGCCCUAGAAUGAAACAGGCGAUUUUUCCGUAGGAGUGGAAACCUACCUGCGGCGAGAUCGUGAGUAUUGACAAGUCUUGUGCAGCUCUUGCGUUCUCUCUAUUCCAGGGCCAGAGUGGAAACCUACUGGUCACGGUUGCGAGAAACAGUUGGUUAUGAUCACGACAGUGACGUAGUCAUACCGCCGUACUCUAGCUCUAGAACCCAUAUAUUGUUAUCUGUCAAUCCCAAUCUAUCUACCUUAGUGUUCAAACCGAUUAUGAUCCCUUAGAGUUCCCAAAAGCUCAGCGUUUUUAGCCAUAGUGUACUAUUUCAAUCGAUUUUUACUUGCUUUCUUAGACCUGCAUUUCAAUUUCCUUAGUUCGUUAUUUACUUGCUUUAUUUACUUUUCAUGCGAUAUUUUACUUGCCUUAUUUUUGGUUAGUUCGAUAUUUUACUUAUUCCAUUUGCAUUCCAUUCGAUUUUCUUUACUUGCUUUUUAUGAUAGAUUUAUUUGCUUUCUUUUGUUUUAGUUUAAUUCGCAAGAAAAACAACCAACCUUUAAAACCAAUUUAGUCUAGACAUAAAGUUAAAAACGGUAGAAGAAUACCAGGUGAUAUGUCAUGGUUUUUAUGGUUUUUAACCAUGGUAUAAGUCCUAUUUAUAGAGUCUGUUUAGUGUCUUUCGAGUCUUUUGGAGUCUUUUCAGGUCAUAGGUACGUUUGGAGCUUAACUGGAGACUUUGGAGCACUUUGGAGCUUAAUCAGGAUCAAUUUCGUCAAGAAUGGAUUUUGUGCUUUGGUGACGCUCGACACCAUGGAGAGUGACGCGCGACACUUGUUAGAGAAAUAAGGAAAAGGCGAUUUUGUUUCCUAUUUGAAGAAGGAGUUGGGCCCAAACGAUUUCGAGGAAGCCCAAGACGUGUCUUAGAGAUAUAUAUAGGAUUUUUUAUUCCCUUUUUACGUUCACUUUUAGAUUUUGAGAGAGAGAUACUCUGAGUUUUCGGCUUUUGCGAUUUCUGAGCUUGGGGAGACAAGUCUGUACUCUGUUCGUUUAGAGAGAAGAUUUCGAACCCCUUUAUCUAUUUCGAUUUAAUCUAUUGCUUUCUAUUCAUCAUGCUUGUUGUUUCAAUAACCAUGUCUGAGUAGAUCACCUGUUAGGUUUAGGGUUAAUUAGGGUUUUCUCUGAAUGUUUGAUUAACUUGCUAGUUAGGGUUCAUAUCUAUUUGUUCUUCACCUUAGGUUGUUCUUAAAGCUAAUUCUGGACUGAUCACCUAGAAUUUAGAUCUUAGGUUGCUUAAUUGACACGGAAGUGUAAUUGAAUAACUGGAAAGAACCUGAGUUGAGCAAAGUAGCUAUUCGCAAAGGAAUUUGGUUUAGCCGCUUUGUGAACAUAUCGAACUUGUGCAAUUAAGGCUGGUUUAAAUCUGUAGGAUUUACAAAGGAAUUUGGAAUUCUAGGAUUUUAACUUAGAUAAUUCUCACAACGGAAGUUGGUUAAUUAUAAUUCUGUGUUUCGAGUUCAAGAACCGUGCUUAAUACCUGAACCCUGACUUGUUAAGUUGAUUUGCAUUCAUUGAUCUCCUGAAAAUUACCCUAGGCCUAUCCUUUAUCACAUCGAAUUUACAACUGUCUUCAUCGCUGCUUUAUUUAUUUCUGUCGCAUUGUUAUUUCUUUUGCAUAUUUCUGCUUAGCGUAACUCUAUCUACAUAAGGUUUAUUGAGUGAUCUCUUGUCUCUGUGAUUCGACCCCUAGAUACUACAACUGCACAUCUAUGCUCUUGCAGAGUAGCUUAGGGAUUAAACUUUGAGCAUAUCAAGUUUUGGCGCCGUUGCCGGGGACUUGAUUUCGCCAUUAAACCUAGUUUUUGAGUUUCGACUAAGUUUUUCAACUUAGUGUCGAGCGACACCACUUGUGGUGUCGCGCGACACCUUUCUUUUUAUAACCUAAUUUGCUUACUUCGUUUUCUCUCUCUCUGUUUUUGGUGUUUCAGGUUUAUGCAUACUCGUGGAACCAGAAGCAACAAGGACAUCCCGCUAGUGAAUUUGAGCAACGAACAGCUAGCUGAGUUAGAGCGAACGAACAGGAAAGCAAGAGAUCCGGCAAUGAUGGAAAACGCCAAUGGACUUGUUUGUGAUGAUGAUGGAACCUGGAGAGACCGAGAGGGUCAUCUGUGCAAUGCGAGAGGCCAAAGGCUUGAUGGAGAUGGUAACAUCAUUCCACCAGCGCCUUUACCAGUGGAUGUUGUUGACCAUAAUCCACCACCUGCACCGCGUGGUAAUGCUGUGAUCGUUCCACAUCAGAGGAACGUUCCAGAAGAUCGGAAUGCGAGGGAACCUGCGCCUGCAGCUGGUCGUGGACGAACACUUGGAGACUACAACAGGCCUGAGCAGUUCUAUGCAAAUCGUUCUGCGAUUCGCGCUCCUGCGUUUCAAAGAAACGAUUUUGAGCUGAAGCCUGUGUACUACACUCUUGUAGGUCAGCACCCUUUCCAUGGCCACUCUCAUGAGCACCCGAUGGACCACAUCGAGAGGUUUGAAGAUUUGGUCACCAGCAUCAAAUACAAUGGAGUGUCCAAUGAUUUCCUCCUCUGCAAGCUGUUUCCUUACUCUCUUGCUGGAGAAGCAGCUAACUGGUUGAAACAGUUGGAGCCAGGAUCGCUCACCACUUGGGAAGAAACCUGGAACGCCUUCCUGCACAACUUCUUCGACGAUGCUAGGUCUGAGGAGUUGAGGACGAAAAUCUCGACUUUCUCUCAGGAACCUACUGAAGCAUUCAAAGCUUCUUGGGUGCGAUUCAAAUCGUACCAGCGAGACUGCCCUCACCAUGGCUUCAGCGAUGUGCAGUUGCUGGGUAUCUUCUUCAGAGGUAUCGACUGGAGGUAUCAGAUGGCACAUGAUGCAGCAAGCAAUGGUAACUUAAACACCAGAUACCCAGAAGAAUCUGUUGAGCUCAUCGAAAAUUUGGCAUCCAGCAACAGCACCAAGAAUGCUGAUCUUGAGCGAAAGAAGCAAGCUGGGAACAUGGAUAGAUCGCAGAUCGCUGAAGUGAAGGCUAAACUUGAUUCUGUGCACAGCCUUUUAGUGGGCAAGAAAUCGGUCAGAUUCGCACAGGAGGUGGAGAGUUUCGAACCUGAGGAUGCAGUUGAGGAAGAGGAUGUCAACUUUGUCAGUGGAUCAGGAUUUUAGGGUCAGAGGUUUGGUAAUCAGCAAGGUAACAGAAGCUACAGUGGAAAUUACAGUGGAAACAAUCAGAGGAGUACCUUCAACAGUAAUCAGAACUUCUCUGGUUACACGCCUAAGCCUCAAUACCAGAAACCUUUUUCCAGCAACAGUUUUUCCAGGAACUACAGCACUCCUUCAUCUCAACCUCAAAAUCCUGUAAAUGAGAUGAAGUCUAUGCUGGAACAGAUUCUAGAAGGUCAGCAGAAGCUCACUGUGGACUUUAAUGGGAAGAUGGAUGCUCUCUACAUCGAUCUGAAUGGAAAAAUCGAAGCUCUGAACACCCAUGUCAAGCAGCUCGAUACACAGGUAGCCCAAACUGCAGGUUCUAUUAAAAGGCAAGAGGGUUUUCUUCCUGGGAAGACUGACACCAAUCCAAGGCAUCACUGUAGUGCUAUCACGUUGAGGAGUGGUAAAAAUCUGAGUUCUGAUCCCAAGAAGACGCCUCCUGCACCUGAAGUGGUGGAUUUAGAAGAUUCUGAAGCAGUUCUUGAGAUUGCAGAGCCGGUGACGAGCGACACCACCACUAGUGUCGCGCGUCACCAAUUGCAGAGCGAAGCUGUUGAUGUUCCGAAUCCGAAAUCUGCAGAGGAGAAAGUCUACAAACCUAAAGUUCCUUACCCAAGGAGCCCUAGGAAGUUCAAGCAAGAGCUUGAUGAUGCACGAUGCAAAGCUUUGAUGGAAAAGCUUGUGAUUGAGAUACCUUUGGUUGAUGCUGUAAAAAUCACUCCUGUUAUCAGACGUUAUGUGAAGCGAAUGGUAACCAAUAAUCUCAGCCAUGAACAAGGAGUGAUGAUGAUCUCUGAGCAAGUCAGUGCAGUGAUUCAGAACCGAAUUCCAGAGAAGUUGUCUGAUCCAGGAAGCUUUGUCUUGGAUUGCUCUAUCUUCACAGAGAGAUUCAAGAGAUCGCUGUGUGAUCUGGGUUCAAGUGUUAACCUCAUGCCUUAUUUGGUAGCUGUCAAUCUCGGCAUGACUGAUUUCAAGCCAACAAGGAUCUCCCUCAUCCUAGCUGAUCGUUCGACAAGGAUACCUGAAGGGGUGCUAGAAGAUGUUCCAAUCAAGGUUGGAGACUGCAUGAUACCGACUGACUUUGUGGUUUUGGAGUAUGGAGAGCAGCCUAAAGAUCCUCUUAUCCUUGGGAGACCUUUCCUAGCUACAGCAGGUGCUAUCAUCGAUGUCAGGAAAGGCAGGAUUGCUCUGAAUGUUGGAGAUCUGGUGAUGAACUUUGACAUGGACAAGCUGAUGAAGAAGCCCACAAUCGAUGGUCAGACCUUCUAUGUCGAUACUCUCACGGAGUUUGCUGAGGAUUUUCUCCAUGAGAUGCUGCCUACAGACCCACUUGAGAGAGCUCUGACCACAUCUGCCUCUGAGGCUGAACACUUGGACGAAAUUUCAGCAUCUUACUCGAAGAUGUUGGACUCCAGCGAGCAUGUGAUGCAGCUAGCAUCGCAGAUUGAACAGCUUGAGACUCCUGCGAAGGUGAAGCAGUUAUCCGACUGGAGUGAGGAGAAAGCUCCUAAGAUUGAGUUCAAACAACUCCCUGCAGGACUAAGGUACGCAUUCCUGGGCUCUAAUUCUACUUAUCCAGUCAUUAUCGAUUCUUCCUUGAACAAUGCUGAGGUUACCUUACUCCUGAGCAAGCUGUGCAAGCAUCGCAAAGCUUUUGGCUAUUCUCUUGAUGAUAUUUCAGGUAUUUCACCAGACUUGUGCAUGCACCAAAUCCACUUGGAGGAUGAGUCGAAGUCGUCGAUUGAACACCAGCGCAGGUUGAACCCUAACCUGAAAGACGUCGUCAAAAAGGAGAUCAUGAAGCUACUAGAAGCUGGAAUCAUUUACCCAAUUUCAGAUAGUGCUUGGGUGAGUCCUGUGCACGUGGUUCCUAAGAAAGGAGGAGUUACAGUUGUGAAGAAUGACAAGGAUGAGCUGAUUCCAACACGCACAGUGACUGGACACAGGAUGUGCAUCGAUUACAGGAAGCUGAAUGCAGCAACCAGGAAAGAUCACUUCCCAUUGCCCUUUAUCGAUCAGAUGCUGCAGAGACUUGCAAGCCAUCCCUACUACUGCUUCCUCGAUGGGUACUCAGAAUUUUUCCAGAUCCCUAUCCACCCAGACGAUCAGGAGAAGACCACCUUUACAUGUCCAUACGGCACUUUCGCAUAUCGCAGGAUGCCCUUUGGACUCUGUAAUGCUCCUGCGACGUUUCAGAGAUGUAUGAUGUCCAUCUUCACUGACAUGAUUGAGGAUUUCAUGGAGGUCUUUAUGGAUGAUUUCUCAGUCUACGGAUCAUCUUUUAAGGACUGUCUGGAUAAUCUCUGCAAGGUUCUGGCUCGCUGUGAAGAGAAACACUUGGUCCUUAACUGGGAAAAGUGUCACUUUAUGGUCAGAGAUGGGAUUGUGCUUGGGCACAAGGUAUCUGCAGCUGGUAUCGAGGUUGAUCGCGCGAAGAUUGACGUCAUGACGAGCUUGCCACCACCUGAUUCUGCGAAAUCGGUUAGAAGUUUUCUGGGUCAUGCAGGCUUCUAUCGUCGCUUCAUCAAAGAUUUCAGCAAGAUUGCACGUCCUCUUACUGCUCUGCUCUGUAAAGAUGCUAAGUUUGAGUUUACAGAUGAGUGCCUUGCUGCGUUCGAACAGAUCAAGCAUGCUCUGAUAAGCGCCCCCAUUGUGCAGCCUCCUGACUGGAAUUUGCCUUUUGAGGUGAUGUGUGAUGCUAGUGAUUUUGCUGUUGGUGCUGUUUUAGGACAGAAGAAGGAUAAAAAGCUUCAUGCAAUCUACUAUGCCAGUCGAACUCUGAAUGAUGCUCAAAGGAAUUAUGCUACUACUGAGAAAGAGCUGUUGGCUGUAGUUUUUGCUUUCGAGAAAUUUCGGCCAUACCUUGUGGGAUCGAAGGUGAUUGUGCACACAGACCAUUCUGCACUCAAAUACUUGAUGCAGAAGAAGGAUGCGAAGCCUAGGUUGCUGAGAUGGGUAUUACUCCUUCAGGAAUUCGAUAUUGAGGUCAAGGACAAGAAGGGGGUUGAGAAUGGUGUGGCAGAUCAUCUCUCAUGCAUCAGGAUUGAAGACGAUGUACCCAUAGACGAUUUCCUGCCAGAAGAGAAUGUGUAUUAUGUGGAAACCAAGUUCCAGAGCAGUUUUGACGAAGAAUUGCAGGUUUUUCGAAUUGGAGGAACGUUAGUGACGAGCGACACCACCACUAGUGUCGCGCGUCACCUUACUCAGGCGAACACAGAAACCUCCCAAAUUCGAAGCAGACUUCCUGAGAUCAGUUCAGCUGCUGUAUCCGCUACCCAACGUCCCUUGUAUGCUGAUAUUGCCAAUUAUCUCGCUGCAGAGGCUGAGCCUGAGAACUUUAAGGGCUAUGCAAAGAAGAAGUUCCUGAGAGAGCUGCAAAGAUAUCACUGGGAUGAGCCAUAUCUGUACAAGCACUGUUCUGAUGGGAUUUACAGAAGAUGCAUUGCAGAGUCAGAAGUUCCAGAGGUGCUGUUUCAUUGUCAUGGAUCUGAAUAUGCUGGACACUUUGCAACAUUCAAAACAGUGUCUAAGGUUCUUCAAGCAGGCUUUUGGUGGCCUACCAUGUUUCGCGACGCACAUGCAUUCAUCUCGCAGUGCGAUGCUUGUCAGAGGAGAGGAAAGAUCAGCAAAAGACAUGAGAUGCCACAGAAUUUCAUCCUUGAGGUUGAGGUAUUCGAUUGCUGGGGUAUCGAUUUCAUGGGUCCUUUUCCCUCUUCUUAUGGGAACAAGUACAUCCUGGUUGCUGUUGAUUAUGUCUCAAAGUGGGUCGAAGCCAUUGCCAGUCCCACCAACGAUUCUUCGGUGGUCCUUAAGAUGUUCAAGACCAUCAUCUUUCCUCGAUUUGGAGUGCCUCGAAUUGUUAUAAGUGACGGUGGUUCUCACUUUAUUAACAAGAUUUUCGAAAAAAUCCUAAGGAAACAUGGAGUUCAUCAUCGAGUUGUCACUCCUUAUCAUCCUCAGACGAGUGGACAGGUCGAAGUCUCGAAUCGACAGAUCAAAGAGAUUUUGGAGAAGACAGUGGGCAAAACUCGAAAGGAUUGGGCUGCGAAGUUGGACGAUGCACUCUGGGCGUACAGGACAGCGUUCAAAACACCUCUAGGCACCACACCUUUCCACCUGCUCUAUGGAAAGCCCUGUCACCUUCCAGUGGAGAUCGAACACAAGGCAGCCUGGGCGAUAAAGCUGAUGAAUUUCGACAUCAAGUCUGCUGCAGAGAGGAGACUGAUACAGCUGAAUGAGUUGGACGAAAUCAGGUACCAUGCCUAUGAGAAUUCGAAGUUAUACAAAGAGAGGACCAAGGCGUAUCACGAUUCCAAGAUCCUCUCCAGGCAAUUCGAACCGAAUGAUCAAGUACUUCUGUAUAACUCUCGUUUGCCAUUGUUUCCUGGUAAACUUCGUUCUCGAUGGUCAGGUCCUUUCAUAGUCAAAGAAGUUCGCCCCUAUGGUGCCAUCGUCCUCCUCACACCAGAUGGUAGCAGAGAGUUCACAGUCAAUGGACAAAGGGUGAAGCACUACUGGGCCAAAGCUGAGAUUCCGGAUGGACAUAUCGUGCCUCUAGAUGGCGCACCUCCUGCUUGAAUCGCCAUCAAGUCAAGCUAAUGACUUUAAACAAGCGCUUAGUGGAAGGCAACCCACUGGUGAGUCUGUAAAUAAGUCUUUUGUUUCAGUAAUUUUCGUUUUUCUUUUCGUGUUUUAGGUGAAACAGGGCUGGUGUCGAGCGACACCACCUUCGGUGUCGCUUGUCACUUGCUUCAGAAAAAAAAAAAAAAAAAAAAAAAAAAAUUUAGGAAAUCAGGAAACCGGAGUAAAACCAGAAAUUCGGAUUGGUCUGUUGGGGUAUGAGAGAACAAGUGUCGCACGACACCAUCAUCGGUGUCGCGCGUCACCAUCAUUGCAGCCAGGUACGUUCUCUGUUUUUCCUGUGUUUCUCUGUUUCUUUUCUUUUGUCACCAACUUCGGAUUUGAUUACACUGGGGACAGUGUUAUUCAAGUCUGGGGGAGGUAGUUGCUGACAUUGUGUUUGUUUUUCUUAAGAGUCAGUUGUGUCAAAACGUUUUUGAGUCAAAACCUGUUGGAGACCAUGAUGCUUUUCCUGGAAUUAUUGUGCUGACCUUUCACCUAAGUGACCACUGCUGCAGAUUCAGCCUAGAUCCGACUAAUGAAAAAUCCAAAGGCUGACCAGUUGACUAGAGGCGUCCAUGUUUCCAACAGAAUCCACUAACCUGAGCUAAGUACUGAACUUCACUUUUAACUCGCUGAUGUGACUAAUGCCUUAGAGCUUGAUUCCUCAUUCGUACUUGAUCAAUGAAAGCCUGUGUGAAAUUUAAUGAAGUGAUCUCUCUCCCUUGUGACGAGCUAAGAAAGAAAAAGGGCAAAAAGAUUGAGAUGAUUUUCGCUUAGGAGUGAAGGGCUAGGAAUGUUUCCAAUGAUCCCAUUAUUUCACUUCUAAGAUGGAAUGAUCACACAAAGGAAGGAAGUGAGGGGUAGGAAUGUUUCCCAUGACCCUACUAUUCGCUGAAAACCUUUGAUACAAGGUAAGGGGACAACUCGGGGACUUGGUGGCAAACACCAUCAGUACUCGCAGCUUUAUCCUUAUCGAGUAUGUGCCAUAAAAAAAAAGAAGAAGAAAAAAGAUGAUCAUUGUGCGAAAAGAAUAAGUCUGGGGGAGAGAAAAAGUACCAAAGUUUGUAUGGCUGAUUUGUUUGAGUACAGAAUGGGAAAGAAUCUAGAAGGUUCUGGGCAUUGGAAUCAUCAGUGAGAUCCAGCGAUGAGGGUUUAUGGACGAUGUUGUGAAAUUUUGGACUUAAUCUGGAAAGUUGUGAAUGUCUGCGGAGAAGUACAUGGUGGUUCGAUUUGGAAUGAUGAAGCAGUAGUUGAGUUGCAGGGUGAUCGGUCAAAGCGAUGUUCCAAUGAAAGGUUGAGUCUCUGUGUUUUCAAACUUCUUUCUCUUGUUUGGUGUUCUGUUUGCUUGAGGGCAAGCAAAUGCUAAGUCUGGGGGAGUUGAUAUGUCAUGGUUUUUAUGGUUUUUAACCAUGGUAUAAGUCCUAUUUAUAGAGUCUUUUUAGUGUCUUUCGAGUCUUUUGGAGUCUUUUCAGGUCAUAGGUACGUUUGGAGCUUAACUGGAGACUUUGGAGCACUUUGGAGCUUAAUCAGGAUCAAUUUCGUCAAGAAUGGAUUUUGUGCUUUGGUGACGCUCGACACCAUGGAGAGUGACGCGCGACACUUGUUAGAGAAAUAAGGAAAAGGCGAUUUUGUUUCCUAUUUGAAGAAGGAGUUGGGCCCAAACGUUUUCGAGGAAGCCCAAGACGUGUCUUAGAGAUAUAUAUAGGAUUUGUAUUCCCUUUUUACGUUCACUUUUAGAUUUUGAGAGAGAGAUACUCUGAGUUUUCGGCUUUUGCGAUUUCUGAGCUUGGGGAGACAAGUCUGUACUCUGUUUGUUUAGAGAGAAGAUUUUGAACCCCUUUAUCUAUUUCGAUUUAAUCUAUUGCUUUCUAUUCAUCAUGCUUGUUGUUUCAAUAACCAUGUCUGAGUAGAUCACCUGUUAGGUUUAGGGUUAAUUAGGGUUUUCUCUGAAUGUUUGAUUAACUUGCUAGUUAGGGUUCAUAUCUAUUUGUUCUUCACCUUAGGUUGUUCUUAAAGCUAAUUCUGGACUGAUCACCUAGAAUUUAGAUCUUAGGUUGCUUAAUUGACACGGAAGUGUAAUUGAAUAACUAGAAAGAACCUGAGUUGAGCAAAGUAGCUAUUCGCAAAGGAAUUUGGUUUAGCCGCUUUGUGAACAUAUCGAACUUGUGCAAUUAAGGCUGGUUUAAAUCUGUAGGAUUUACAAAGGAAUUUGGAAUUCUAGGAUUUUAACUUAGAUAAUUCUCACAACGGAAGUUGGUUAAUUAUAGUUCUGUGUUUCGAGUUCAAGAACCGUGCUUAAUACCUGAACCCUGACUUGUUAAGUUGAUUUGCAUUCAUUGAUCUCCUGAAAAUUACCCUAGGCCUAUCCUUUAUCACAUCGAAUUUACAACUGUCUUCAUCGCUGCUUUAUUUAUUUUUGUCGCAUUGUUAUUUCUUCUGCAUAUUUCUGCUUAGCGUAACUCUAUCUACAUAAGGUUUAUUGAGUGAUCUCUUGUCUCUGUGGUUCGACCCCUAGAUACUACAACUGCACAUCUGUGCUCUUGCAGAGUAGCUUAGGGAUUAAACUUUGAGCAUAUCACCAGGCACACAAAUCUCUGUGGAUUCGAUCCCUAAAUACUACAACUGAUUAGCUGUGCACUUGCGGCUUUCAUUUGUUUUGUUAAGGGUAAAACUUGUUCCCUCACGUAGUUGACACGAGCGAGCACGCAUCAAUAACACUGCUGGUUCUUUACCAAAGUGCAGCCCAUAACUCGUAGUGUAUCGCAAAUAGUUCAACACCCUAGUUAUUGCUUUCCAAUGAGUAUGACCUGGAUUACUUGUGUAUCGACUUAACACGUUUACCGCAUGCGCUAGAUCGGGUCUUGUACAAUUGGUCAAGUACAUCAGACUUCCAAUUACCCGUGCAUACUCCACCUGUGAUACUGGUUCACCUGUGUUCUUGGUUAGGUGAGCUUGCAUAUCCAUUGGAGUUUUUGCGGUUCCAUUCGAGUAGGUCUUAAACCUCUCUAGGAUCUUUUCAGCAUAGUGAUCUUGAGACAGAGUAAUUCCAUCUGAAGUUCGAAUGAUCUUAAUCCCAAGUAUGACAUCUGCAAGUCCCAUGUCUUUCAUGUCAAAUUUUCCAUUGAGCAUGUUCUUGGUUUGUUGAAUGAUAUUUUUGUUACUGCCAAUAAUCAGCAUGUCAUCUACAUACAGACAUAGUAAGAUGUAUCCGUUUGGAGUACAUUUGUAGUAGAUGCAUUUAUCACAUUCGUUAAUGCUGAAACCAUUUGACAUCAUCACAUUGUCAAACUUUUGUGCCAUUGUUUUGGAGCUUGUUUCAGUACAUACAGUGAUUUCACGAGUCUACACACUUUGUGCUCUUGACUCUUAACCUCGAAACCUUCCGGUUGUUUCAUGUAUAUCUCUUCUUCUAAAUCACCAUUUAGAAAGGCAGUUUUAACAUCCAUCUGAUGGAUUUCCAAGCCUCGCAAGGAUGCUACACCAAUCAAUAUUCUGAUCGAAGUUAUUCUCGUAACUGGAGAAUAGGUGUCAAAGAAAUCUAGACCUUCUUUUUGUCUGAAUCCUUGCACCACAAGGCGUGCCUUGUACUUAUCUAUAGAACGAUCAGCUUUCAGCUUGGUCUUGAAGAUCCAUUUACACCCUAGUGCUUUGAACCCUUGAGGUAAGUCAGUUAUCUCAUAGGUAUGAUUCUGCAUUAUAGAACUCAUCUCACUAUUGACAGCAUCCUUCCAAUAAGGAGCUUCUGGUGUAGACAUGGCUUCUGUGUAAGAUCUCGGUUCAUUCUCGACAAGAAAGACCAUCAUGAAAUCUUCACCAAAAGAUUUUUUCUUACGAGCUCUUUUGCUUCGUCUAGGUUCAUUUUCAACCUGUUCUACUUCCAUCUCAUUUACAGAAGUAGUCACAUCUCUUUCUUCACGAGUGCCUUGAUUCCAUGAUAGUAUUCACUUGGACAUCUGAUACAUCUAACUUAUGUACCAGAAAUUGAUAAGCACUACUAUUGUGAGCAUAUCCAAUAAAGAUACAGUCCACAGUCUUAGGUCUAAUUGUGACCUUCUUUGGAAGUGGCACUGCGACUUUUGCUAAGCACCCCCACACUUUCAGGUAUUUGUACGAAGGUACAUUACCUUUCCAAAGUUCAUACGGUGUUUUGCCAGUUACCUUACGAGGUAUUUUGUUGAGGAUAUAAUUUGUGGUGAGCAGUGCUUCCCCCCCCCACAGAUUCUGGGGUGUCCCAGAUUCCUGCAAUAUUGCAUUCAUCAUCUCCUUCAGAGUUCGAUUCUUUCUUUCCGCAACUCCAUUGGAUUUAGGUGAAUAGGGGGCUGUAGUUUGAUGGACAAUUCCAUUUAUCUUGCAAAACUCAUUGAAAGGUCCAUCAUAUUCUCCACCCCUAUCACUUCUGACCAUUUUGAUGGUCUUUGCCAGUUGCUUUUCAACUUCGAGUUUGUACUCUUUGAAUUUGUCCAAGACUUCAUCUUUACUACUCAGCAAGUACACGUAGCAGUACCUUGUACAAUCAUCAAUGAAAGUCACAAAAUACUUUUUACCACCUCUUGAUGGUAGAUAUUUUAAAUCGCAUAUAUCAGUGUAUAUUAAUCCAAGAGGUUCAGUAGUUCUUUCAACAUGAGGUGAUGGUGUUUUUGUGAGCUUUGCUUGGACACAAAUUUCACAUUUGUCUUUGCUAAUUUUGCACUUUGGAAUCAUGUUCAAAUUCAUCAGUCUUUGAAUGGACUUGUAAUUAACAUGUCCUAAACGUUCAUGCCAAAUAUUAGAAGACUCAACCACAUAAGCAACUGGGUUUUUAUUAAUUAAAUCUUUGAAAUCAUGUACAACUUUGUUUUUCUUCAAGAUUGUCAUUACAGACAUUUUGAUCAAUCCGGACUUAACAUAACCUUUUCAUAUGAAAACACUAUUCUUCCUAAGUAUCAGCUGGUCAGACUCAAAGUUGAUUGCAAAACCAUGCUUGCUCAUUAGAGUACCAGAGAUCAGGUUCUUCCUCAUGUCUGGAACAUGCUUCACGUUGUUGAGAGUAACCUCCAUGCCUGAAGUCAUCUUCAACACAACUUUUCCAGUACCUUCAAUCUUGGAUUGGGAAAUGUUUCCCAUCUUCAGUUGAUCAUCAAUCUUGCACUUCUGAUAGGUACUGAACAUUUCUCUGUCAAUACAGAUGUGUGUGGUAGCACCUGUGUCAUACCACCACACCUUGGGGUUCUCUUCCACCAAGUUAGCCUCUUGCUUGCGACAGGGCCUUUUGCUUGUAAGCAAGAUAGUUCUGGAAGUAUGCCCAACUUGGAGGUAACUUCUCAAUGAAGCAGUUCACCGUGAAUGUCUCACAUAACUUCAUUCCUUCAGUCCUAAUCUCUUGAAAGAUUAGUUCCAGCUCGUGCACUUGUGGCAUGAUGGGACGAGAAUCCACCAUCUUAAACUUGAGGAGUUUCGCAGUAGCGAAUUUCCCAGAGCCGACAUUGUACGACUUGUACUUCUUUUCCAAAGCAUCCCAGAGUUCUUUGGAAAUUUUGACCUCACUGUACACAUCAAACAGCUGGUCCACCAGGCGAUUCUUGAUGUGCCCUUUGCAUAGGAAGUCUGAGUUCUUCCAUGCUUCAACGGUAGCCAGAAUCGUAGCAUCUUUGUUUCCUUCUGGCACUGUUGGGGGAUCCUCUGUGAGGUACUUGCUCAGCUGCAUUGACGACAGAAAGAAUUGCAUCCUUUCUUGCCACUGCUUGAAGUUCGAACCAUCGAACUUGUCAAGAUGAAGUUCUGCGGUUACCGACGCUGGCAUUCUGACUUCACCCGAGCUUCCAUUGGUAGUCAUGUCGACAUCACCGUUAGUCAUAGUUGAAUCUGUUCACAGAAGAUAACCGAAGUUAGUAUUGAGAACCAAGAUUCAAAUCAGCGAUUAAGACGUUUAAGUCGCUAUGAACAGCGUUUUUCCGAAAAUGAUUCGCUUUGAGUUUCCACAGAUAUUACCAAUAGGUAUUCUUAGAACUCGAAAAUAGGUGUUCCCAGAAUCAUCUUUUGAUGACAUUCUUAAACCCUAACAAUUUUUUCGGACCUGUCUAUGACUGCCGCAUAAACCGUUUCAGAAGAUUCGUCUUUAACAGAUCAAAAGUUCUACGAAAUAGCUAAGAAACUUUCUCAGAAACUUUGUAGAUCGAUUUUAAAAACUCGCUUUUCCAAAAACCGUUUAUAAAAACUGUUUCGCAAUAUUCAAUCCGAUUCAAGCGAUAAGCAGGAAGCGGAUUUAUUGAGUUAAGAUUGUAGGACCGCAAAAAUCCGAUUGAAAUCACGAAUAGAAAAUAGCAAUAUUAUAAACGAUAUGUUAAGGUAAGAGAUUAAAACGAGAGUUUGAAAACCGAUUGAAAACAGACGAACACACGGAGUCGAGAUAUGAUCUCUUUCCUUAACUCAAUAAAUUGUCCGUAAUGUGUGACGGUUUGUUGCGAUUUUUGAAUCCCAGGAUACAACCGUGAUGAGACUAUUACGCAACACGCGUAAUAGAAUCUGCGAACUGAGAUUAUACUACGCUAUAGCUCUCGAGACACUUACGAUAUUAAGACGAGAGGGAUUUGCUAGAAAUAAUUAUUUGCUGUGUGUUUGGUGUAUUCGAGAAUUCGAUUUUUCAUUCGAUGAUCUAGAAUGAGAGAAGAGGGCGUCUAUUUAUACUGGAAGGUUCAGCUUGAUCCGCAAGGAAUAAGCUUUGGCAAAAAGGAAUAUUCACGAGAUAUUCUCCUUUUUCCGCAAGUAAAAGGAUUCGGAAAUCUUCCGUUAUUAUCUGGACGCAAUCUUUUAUUUCCUAAGAUUUAUCCUUUCAAUAUGCAAAAAAAUAUUUCGCAGGAACUAAGAAGCCCACGACCCACACCCAGCUAUAUAGAGCCCAAGAGCCCAAAAGUCCUAAGAGCCAACUAAAAAAAUGCAACAAGCAACGAGCAACGAGCCCGGCACCGGCGACGGCGGCGGCGCGCAUAGGUAUUUUUGCAUAAUGCCCUUUUACUUCCACAAUGCUGUUGAUCCUUAUUGUGAGAAGGCCAUAUAUAUACAAAAUAUUUUUCUCCUUAGUGAGCAAUGUGGGACAAAUACACUUCCACUAAACUUCCAUUUUUAGUUAUAGCCAAUAGAAACAUUUCAUUUCUAUAGGCUCAAACUCAAAUCUCAAAUGAAUUUAUAAGACUCAUUUGCUUAUUAAAUUUCAUUUCUUAUUCACACACAAACUUAAUAUUACAAGUCCAAAUAUUUAUUAAUAUUAGGUUCAACAAAAGACACUAAGACAAAUCGGAGUGUUCAAAGUAUUAGAGGAGUUGAUUUCAAGGUCUUGUUCUAGAAGAACAGAGGUUGUAAGUUCAGAACACUUGGAACGUCUCUUCAAUAUAUUAUUACCCAUUAAUGACAUCCUAUGAAAUGGAUCCGUAUACUGAAAAGUCUGAAAUAGAAAAAAGAAUAGUUGAUGAUAAAGGGCAGGCUAAAGAAGUGGAAUUGACAAUUUCUGUCAUGUCUAAGAGUAGAAAGUAUAUAAAAGCUUUUAAGAAAAGACUUGAUGAAUGGCAGGAAGAAUAUGACCAGGGAGUUUUAUAAAGCUGAGGAUGAUGAAAAAUCGAACAUACAAAGUAUUUAGCCAUGUCUAAAACCAGAAUAUCCUACUGCCAAAUCUGUUGGGUAGUAGAACUUUUCUAGUCAAUGCAGUGGCAAAUCGAAUAUGGGGGAAGAAGUGUAAGAUUUUUUCUCGAAAACUUGGUGAAACUUCUUAUAUGUUUCAUAUUCCGGACGCACCAACUAGAGCUUGGGUUCUACAACGAGGUUUAUGGCACAUAGAUGAUUGUAUCACGUUUUUUGUUGCUCCAUGGACUUCUGCUGCCACUUUAAUAUAUAUUUUUAUUGUCCCAUUUAUUUCUUGCUGAACAAGAAACCCAAAUGUGGAAAGAAAAGAAGAAGAAAUUGUUUGUGAUUUGAUCCUUUGAAGAGAUCAAUACACAUGUUUUUACAUUUUUAAAUAAUAAAAUUAAUCCACCAAACACAUGCCUGACUUUUCUAAUAUUUUUUUACUAUGUUGUUCCAAUUUGUAUUUGUUGGGUAUAUGAUAUAUCAUGAUGCAAAUGGAGAGUAUCAGUCUAAAUAAGGGUGCAUACUUCAAGCUAACCUAUAGCAAACAUGUAAGAAUCUCAGAGAUGAAAAAAAAAAACAACUCAAGCGGAAGAGUAUAAGAGAACUGAUUACCAGAUGGAUUAAAGGCAAGAAACGUUUUUUGGUAUCUUUGUCCUCCCAUUCAAACUCAGUUAUCUCUUCUCCAGGACCCAUAUCUAUUGUAAACCAGGCAAUUCGUGGGACACUUGUAGCAUCUAAGGGAAGCUUUCUCAGCUGUGGACACUCUUCUACUGUUAAUUUUUGCAAUAACAGUAGAUACUCUCCAGCUUAAGCAAAUUUCUUAUCGAAAACACUUCUAGUUUCUGAAACGGUGUAAUACCUCUAACUGUAAGAUUGACUUCUUUCUCUUUGCUUAUAAUAAUAUCUUCUACUUCUUCUGAAUAUCCACUUUGUAGGUAGACGACAAGGUUUGGAGCAAACAGUGGAUUUCUAAGUUCUCUAGUUUGGGAAAUUUCGUGGCUUAUGAUGAACAAGUUGGGGUUUGCUGAAUUUGAGUUCUGGUUUAAUCAAGACUGGUUAUAUCAUUAAUUCUUUAAGCCAGUUAAAGCAUUAUUAUGGUUCUGUUUUGGAAGUGGGUUCACUGACAUUGAUUUUUUUGUUUUGUUUUAUAAUUUAAUUCAUUUUCAUAGAUGAAACUGAAAGGUUACAAAUUACAAUGAUUCCCCGCAGGGUUACAGCGCAAAUAAACCUCAGACCGGUGAUCAUGUAUAAGCUUUCCAGCAGUCAAAUCCCAUACCUAUUGGAUAUGAUCAAAUAUUAUAUCAAUUGUUAGAAACACAUACGUUGGGGAAAAGAGAAUGCGCAAGAUCCAUUUAUAGAUAUUGCAGGCUUACCUUUACAACAUUGUCAAGUCCUCCAGUCACUACCCAACGACCAUCGGGAGUAAAUUUGAUAGUGUUGAUGCCACGAGUAUGACCCUUGUACGUCUGUAUGCAUCCCUUCUUUCUGAUGUCCCAAAUCUUCAAAUUCGUGUCACUUGAUCUAUGAUGCCAAAAAUUCACCAAACGGAUGACAUUCAACAGCAGAACAGUUGGAUCUAUGUCCAGUAAAAGCUCGAACCACUACACUUCAAGAGCAAGAGUGAACAUGUUAGACCUCAUAAUUCUAAAGUAAACGAUAGAUAUGGUGUGGUACACUGCUCAAAUAUCAGUAUCUCUAUAUGUUCCCAUUUGAUGGAACUAGCUAGGCAUAAAAAACAAAACACACUUUUUGCUCAACGAGGAAAAAUUUAGACAAGAGAGAAAAUGUGAAACAUACCAUUAAAGAAGUAGGCUUGCCGAUCGCCCAAAGGUUGACCUUGUAAUCAUCACCACCAGUAAUAAGGACCCGUAAUGUCUUCUUUCCAAUAUUUAAGCAAUUUACAUUUGCGGAAUGUGCCAAAACUCCUCUAAGUUUCCAAAUUUGUCAAGGUAUAAGCAAACACCAGACAAGAACAGCUAAAGAAAGGAGCAGCCUUUGAAGCAACUCGACAGCAAAACAUAAAGCAGGUCAUAAAUGGAUAGAAGUACUUUCACAUACAAAACAUAUCCAGAAAAUAUCCAUUUUCUAUCAUAUUGAGCAGCCAAUGAUAGAAACAUUUGACCCGGUAAUUUCUGCUGAAAUCUUGAAAUGCUAAUCAAAACUUGAAGCUUAUCUUGAAAUCUUGAAAUGCUAAUCAAUAGCAAACUAAGCUUUGCUCUUGGGAGUUUCUAAAGAUAAAGCCCUAACGAUUCAGUGAUAUAAAAAAAAAACGACAAAAAAAUCUCAGGAUGGAGCUAAAAAUCCAGAGUUCGUUCAAUUUUACUCAGCUUAAGAAUCAACAAAAUCGCCAGGAAUAUAAAAGGAUACGCAGCUUAUAUCCACGCUUCGCCAUUUUCUACUCGAUUCCCAGCAAAUCCGUGGGAAUCAAUGCAAUCCGAAUCCGGAAUCGAAUCUCUAGCUUCCGUUAUCGAUCUUAAAAACGGUGAAUCGGAGCUGAAAAAAAUUCCCAAUUGUCACUACACGACAGAGCUCGAGAUUUUCGGGAGAUUCAAAGGGAGAAACAUGAAGAAGAAGGAGGUUGCUUCCCGUUGGGAAUUCAAAUCUAAAACGUGAGAAAAGAAUCAAAUUCCGGGAACAAGAAUUUUGAAGGAAACGAGAUAAUCAGAGAUUCAAAUAGUGACACGGAGCAGAAAGAAGAAAAGAAACAGAAGAGAAGAAGAAAAAUGGUAAACCGAAGGAAGUUUUUAUUUUAUUUUUUUUCUUCAGAGUUAUACAUUUUUUUAUUUUUUUAUUUAUAGUUCGGUCGGUCCUUUUUUUAAUUUUUAAUUCAGAUUUUUAAGCAUUUUUCUUGGACAGUGGACCUCAUUUCUUCGUUGUUCGUUCUUCUCAGUUCUGACGGAAAUAUCAUUUUGUCCAGGCAUUGAAAUGAAUAUGAAGUUAUGAAAAUACCCUUGCUUUUAAUUGACUUCUAUUGGUUACAGUUUUUUGAUUUUUUCUCCAACUCCUUCAUAAUUAAACAUUUUUUAUGUUGUCAAAUAUUAUUCGAUAGGUGAGGAAACACUUCAUCAUCUCUUGGGUUUGUUUGUUUCUAUUGUCAACCUUAUAUAUAAAUAGGGUAAAUGUUUUGUUUGAUAAGACGUAAUAUUAUACAAAUAUAACACUUAAAUACUCGAAUCAAAUAGAUAAAUAGAGAAUUUUGAAUCGAAGCCUAUACAUAGUGUCUAGAAAAUCAAUAGAAACAUUUAAAUGAUUUAGAACCUUUAAACGAUUUAGAUAUUAAAAUCAAUUUUCAAAAAUAUUUACCAAAACUUUGUGGAUGAAAGAUGUUUUGCACAAUAUUUCGAAAAUUGAAACUGGACUAAAUUAUGUAGGAAAGAAGAAUCUACGACCGAGCUAACAAACACCCGAACACGAAACUCAUUAUGAUUAAACAAAUAUCAAACCUUUUUUUUUUUCUGACAUUUAUAUCAUGUUUUUCUAGGUCGGUCAGUUUCUAUGGUGCUUCUCAUCUUUAGAUGCUUUAGUAUUUCUCUUACAAUUAUGUUCAUUGUAUUUAGUGGUUGGAUGAUUUACUUUAAGAUUAGAAUACUAAGAUUUGAAUAUUCAUACAACAAUUUCUACUGUAGUUGAAAAAAACAAAGUAUAGCAAAUUGAACACAUUAUUGAAACACAUGUUAGGAAUCUUAUACUGAAAAUUUGAUAGAACCUAAAGUAAUAUAUAAGUGAAACGGAUCAAUCUGCACCAAUUACUUUUAAGUCAGAACCCAUAAAACAUAUUGUGGUAGCGGAACCCAAAUUUUGUUGACUUACGGUAGUAAUAUAUAAGUGAAAUUAAUCAAUAUGCUAAUUACCAGUUACUUUUAAAUAAGAAUAUCAUAACGUAAUGUGAUAGCAUAAUCCAAAUUUGUUGAUUUAAGUAGGAUAGCCCGAAUAAGAAAUAUUGUAGUUCGUGUAUGGCAUACUGCAAAUCUUAGAAUAUGUUUUGGUUUGAGUCUUCAAGAUGUGCUAGAUAGUUAUCAUCUAAAGGAAAUGGACUUAAAGAACUAUAUAAGAGAUACACUCAUAAUUCAUAUAUACCAGAAUCCAUUUUAUUGCCAAUUUUUUUUAGUUAGGAAUUAUAACCAAUGUUCAAAAAAUCGGCCUCAUAGAACUAUAUAAGAGAUACACUCAUAAUUCUUAUAUUGAAAUCAACAAAUCUUAGAAUAUGUUUUAUUUGUAUUUUUAGUUAAAAAAAACAAAGUAUAGCAAAUUGAACACAUUAUUGAAACAAAUGUUAGGAAUCAUAAGUUAGAACCUAUAAAACUUAGAAACAUAUAUCAUGAUAUAGAAUCAAAGGUCAUCUCACUAAAAAUUAUUAUGCUCACAUAUGGUUUAGUGAUUCAAAAAAAUAAAUAAUCAAACAUACGAAUUAACCAAAAUAUAGUCUUAAAAGUUUUAGGUCUGCUAAAAUGUUUUUUUUUAAAGGUGUUACUAUGCUAAGAGCAGGUCCAUUGGAGUAUGAUAUCUAGAAAAAGGCCCAGUAUCAUAGGCAAAUCAUUUAAAAUAAAUAAGAAAAAAGCCCAAUUGUUAUCAACCCGUUUGCUAUUUAGCAGACUUAACAUCUCGUAUGUUAAGACAGGUGGCUGCAGCGGAUUGGUUAAAAAAAUUUAAGCGUUUUUCCGAAAACUGCCCUUCUCUUCCACGACUUGUCAUUUUUUCGAACAAUCACUUUUUCUUUCUUCUGGGUUUCUCUCGCAGCCACCGGCGAUUUCUCUGUGGUUAUCGAUUUCGGCCCCGUUUACGUCAGUUUCAGCUAGGAUUCGACGGUGGAAGACUGCUCAAGGUAAGACCGAACUCUAUCUCUUCGAUUUUUUUAUUGUUCGGUCGAAAUUUGUAAAUUAGGGUUUCGUAGAUUUGGGGAUUUUUAAAAUUUCAUGUUCGGAUCGAUUGAAAAUGGCGUUUUCGGUUUGAAAUCUGUGUGUUGUAGCAAUUGAUACAAAAGAAUGAAUCCGAUUUGAUGGGUUUGUGGUAGUUUGCUUUUAGGGUUUCUGUGAUUUGGGGAAAUCGGUUUUGAAGGUAGGAUCCAUUGAAAUUUGGGUUAGUGUGGUGUGUGCGGUUGUUCUUCGAAGUGAUACAAGUUCGAUGAUGGCAAUAUGUGUUCGAUUCCUGUACUUGGAUAAAGUUGGUUGAUAUCGGUUUGUGUUCUCGAAUUUUGAUCACUUUACCUGCUCUUGAAUCAGCUGUAGUCACUUGAUAACUGUUCUUUUCGAGUUAUGUGAUGUUGGUUUAUCGUUGCAAAUGUUUAUGAGUUAUGUGAUGAAUGAAUAUUGACUAUCGAUGUUUAAGUAUUGAUUGUUGAGUUUUGUGGUUUAGAUAUGUUUUGAUAUGAAUGUAUAUAUGGCUGUUCUGUCUGAAAUGGAUAAGGUUAGUUUAGUUGUUUAUAUUACAUGGUCUGACUACAUUGAUAUCUGUUUAUGACAGAUAAUGCCGAGUCUCCCAAGUGACACCUCUUCCGAACCUGAAGUGGACCUUAGCUGGGCAUAUGCGGAUGCGACGUUUGGCAUCGCAGAGAAAUGCUUUUGUGGGCGACGAAUGAUAUUGGAGUCAAUGACCGGUGCAGGACCAAACUUACCAGGCCGCAAGUACUAUACUGCCCGGACUGGCUUGAAGAGGUAAUGGACAUAAUUUGUUGUUUUUAUGUACUAUUGUGUUGUUUUUAAUGGACAUACUGUGUGGUUUUUAUGUACUAAUGUGUUUUUUGUUUCUGAUUAAGGGACACCGCAUUCAUCAUCACCGCUGGCAGUGGUGGGAUGAGGCGGUAACCGAGCAGCUCUCCAUUGUGGACUCGACGCUAAGAGAGCAUAAGGAGAUGCUGACAAGGAUGGGUCGGAGUCCGUUUGAUCCAACCAUUGGGGAGAUAAACGCAGCGGUCAGAGUCCUCCAAGCAGAAGUGGGUAGACUUAAGGAACAGAAACAAGGUGAAGGGUUUGUCACCUUGUUUUUUAUUUUUGUUAUUGCAGUAAUCUCGUACUUCUUUAAGUAGGUGUAGCCUCGGUUUAGCUAUGUUCGACUGGUUAACAAUGGUUUAUUUUACUCCAUACGAGGAGUUAACUAUGACAACCUUGUUAGAUUGUCUUUAUUUACGGUACUAGGACUUCAAAACUUGUAAUGGUAUGUUAUGGAGCUAUGAAGCUAUUAUGAUAUGAAGUACUCUAUUUAAUGAGUUGGUUGAUGUAUUGAUUGUUGUGUUUGUUUGAUGUAUUAAGUUAGUUUUAAUGCUUUUUGUGAGGUUAAUGGUGGACCAAUCGAAAGAACCAAGUAAAGCUUCAGGUUCAUCAUUAUGUUAAGGUCAGUCUUCUCUCUUCUUCGUUUGCUUUAGUAGUCCAUUAGGAUUGUGAUAAAUUCUUGAUGACUUUAUUAGGUAAAUGUCUUUCAUAUUAAUGAUCGUAAAUUUAGGGUUGGUUUGUAAAAAGUAAAUGCUUUGUGUUAAGCCUUUUGCUUUCUAUCAUAUCAUAUCAAUGCCAUAGUUAUUACUAAAACCUAAACUUCUUCAAUAUUUUAAAAGUAGUAAAGACUUAAACUUAAACUUCUUCUAUAUUUUAAAACUUCAAAGACUUGAACUUAAACUUCUUCUAUAUUUUCAAACUUCAAAGACUUAAACUUCCAAAUCGUAUCCUUCUUCUUUCAAAACUUCAACUUCGCCUUCUACUUCUAAACCCCAACCUGAAACUCACUCACUUAUGGAUAUCCCUAACCCCUACCAAAAUGGUGAAGGUUUUGUUAACCUCUUAACAAGCCAGCUAGUUAAUGAGGUUAAUGCACCAACUAUCGACCUUCGAUCAGCCGACCUCCCACAUUUCAGUUCACAAGUUUUUGGGGAACCAACUCAAGGAGGCAGGAAUCAGGCGGAGCGAAGGAAAUGGACGCCAAAGGAAGACCUGGUUUUGAUCAGUGCCUGGUUGAAUACAAGUAAGGACCCGGUGGUUGGUACAGAUCAGAAAAAUACAGCCUUCUGGAAACGGAUUGUCGAUUUGUUCAACUCCUGUCCGGAUCUAGUUGGUCAGCCCAGAAGAGAGGUUAGCACCUGCAAGCAGAGAUGGGGACGUAUCAAUGACCAUGUCUGCAAGUUUGUUGGGAGUUAUCAAGCCGCCACGAAGGAGAAGAGCAGUGGCCAAAACGAUAACGAUGUCAUGAAAGCUGCUCAUGACAUCUUCUAUAACGACUAUGAGAUGAAGUUUACCCUAGAGCAUGCAUGGAGUUUACCCUUAACUCAGUUAUGCGAUGUUGGUCAGUCGUUAGUUUGUAUUAUUUUGUUCUCUUUGAUGUUAUUUGCCAUUUCGUAUGUUUGUAUGAUGAUAUUUGGUAUGGGUGUAUUGAGUUUUCUUUAAUUUUUGCUUUUUCAGGUCCUCAAUGAUGGCUAGGUGGAGUCACUUUAUGAAGUUUACGUCGUUGUGUGACCAGAAUAUUAUCAACUUGUGGUUGUCAUGAAAGUAUUUUGGAAUUUAGCACUUUAUAUUUCACGAGAUUUCAUUUUGUGGAUGUAGUGUAAUUGUAUUUUUGUGCACUUUGCAAGUUGUAAAACCCGUGACUCAAAUACUUCUCAUUUAUAUACAGUCUUUACUUCUUCACAUUCUUCACCAAAUUCUCAAAAACACAUACUGAAAAUCUCUUUCUACCAAACCACAAACUGCGUUCUGUCAUAAAUUUUUUUUCAAUAUAUAGCAAACACAAACACCAAACUAUGGCAUCUUCCUCAAACAACGAUUAUGAUGAUGAUUUUGAAGACGCGUUUGAUGGCAUAUUUGAUCAAAAAUUUGACGAGGCUGUCCAAGAAGUUCUAGACCGUCAAACAAGAGCAAAGCAGAAGAAGAAGCGUGCGUACAUUGAAAGGGAACGCGAACAAGGCCACAACCGUCUGUGGAAUGAUUAUUUCGCUGAAGAUGCAACAUAUCCUCAUCAUCUUUUCCGUCGCCGUUUUAGAAUGAACAAGGACUUGUUCUUGCGCAUUGUUCAUCGCCUAUCUACUGAAGUUCCAUACUUUCAACAAAGAAGAAAUGCGGCUGGCAGAUUUGGUCUUUCCGGUUUACAAAAAUGUACAGUAGCUAUCCGUAUGAUGGCAUACGGUUGUGCGGCUGACGCAUUUGACGAAUAUCUUCGUCUAGGUGCAAGUACUGCGUUGUUAUGUUUGGAAAACUUCACUGAAGGAAUAAUUAAUUUGUUUGGUGAUGAAUACUUGAGAAGACCCACUCCAGCCGAUCUCCAACGCCUCCUCGAUGAAGGACAAUCACGGGGAUUUCCCGGGAUGAUUGGAAGUAUUGAUUGUAUGCAUUGGGAGUGGAAGAAUUGUCCAACCGCUUGGAAAGGACAAUAUACGCGUGGUGCUGGAAAACCGACAAUCGUCUUAGAGGCAGUAGCAUCCUACGAUCUUUGGAUCUGGCACGCGUUCUUUGGGCCUCCAGGUACAUUAAACGAUAUUAAUGUACUUGAUCGUUCACCUGUUUUUGAUGACAUAUUACAAGGUCGAGCUCCAAAAGUGCACUACUGGGUUAACGGAAAUGAAUAUCGUUUGGCGUACUACCUUACGGAUGGCAUUUAUCCUAAAUGGGCAACUUUCAUCCAAUCAAUCUCACUUCCUCAAGAUCCUAAAUCUACGUUAUUUGCUACACGUCAAGAGGCAGUCCGCAAAGACGUCGAACGUGCUUUUGGAGUUCUCCAAGCUCGGUUUGCGAUUGUAAAAAACCAUGCUCUUUUCUGGGAUAAAGAAAAAAUUGGCAAGAUUAUGCGAGCGUCAAUCAUUUUGCACAAUAUGAUUGUGGAAGACGAACGAGGUACCCACACUUUAGUAGAUACAACACAAUUUGAUCAAGUUGAAGGAACUAGAACUUCACAUGUGGAUAUGACAUAUUCUACAAAUAUGUCUACAAAUCUGAACAAUGUGAUCAGCGAUCGAAUUCAAAUCCGAAAUGAAGUUCGGGAUAGGACAAUGCAUCUUCGAUUGAAAGCCGAUUUAGUGGAACAUAUCUGGACCAAAUUUGGUACUUUUGAUAUUUAGAUAAAUAUGUUAUGUAUUUUAAAUAUCUAUAGUAUUUAUGUUUAUGUUUUUAUUUUUUUUGUAAUGAUUCUAUUAAUAUGAAAGUUUUAAUUACAUAAAAAAAAUUUUAAAUUUGCAAAAAAAAAUUAAUUUUUUAUUCCUAACAACCUUUAUCUCGGGUUCACUAAUGGAAGCCCAAAUCAACCUCAGUAUCUUCACUGUUCACGUCUGCCAAAAGUAAUACUAUUUUAAUGUUAACAACCCCAUUAGUAGUAUGACUAAUGGACAUGCCCUAAGCUUCAAAUUGUAUUGUCUUCACUCUUCAGUAUAAGACUAAUGAAUAUUUAAUUUACAAUUUUGAAUUUUCUAAAUGGAGUAGGCCAAGAUCAGGCCCAAGCUAUAACCGCUUCCUACAGGCUAUUGAUGCAAUCAAAUGUUACAAAUUGCAAACGGCUAUUUGCAAUUUGUGUUCGCAUUGGUCCAUUGAAUUUUCUUUUUCUUUUUCUUUUUUAUAUCUUGUAUCGAGUCAUAUGGAAAUGGACAACACUCAGUUUAAUACUAGAUGCCCGGUAUCGGUUCUUAUCAGCUUCGCUGCUUUAUAUAUAGUCGCCGUCUGCAAGAAUCAUUCUGAGAAAUGCUAGACAAAAGUGAGAAAGACGAUUUCGUAAAAGAAAGAAGAUUGAGUUUUUCCAGAAACUACUCUACAAGAUUGUUGUAGUUUCUGGACACGCAGCUAUUUCAAACGACGAACCAAUGUUCAAGACCGGUGGGCGGUGAAUAAUUGUGCAUAUCAAUUAAGCUUGCGAAUUUUUUUUUUUUUUUUUUUGGCUGAAGAUUUGUUCUUGGGUUCUUGUUUUAAUGUUCUUAAUGUGGUGAAGCCAUUAAAAAAGGAAUGUGAAAACUCUUAAAAUUAAAAAGACUCUUUCCAUGUCUUCUUAAGUGAAGUUGUCUCUUAAGCUUAUUGCCCCCAAAUCAGAAAGCCUCUAGAUAUAGUUUGGGAUUAGAUGGAAGUCAUAGCAUCUUCAGAUUAGGUUUAGGGGGUUUAAAUUAAAGAGUCUGAAAAACAGGAUCUUCAUGAUUUAGCAAAAUCAUAUAACUUUUCAUCUUGAUUCCUCCGGUUAACAAUACAAACACACUGCAAGAUGAAAUAGAAAAAGCUACAGGUAGAGGAAUUUGAUUUUGAAUAGUGAGGAAUCAAAAUACACAGUAAAUUCAGAGGCAUCACAUGCUUUUAUGAUAUAUCCUUUCACGUAAAAGCAUAAAAACUGUUGAUUAUAUAAAUACAUGUAGCUUGAGAAAAAAGCAAUCCGCCUUAACUUAUUACAUAGAAAAAUGAAAACAGAAAAUCCAAUUGAACAACACAACACACUGCAGAGAGAUAAGAAUGCAUAGGAAAAAACAAUAAUACAAUCCAAUGAACAACACAUCACACUUUGAGGAAGAAAGAAAAGCAGAAGAAGAAGCGUGGAUUCUGGUUUCUGACUGUGAGGAAUCCCAAUCCAGCUUAAGGUAUGGUUAGUCAUACAGAACCUGUUAAGAAGAAAUAAAAUAAACAAAGUUAGUGAAUAUACAGAAAUUCAUCUAAAACUGCGAGGAAUAUCCAGCAAAUUCUGCCUCACCAUUAAUUUACUAAUUUUAAUCAGUUUCUAUUAAUUUACUAAUUUACGAAUGUGAGAGGAAACGAAGAAGAAAGAAAAUACUGUUUGUGAUUUAGUCAUUUGAAGAGCUCAAUGCACGUAUGUAUCUAAACUUUUGAAAUUAAUGACCCCUCGUAAAUAUCCAACAAACACAGGUCUGAUGAUUUUGCAGAUAAUUUUCUAAUUUUGUGACCCAAUUUGUGUUUUGUUGGGUAUCAUGAUGCAAAUGGAUCAUAUCAGACUAAAAAAAAAAACGAUCACACUUCAUUCUAACCUUGAGCAAACUUGAAAGAAACUCAGUAAGAUAAAUUAAUUUAUUCAAGCGGAAGAGAAUAAGAGAAAUGAUUACCGAAUGGAUUAAAGGCAAGAUACGUUUUUUGGUAUCUUCAUCCUCCCAUUCAAGCUCAGUUUUCUGUUCUUCAGGAUCCAUAUAUAUUCCAAACCGGUCAAGUCGUGGGACACUUGUAGCAUCAAAGGGAAGCUUUCUCAGCUUUGGACACUUUCUUACUUCUAUGCGCUGCAAUGAUGGAAAGGGGAGAGGACUCCAGUAGAUACUCUCCAGCUCAGGCAAAUUUAACAGGGAUAAGUAUACUAGUUUCUGAAAUGGUGUAGUACCUGUAAGAUUGGUUGCUUUCUCUUUGUUUAUGAUUUCUUCUAGUUCUCCUGAAUGUGAAAUUUCUAGCAAAGUCAGAUUUGGAGAAAGCAAUAGCCAAGUCAGAUCCUUAAUGCCAUGACAGCUAACCAUUGACACGACGGAGAGGUUGGUAAAGCAUGGACUUGUUGGAUUGUGUAAAUGAGAUGAGUCGGUCUUGCUUCCUCUGCAUUUAAUAUAUGUAUCAAUCGCCGACACAUGACUACCAUACACAUGGAGCACACUAAGAUUCUCCAUACUCAACAGCGAUGACAUUUU
This 144872-nucleotide long non-coding RNA is filed under the name Eutrema salsugineum. RNAcentral describes it as "long non-coding RNA (ESAL_LNC000179)". Lineage: Eukaryota; Viridiplantae; Streptophyta; Magnoliopsida; Brassicales; Brassicaceae. The record is from RNAcentral.